This 152854-nucleotide long non-coding RNA is filed under the name Citrus x clementina. Its description in RNAcentral is "Citrus clementina (C. clementina) long non-coding RNA (CCLE_LNC004252)". The record is from RNAcentral. Lineage: Eukaryota; Viridiplantae; Streptophyta; Magnoliopsida; Sapindales; Rutaceae.
GGGUCAUUAUUCAAACACCAAUCACAUUUUUGUUUUAAAACACCCUUUCAUUUAUUCUUUAAGCUUCUUUUUUUUUUCCCAAAAAAUGAUGAAUAGAUAUUGAAAAUUUUGUUUUCAUUUUUUUAUUGAAAAAAAUGAAAAACACCAAAUAUUACUGCUUCCUUGUCCAUUCUGUUUUUCGUCCUAUAUUACCUUAAUUUUAUAUCGUUUUCUCUAUUUCUAUUUUUAUAGUCCAAUUCUGAAAACACACUAUUAGACACAUUUUUAAAUUGAAAAACACCAAACAUGGCGCAUCAUUUUCAUUAUAAGCAUUAACACCUGACGUACACAUUCUCCAAAUGGGACUAAAAAUGGUGACUCCUUCAGAAAUGAAGUUGUACAAUUAGUUUGAAUUGAGUCGAUACAGAGACGUCUCCAUUGCGUCAUCUAUUUAACUGUCUUGUGCAACCUUAUUCUGUACAAGUAGGAUUCCACAUUGGCCAAGUAUAUGCAUAGUUGCUGGUUUAUUAACCCCAAAACACCCUCCACUUAAUUCAAGGUCUUAAAGAGAAGUCCAAUCUUACAGGUUCGUUAACAUUUUAAAGGUAAGUUUUAUCUUGUAACAUUCACACAAAAUUUAUAAUCAACUGGGGCGGAAAUUUUGAAAAUACUAUGAUUAGCACAAGCAUUUCAACAAUAAAGGAUGUAAUAAAAGCUCAUUAAGUUUAAACUUGAAAGGAAAAUUAGGGCAAGGUCAUUUCUUUAAAAAGAAUAAGGCAAGCUGAUGCACGGCAUGAAAUACCUGUGACCAAGCCUCAAAAGAUUCAUCCCCAGUAUUUUGCUUGCCGACGGCAUAAGUACACUUGGCUUCCCAAACAAAUAAUUGCUGGAGCUCGGACAAUGCAAGUAUUCAAUUUAACUUCAUAAAUAUCAGCCAGAGCAUAAUUACACUUGGCUCCCUAACGAAUAAUGCUGGAGCUCGGACAAUACGAGUAUUCAAUUUAACUGUACAUAGAUGUGCGGGGUUUUGGUGGUAAGUAAAAAUAUGUGAGGAAAAAUACUAAAGAAACUGAAGCUGACAGAGGGCAGGCAGAAUUAACUACAAAACCACCAGAUUUAUCGUGUUUUUGUCCUGUUAAUUAAUUGUUUUCAAUUAACACGGUAACCCGGCUCGGGUGUUAACUCUGUUUCUGUCAGUGCUCUGUUGAAUAUUUCUACUUAAAAAUCAGCACUCGCAUGUAAGUAGUAUGGCAGCAGCAAAAUAUCAUGUGUAAUAAUUAGGCUAUUAGUUCCGGGUCCAGGAAUCGAGAUAAUCAGAUUAGGUGCAAAAGCUAUAUGUACCAAUUUAUGUAGCCAUGCAUAAUAUAUUCAUUUUUUACUUGCAAAUUCUUCCUUUUCACAACUUUAGGUACAACUUUUCCUUUCCUUUUGAAGGCCCACUCCACUGGCAUAGAGAGUAAAAAGAGUUUCUUAUAAAUAAUUUUAGGAGGAUGCUUCUGCCACGACAAGUAAUACCAUAAACAAAUGAUUUCACCACAUUUCAAGAAAGCAUUUAACUUAUGCCUCAUUUUCAUUCUAGCAAUUUGCUUGCCAUUGGCUGAUUGGAAAAAGUGCAUUUAAGUGAUAGAUUACUGUCAACCUAUAGCACGAAUAGGGGUUAAACAAAGUAAAUCCCUACCUUUCCAUGUCAAAUAAAAGACUUUCAUAAUAUCAAAUAUCAAAACUCAUGUCUAGUAAAGGAUUCCCCAAUGCUGGCUCUCAAAAUUGCUUUUGUUUCAUGGAUGAGAUGAUGGUUUUUGUGGAUAUUCUGCUCAACUUGGAUUAUGACUUGGGUCAGAUCCCAACUUGCUGCAAAGCUCGCCUGACUAAAUCUUAGUUGAUUUGCUUUUCCAAACUAAAUCCAAGCAAGUAAGUACAAGAGAUAAAAGCAAAAGUUCAAGCAUCUCAUUUGAGCCUGUCACUAACAAAUAGUCAAUGAGCAAUGUCUAGCUAUGACUGAGCAACAGAAUCAAUAAACAGAGACAAAAAAUAAUAAUCAAGUCAUCUGUCAAAUGCUAGUCCAUGAAAAUCAUAUAUAUAUAUAUAUAUAUAUAUAUAUAUGUAUGUAUGUAUAUGUAUAUGUAUAUGUAUAUGUAUGUAUGUAUAUGUAUAUGUAUGUAUGUAUAUGUAUGAUCAUUCAUUUCUCAAUCAACCACCAAAUUGAUGUCAACAAAGCCAUGAGGAUUGUCUCACAAGUCUUUCAUUUUCCCUCUCUUUAGGCCAGAGACCAGUAAACCAUUUGAAAUAUGGAUGUGCAAACCAGUAAAUAAAUCAUGAAGUUACACACUAGUCUGCUUUCGCACUCAUUCAGAACUAUCAAUGAUACUUACUGCAGGUACGGUGUAUACAUUAUACUAAAGUGAAGGCUGGAUCAAUAAGAAAUUCAAAAUGUUUCAUCACAUUUGGAGCUUGAUGAUGCCAAAGAAAGACCAUACUAAUUAUGAUGAACAGUAAAAUGUGAACAAGAACAAGCAUACAUUUAAGAAAGCAGAGAAGCAUCAUUAAAAUAAAGUAUUCUUCUUACUAUUCUAUGUUGUUGGAAAAUGGACCAAAAUAAAAAAGAAACCAUAUAUGGUUAACGUCACAACAAGGGUAUUUGUGCAUUUGUACAUCAUAGGAUAUUGGGAAGACAUCAGCAAAGAAGUGCAAAUUUUUUUUUUUGAGGAAAGGAACAGAGAAGUGCAAGUCAAAAAGGAGAAAAAAUGAAAAGAGAGAGAUCAAAAGGAAUGCAAUCUAAUUAAUCGUCUAAGGAGACUACUAUGCUACAUUUAGCCAUUGGUUGAAUAGGCAGCUUGUUUUCUAGUACAACUUUAAAUUUUCCAAGAUUUAGAAUUUUCCUACUGAAGAAAACUAAUUUCUAAAUCUGCUAUUACCAUCUUCAUCCCAACGGUAAGCAGCUCCAUACUAAGGAAAGAGUGAAAUAAGUGUGCUUUACUUAUAGAAGCCCAUUCUUGUCCAGAGUGAAUAGCAAGUUGUUUCACCAUGACCCCCAUUAUGGUGACUGAAAAAAGAAAAAAAAAAUAUUUGCCGUGUAGAGAAUUCAGAUUGUGAAGAUGAGUCAACAGUUGACCCCAAGGCCAUGUUGGCAUGCCACCUGAGCAGCCAUAUCCAGCAGCCAGCUGAUGUAGAAGCUGAGGUGUAUUCAAUGAGCUGGCAGAACAGUUAUGCAGGGGAAUAUCUACACGUGAAUACUGCAACCUGGAGUUUCUAGAAUGUUUUCAAUGAUUGGCUAGUGCAGCUGUUAUCUUUUGUUUUAUUCAUUUCUGUUAUCCUUUGAGCAAGCUACCAUUUUUCUCGUUUAGUAUAAAUAUGUGAAGAAUGUGUAUAACUUAUUAAUUCAUGUUAUCAUAAUAUACAAAAGGGUUGUUUGUUCUCUGCUGCUUGCAUAUUUAAGCAAUUCGUAAGAAUUUCAAGUUGGUAUCAAAGCAACUUUUGAGCUAUGGAAAGCAGCAGAAAUUCACAAACAAACAUGAAUCAAACACUGGAAAAUCCAGAUGAUCAACCAAAUGACUUGAAUCAAAACCAACCUGAAAAUAUCGACAAUCAGAAUCCAAAUAAUAACACCAGAAAUGUGACCAUAAUGAACCCAUCUCCUACCCAACAUAUCACCAGCAACACAUAUGUGUUCACCACUCCCAUCAAGUUAACACAGAACAACUUCAUGCUCUGGAGAUCACAAGUGGUCUCCAGCAUACGAGCCAAUGAGCUUGAAGGCUUCAUAAAUGGAAGUUAUACAUGUCCCCCUAGAUGUUUCACCAGUCCUGGACCUAACCAAAUUGUUGUUACCCACCAAAAUCUGGAAUAUCAAAUCUGGAAGAAACAAGACCAUAUUUUGUUGAGCUGGUUGCUCUCAUCACUCAGUGAGGGUGUCCUAGGCACUGUGGUGGAUUGUUCUACUUCACAUGAAGUCUGGACAACUCUUACCAAUCAGUAUGGUGCAAGAACAAGAGCUAGAAUCCUGUAUUUAAGGACACAGAUUCAAACCACUAAAAAGGGCUCUCUUACAAUUCAUGAAUAUUACUCCAGAAUGAAAACUAUCUUAAAUACACUUAGAGCAGCUGGAAAUAAUAUGAAUGAUGAGGACUUCAUUAUAUGUGUCUUAGCUGGAGUAGGAUCUGAAUAUGACUCUGUUGUCACUAACAUUAAUUCUAUGCCAGAAACUCCCUCAUUAUCAGAGGUCUAUAGCAUGCUCCUCAGCCAAGAAACCAGGACUGAGCAAAAUCUCAGUCCAGGGACACUUAAGGCUAACUUCACACAGAUGAGAAAUGGCAGAAGGAACUGGGGCAAUGGUGAAAUAUUUGGUAAUCAGCAACAACCUGGGAUAGUUUUCAGAAAUCCUAGUGGUGGUUUUGGAAAUGGUGGUAAUGGUGGUCCUGGUCAGGGAAAUCAAAAUGGUCAAGAUAAAGGGAAAGCCAAAGCUGUUGCAAAAAAAUGAAAGCUCUGAAUCAAAGGGUCCAUGCCAAAUCUGCUUCAAAAUGGGACACACAGCUGCUGAAUGCUGGCAUAGGUUCAAGAAAAAUUAUAUGCCACAGCCAAAUAGGAGAAGAGGAGCCUACAUGGCCACAACAGAAGGACAAAGCAGCAAUCCCUGGUACCUUGACAGUGGUGCCACAAAUCAUGUGACCAAUGCCAUUGGAAACAUGAACCGGAACUCAGAGUACCAAGGUAAUGACAAGCUCACUGUCGGUAAUGGUAACAAACUUCACAUCUCUCACAUUGGUUACUCUAUAUUGCCCGCUUACUGUCCACACAAACACAUUAAAUUAAAUCAUGUUUUAUGUGUACCUGAUAUUACCAAAAAUCUCAUUAGUGUUUCCAAAUUGCUUCAUGAUAAUGAUAUUGAUGUUGAGUUCCAAAAAUCUGUUUGCUUCAUCAAGGACAAGAGCCAAGGGAGAAUUCUGGUGAAAGGAGUGGCUAGAGAUGGAUUAAAUGAGCUGCUAUGCAUGCCCACUCAUUUGAGUGGCAACAAGGUCACAUAUGCUGCUGAGUUAUCUUCAUCUUCAAUACCUGAGUCAAUAAGUUGCAUUAGCAAUCCAAUGUCAAUGGCAUGUUUUAAUUUCAGUGUUGAUAGUAAUGAGUCUUUAGGUACCAGUGUUGUUGAGUCCAGUAGAGUUGGCACAAGCAGUAGGAAUUUUAGAACAAAUGAAAUGGAUCUUUGGCACCUUAGGCUGGGGCAUCCAAAUGAGUCAGUUCUGAAAAAUACUCUUUUAUCCUGUAAUCAGCUCAACUUUAAUAAAAAUAUAUUUCCUUCAUUUUGUGAUGCAUGUCAGUAUGGAAAGCAAUCAAAGCUGAACUUUAAAAGCAUUGAAACCAAGACCAGCACAGCCCUAGAACUGAUACACAGUGACCUCUGGGGGCCAGCACCUAUUCCAUCUACCCAUGGGCACAGAUAUUACAUAUCAUUUAUGGAUGACAAAACAAGAUAUACAUGGUUAUUUCCCUUAACAACAAAAUCACAGGCCCUUGACACAUUCAUUGUGUUUAAAAGCCAAGUAGAAAACCAGUUAAAUUUAAGAAUCAAGGCUUUACAGACAGACAUGGGUGGAGAGUUUAAGACCUUCGAACCCUUUCUCAAGAAAGAAGGAAUAGCCUUAAGACACUCAUGCCCCUAUCUGCAUGAACAAAAUGGAAAAGUGGAGAGAAAGCACAGACACAUUGUGGAAACUGGCCUAACAUUACUAGCCCAAGCAAAAAUGCCUUUGAAAUAUUGGCAAGAAGCUUUUAGCUAUGUUAUCUACAUCAUAAACAGACUAACCUCACCCAUUCUUAAAAAUAAAACUCCUUUUGAGCUGCUACAUCUCACCAAACCAGAUUAUUCCCAAAUUAAAGUUUUCGGUUGUGAAUGCUUUCCAUACUUAAGACCCUACAACAAGCAUAAGUUUGAUUUCCACACUUCCAAAUGCAUACUGCUAGGCAUUAGCAACAAUCACAAAGGUUACAUUUGCAUGCAUCAUUCAGGGAGAAUUUACAUUUCAGCCAGUGUCAAAUUUAAUGAACAUUUAUUCCCUUUUCAAAAUGACUCAAACUUCUGCAAACACAGGCUCACUGACCAAAAUGAUUCCCUCACAGUUCUUGAAAAAUUUCAAGUUGUAUCCUUCAACACCAGUGUUCCCCCUGAGUCAGCACAACAAAACGCAGCUCAUAGUCAAUCUCAGGCCACUAUUGGAAACUCAGAACAACUCCCAAGCUUUGGUCAAGAAGAAGCCUGUCAGAAUUUGAACCUCAACACUGUAUCAGACAACCACACACCUACUCAACUCCCACCAAACUCCUCAGCAGAAAACUGCAUCUUGCCUCCUAUAACAGAACCAAACACUCAAGCCUCUUUACAUCCCAUGAUCACAAGGUCCAAAGCAGGGAUUUUCAAACCUAAAGUUUAUCAAAUAUCUACUCAAUCUCAAACUUCCUUACCCCCUGACUCAACUGUGGCACUAAAAAGAUCCUAAAUGGAGAAGAGCAAUGGAGGAUGAAUACAAUGCUCUUGUCAAAAACCAAACCUGGAUCUUAAUACCACAUGACCAGAACUACAAACUCAUUGGCAACAAAUGGGUGUACAAAGUAAAGGAGAAUCCAGAUGGCACCAUAAAUAGAUACAAAGCUAGACUUGUGGUAAAAGGGUUUCUGCAGACACCAGGACUUGACUUUAAUGAAACCUUCAGCCCUGUGGUCAAAGCUGCAACAAUCAGAAUCAUUUUAACUUUGGCUGUAAACAAUGAUUGGCUGUUGAGGCAGGUUGACAUAAAUAAUGUGUUUCUGAAUGGAGACUUGACAGAAACAGUGUACAUGCCACAACCUGAGGGAUUUGAAGAUAAGAGAAGACCAAACCACAUAUGCAAGCUCCAGAAAGCUCUUUAUGGACUGAGGCAAGCACCCAGAGCAUGGUUUGACAAAUUAAAGAAUGCUCUGUGCUCUUGGGGAUUCAACAAUUCCAAAUGUGAUACCUCUCUAUUCUUCAAGAGAAGCAGUGCUGAAAUAAUCAUUGUGCUUGUGUAUGUAGAUGACAAAAUUAUAACUGGCAGUGACAACAAAGGUAUUGAGGAAGUGAUAGGAAAGCUAAGUGGAGCUUUUGCACUGAAAGAUCUUGGAAAUUUGAGCUACUUCAUUGGGAUACAGGUCAUAAGAAAUCAGCACUCAAUUAUGCUCUCUCAAGCUAAAUAUGUUCAAGACCUAUUAGCUAAAACUGAGAUGGAAAAUUGCAAGGGAAUAGAGUCACCAUUCAGCACAACAGAGAAACUAAAGAAGGGUGAAGGCACCAAACUUGACAAUCCCUCAUUUUACAGAAGUGUUGUAGGGAGUCUACAGUAUGCUGUCCUAACAAGACCAGAGCUUGCAUAUUCUGUUAACAAGCUUAGCCAAUACAUGUCUGACCCAAGACAAUCUCACUGGACAGCUUGCAAACGAGUGUUGAGGUACCUAAAGAGCACUGGUAACAUGUGCUUAAAAUUCCAGAAGUUAGAACACUUAGAUUUAAUAGCCUAUACAGAUGCUGACUGGGCUAGUGAUCAGGAUGACAGAAGAUCGAUAAGUGGAUAUUGUGUGUUUUUGGGAGAUAAUUUAGUAGCUUGGAGCUCAAGAAAGCAGGGCAUGGUAGCAAGAUCUAUAGCUGAGUCCGAGUACAGGGCCAUAGCUCUGUGUACCACUGAAAUCACUUGGAUCAGUUCUCUGUUUGGUGAACUGGAAAUCGAGAUGCAAAGAGUUCCAAUGAUUUUAAGUGAUAGCACAAGUGCAGCAGCAAUAGCCACAAAUCCUGUGUAUCACUCAAAAACAAAGCAUUUUGAGAUAGAUCUUCAUUUCAUUAGAGACAAAGUCACUCAAGGAGAGCUGGAAAUCAGUUUUGUAGCCAGCAGAGAUCAAGUCGCAGACAUACUAACCAAACCAUUGCCUUACUACAAGUUCAGUCAAUUUAGAAGCAAACUUAAUGUUUUCGACAAGACCUUAAGUUUGAGAGAGGGUGUUGAGAAUUCAGAUUGUGAAGAUGAGUCAACAGUUGACCCCAAGGCCAUGUUGGCAUGCCACCUGAGCAGCCAUAUCCAGCAGCCAGCUGAUGUAGAAGCUGAGGUGUAUUCAAUGAGCUGGCAGAACAGUUAUGCAGGGGAAUAUCUACACGUGAAUACUGCAACCUGGAGUUUCUAGAAUGUUUUCAAUGAUUGGCUAGUGCAGCUGUAAUCUUUUGUUUUAUUCAUUUCUGUUAUCCUUUGAGCAAGCUACCAUUUUUCUCGUUUAGUAUAAAUAUGUGAAGAAUGUGUAUAACUUAUUAAUUCAUGUUAUCAUAAUAUACAAAAGGGUUGUUUGUUCUCUGUUGCUUGCAUAUUUAAGCAAUUCGUAAGAAUUUCAAGUUGCCGAACACAAUAGUAGCACCCAAGAAGUCCUACUUAAGAGGCUUCAUACCCUGCACAAAUCGGAGUUUUUUUUAAAAUUUUCAUGUUUCAAAUGAAGAUUGUCCAUUAAAAACAAGGAUAACCCAGAAACAAUCCAACCAUCAAUAACAUAAAACUUUUGUAAUUCUGGUAAAGUGAAUGAGAAGCAGAACAUACAUUUCACGUAAUAAUGAAGAUACAUCUUUUAAUAAGUCUUUGCUCUUAAUUUAUUAUCGUACUUCCUUCCAAUAACAAUUCAUAAUGCAGGUUGGUAUCUUGAAAAAUUAUAUCAUACAUUUCUCUUAUCAAUGGGGCAGGUUGCUAUUGAACAUUAUUCAUAAACAAAGAGCCAAAUAUGCUUUAAAGCUACUUAAAAAUAUGCCAUCGGGCACUGACGCAGACACUCAACAACAAAAAACAGACUUAUUAUAUUUGUUGCACAAAAGUAAAAAAGAAAAUACUCUUACUCAAGUAUUAUAUUUGUUGCGCAAAUAAGAAAGAAGAUAACAAUUUUAAAUUAAUCAACAGGUUGAAUCUUAUCGUAAUACACACUAUCAGCUAUGAAUUAGCAUACCUUAGAAGUCCUGAACUCAUUCACCGCCAUUCGAAGAGAAUCAUCCGAUAGAAUCAACCGUGACAAUGCUCCAGUGCUUAACCUGCCACAUUUAUAAGAGAUCACCAUAUGAGAAAAAUUUUAAAUUAAAAAAAUAUUGGAAACCUAAACGCCAAUCAAACACAUUACAUAUAGCAAUUUCUCCUUUUAAAGUUCAAUUAUCACUUGAUAGAGUAUUAAGCUUAAUGCAAUACCCCAAGAAUUUUGUUGCUUCUGAUACAGAUCCCUCGACUGCGAAAAUUAGAUCAAGCAGAGCUUGCAUUCCCUGUAGUUAACCAAAAAAAAAAAAAAAAUCAUUACUAUGACUUAAAUUUUAAUAGAAAACAAAAAACGAAGCAAGAGUGAAUAGAGUAAUACCAAAGCAAAUUUAGGAUUGUUAGGUCCAAAUUGUGGACCAACUUCUGAACUUCUAAUAGUAGACUUAGGAGGAAGGAUUUGAAGAAGCUGUGGCGGCGGCGAAUACGUAUCAAGAUUCACACUGCCCCCCACUUUGAGGGCCAAAAGAGUGCGGAGGCGCGACAAAGCUGACGCGCGAUUCUUGUGCUGCGAUCGGUCUUCGGCCACAUGCGCUAUGAUGCCGGUCGGUACGUGCUUGAGACGUACGGCGGAUUCGUGCUUGUUGCGGUGCUGACCGCCUGGUCCAGACGAUUUGUACGUGUCCAUUUCGCAUUCGCGAAGCAACUCAUCGUCCGUCAAUUCUAAGUAAUUCUUCUUCUUCGAAGAAGAAGAUGAAGAACAAUUGUCAUUGGUGCUGAAUUGCAAGACAAGAACAAUGGCUUAUAAUUCCCGCGAUGCUUGUACAACGGAAAGUUUAUAUUUUUCCUUCCGAGUUGGGGAAUCCGAAGCAGGAAUUGAGCGGCCAACGCCAUCAUAAAUUUCAAUUUCCCUCUAUGUGUAUGUGAUAAUCAAAGCAAAGCUUCAUACUGGUAACACAUUCUUAUAGCAGGCCCAGCCCAAUCCAGCCGAGUCUGGCAAGUGAGCUUUAAAUAGGUGUUCGAUUGUAAAGAUAUGUCUAAUUAAAUAGUGUCAAAUAUAAUAAAAAUAUAUCAUUUUAUUUAAAGAUGCAUCCAUCCAUGGUUUUAUACUUCAAUUUGAAAUGGUGAUGGUUUAUUUUGGACCAGUGAUGAUCUUAUUCAAAAUUUGAUUUAAUAACCAUAAAUGAAAGGGUAUCAUGAAAAGUGACAAUCCAAAUAAAAGAGUACAUAAUUAUCUAUAAAUAGAAGUCAAGACCUUUCUGUGAUCUAUCUAAUCUUCCUAUCGUACUCUUUUUUUCACUAGAAAAACUACAUUUGUAAUGUGUCUCGAAGCACCAUCAAUUCUUACCUAUAUUUCAAUUAAAAUAAGAGUGAAACUAUUGGCACCCCUUCAUUAUUCUUAUAAAACCCUAUUUCAAAUAAAAUUACAAUUAAGAGCAAAGAAGAAAUAAACACAUGUAGGAUUUUUUUCCCCAACAAAUUACUUUCAUUAAUAAUCAAUCUUUUUUUAUUUCCUACCUAUUAUUUCUUAUCUAAGAUAAAUUGUAUAAAUUUAGAAUAAUCUAUUUUUCUUUUCCUAUUUCUUAUCGAUUAAAUAUUUUUGUACUCAAGAUUACUUUCAAACUACAAUCUAAAAUAUGUGUUAUUUAAGCUAAUGAUUAGCAUUCAAACUUUAUCACCUAAAAAACUUUUUAAUUUGUAUGUAGGAUAACAAUACGAUUGCAAAAGAGAUGAAAAAAAACACAAUACUACUUUGAGUUUUAACAAUAAAAGAAGAUUAAAUGAAAAACUAAAAGAGUGUCUUUGAAAAUAAAAGGAAAUUUUUGGAAAUAAAAUAAAUAUAACUAAAAAAGGGUUUGAUGAGGAGACUAGAGGGGUGCCAAUAGUCCAACUUUUAAAAUAAAGUUUUAUCAAUUAUUUCUCCCUUUUUCUGCAAUUAUUAUUCCCCACAGAUAUUUCUUCAACAUUUUAUUUCAUAUAUUUACUCCCAUUACACUAUAACAAAGGACGCCUUUUGGACUACAUCAGUUUGUAGAUGCAUUUUAUUAAUAAAUUAAAUAAAGGCACCAUCUAUUGUUCAAUUUCUCUAAAUAACCACUUUCUGUCAGCUCUAUUAAAAUUUAUUAAGGAAUCUAUGUUGAAGACCAUUUCAUCCUUAGUAUUGUGUAAAUGUAUAAAAAUACAUUUUACACUUUGAAAUUUAAAAUGACCUUCUUUUAGCAUAAAAUUUUAAAACAAAUGCCGCUAACUAAGGGACAAAUUUUAGAAUACAUGAUCAGUACCAUGUUAGCCAUAUAAAAAGUAAAUCAUACUAUGAUAUAUGUGCACUUAUUUUGAAAAACUAUCAUGUAAAUGAUGGUUAUAUUGAAUCUAAGUAAGUGCAUAUCAUACAUGACACAACCUGACCCAACCUCUUUGCCAAAUUCGAGGUGAAUCAUGUGAUCUUAUAUCUAAAGCUUGUGACAUAAAUUUAAUUUAUGAAUACAUAACACUAGCCUCGGCCUUUGUUAUAAACAAAUAAUAACAUAUGUACCUCAUUCAAAAAUAUAUUCAAAACUUACACAGUUCACAUCUUACUGUACAUACAUACACUUUAGAUAUAUACAUAUAAACAUAAACGUGCUUAAAAUAUAAGUCAUGCAGUAAUGCAUGUUGUGGCCCAACCUCAACUGAUUAGAAACUGAAUUGCACAAAAUCCUACGAAAAUCUUAAAGAAAUGGGGUAAAUAGGAAAAUAAUAUACUUGUGGCUAAAUGAAUGGAUAUAAUUGUGUGUUUGUGUGUUUGUAUCUAUAUAUAUAUAUAUAUAUAUAUAUAUAUAUAUAUAAAUAAAUUAGUGCUCUGGUGCUUGUACAUAAUUGUAUGACAUAACUUCACACUGAACACAUUACACAAGCAAAUAUGAAAUCAUAUAUAUAUGAUAAAACUGCACCAAAUAAUAUGUAGGAGAAAUAACUCUCAAUAUUUACUGGAAUCAUCAUUGCACAAGUAAAGUGGGAGAAAAACCUCUCAAUACUCAGCGAAAUUAACUACAUCACAAGGGUCGAGUAAUCUAACUCUCACUACACAUGCAUAGAGCCUAUGGGGAAGGGUACACAUAUGGUAUCUGGCAAUCACAUCUCAUGAUUCAAUCAAUCAUAUAAUAUGCGUACAUAUAAUCAUAACAUGAUACUAAAUCAUACUAUCAAACAUAAAUACUUUGUAGAAUACAUAUAAAUAAUAAUAAUAGUAAUCCACUCACAAAACAUGUUUCACUUCGGGGUUCGUUGGAGCUCCGAUAGAUUCCUUAAUUCUUGGGUUUCUCCUAAAAUAUAGGAUUCAAAAAUUAAUUGUUAGAACUGAUAUAAAAACUUAUACAUAUGACAUAAACUAAAUCAUAAUUGUUCAAAUUUCUUAAAUACGUUACCUACUGACUUACUGGAUAUAGAUAUAACUAUCCAAUUCUCUUUCCGAUAAUAUUUCCUCUCAAUUCCUCUUUUCAAAAUCAUUUCUCACUCUCAGUUUUUCUUUUCUUUAUUUUUUCUUCUUCAUCUUUUGUUCUUCUGUUCUUUUCCUCUUCUUUCUUCAUCUUUUCUUCUUUUCCUCUUCUCUUUUCCUUUUGUUUUCUUCCCUUCUCAGCUUUUCCUUUCUUUUUCUUCUCUUUGAAUUACAUUGUUUUAGUUUGAUUCAUGAAAAUGGUGACAGCUGCUUCAAUUCUUUACUUUAUAUAUAUCUAUUGCCUCCAAUCACGCAUGACAAACACAUAGGUGAAGCAUGCAUGUGCUUUGCUUUAAGCUGACAGCUUGCUAAUUAGCCACAUGUACUCCCUUUUAGCUUGCAUGUGCGUCACAAUACGUGCAUUAAUUGAUUGUAUUAUUUUUAAUAUAUUAUAUAAUUUCUUUUAGUGAAGGAUGUAGCCAACAAUUUUAUCCAGCUAAACAUGUUCUUUGACAUAUAAUACAGUUUAUGGUCCAACAACUCAUAAGUAGUUGAAAUUAAAUUAUUUUUUAAUAUCAAUUUUCCUUUUCUCUCAAUUUGAAAAUACUUUAAAAGAUUUUCAAACAUAAGAUACAAUGGUAUACAAUUGAAGCCUAAUCCAACAUAGAAAGAUUAAAUAAAAUUAAUUUUCAUCACUAUGCAAGAGACUUGAAAAGAUAUUAAGGUAGCGUUUAUUUUUAAUUUAAAGUCUGAAUAGGUUAGAAUUUGAUUAAAAUUUGAAUGGUUUUGAAUAUAAAUGUUUCAAAAACAUGUUUAUUUUUUUAAUAUCUAAAAAUUAAGUGGCAUCUUGUUUGUUUUUAUAAAGAAAACACAUUAAAUGUAGUUAUUUAACAUUUAUGUCCUUAUAAGUCAAAACGAAUAAAAGGGAUUAGGUUUUGUAGUUUAUGAAAUAACUAUAUUGAAUUGAAAUAUUUUUAGGAUAUAGUAUUUAUUUUCCAUUCAAACAUUUUUUCAUUUCGGCAAAGGUCAUAAAAAUUUUCUUUUUUAAUUCAAAUGUAAAUAUCUAAAAAUCAAACAUAUGUUACCAAAAAAAACUAAUUUUCUUAAAAAAAGUUAAACUUCAUAUGUUUAAAAUAAACGCUAAGGAACAUGAAUAAGAGCUAUUAAAACAAAAAAAGAAUAAUUUUGAAACUAAAUACAAUUAAUUGAGAGAUGAGGACCGAUAAGAUAAAUUCAUAGAUAAAAAUUAAAAUAUCAACCCUACUUAUUGCUGGCAGUUAUGAGCAUUAAAGAAUAGAAGCCGUGUCUUGAUAAGUAUGGUGUUCGUGCGGAAUUCUCAAUUUUAAGAUAACUUUUUUUUUAAAAAAAGCUAGACUUCAUAUGUUUAAAAUCAACGCUAAGGAACAUGAAUAAGAGCUAUUAAAACAAAACAAAAAAGAAUAAUUUUGAAACUAAAUACAAUUAAUUGAGAGAUGAGGACGGAUAAGAUAAAUUCAGGGAUAAAAAGUAACAUAUCACCCUACUUAUUGCUGGUGGUUAUGCACAUUAAGGGUGCGUUUGGGAUUGAGGUGCUGUAGCUUUUAAGCUACAGCUGCUGUGAAAAAAAAGCUGUAAUUAUGAAACAAAAGUUAAUAAUAUAUAGUAAAUAUAAAUUUUAAAUAAUAAUUUUGAUAAAUUUAUUAAAGAUAUAAUAAAUUUUAUAUUAUACAAGUGAAAAAUCAUAUCAACAUAGCUUAAAAGCUACAGCAGCUAGUGUUUACCAAACACUUUAGUGCUGUAGCUUUUAAGCUACAGCUGCCCAACCUCAAUCCCAAACGCACCCUAAAACACAGAAGCCGUGCGUUGAAAAGUAUGGUGUUCUUGUGGACUUUUCAGCUAAAAGUCUACAAAGCAGUUGAAUUAAUCAAUCAUCGUGGAGUGCACGGUGCUUGGACAAUGAGAUGAAAUUGAAAAAUUAUCACGGAACUUGAAGGAAGCUUCAUGGCAUCGAUUUAUUCUACAGAGUCGCUCACAUUUGGUUCAAUAAUUGUUUUCAUCCGAAUCAAAAUCUUUUUCUAAUCAAUUCAACUGAUUUUGUUGAUUAUGGCUUCUUCUUCUCAAAACAACAAGAAGUAUGAUGUUUUUGUUAGUUUCAGAGGAGAGGACACCCGUGACAACUUUACUAGCCAUCUCUGUUCUGCUCUGUGUCGACAAAAUAUCCAAACUUUCAUUGAUGACCAACUUAACAGAGGAGACGAAAUUUCGGAGUCACUUGUGAAUGCAAUUGAAGCAUCAGCCAUUUCAGUUAUUGUCUUCUCAGAAGGGUAUGCAUCUUCCAGAUGGUGUCUCGAUGAACUUGUAAAGAUCCUCGAGUGCAAGAAAGAGUAUUCACAGAUUGUGAUUCCGGUUUUCUAUCGGGUUGAUCCAUUAGACGCGAGAAACCAAACAGGACCUUUUGGGAUUUCAUUUUCGAAGCUUGAAGAAAGAUUUAAGGAGAAUUUAGAGAAGCUGCAGACUUGGAGGAAAGCUUUGAAGGAAGCAGCCAGUUUGUCUGGCUUUCAUUCUCAUAACAUCAGGUGAAAUUGAAAAGUUACCUUUAAUUUCUCAUACUAAUAUUUAACAAUAAAUAAAAUUCACGCAGCACUCUUAGUUAAAUUUCCAGAUGCUAAACUUCAAUUUUAAAUAUUUUUAAGCAUCAAAUUCUAGACUUCUUGACUUCCUCACUUUUGUGCUCUAUAAUUACAAAAUAAUUUUGAUAGAAAAAGCAUGAGAAUUUUACAAUAUAUAUCUAACAAAAUUAGUGGUGAUCUGUUGUUUUUUAAGCAAUGUCAACCUGUCACUCAUACAGCACCAUUAAAAAAAAAAAACUCACGCAUAUUCGUGUAAUUUAAGAGUUAUCAAUUCAUUGGAAGAUUGAAGACUUGUAUGGUAUGUAUUAAUUUCAGUAGGAAAACUGACAAUCUCUCUUAUUUCUUAUUUAAUGCAAAUUCCUCCUAUUAAUUUGAAGUUACUGCUGCUAAUUUUAUGUAUUUGCUAGGCAUGAGUCGGAACUUACAAAUGAAGUUGUUAAUCACAUUUUGAAGAGAUUGGAUGAAGUGUUUCAGCCGCGUGAUAACAAAAACCAGCUGGUUGGAGUGGAAUCAACAGUUGAUGAAAUUGAAUCUCUAUUAGGUGUUGAGUCGAAAGGUGUUUACGCUUUAGGGAUUUGGGGCAUUGGUGGUAUAGGCAAAACAGCAAUCGCUAGAGCUAUUUUCGACAAAAUCUCAGGUGAUUUUGAAUGUUCUUGCUUCCUCGAAAAUGUUAGAGAAGAGUCACAAAGACCAGGAGGAUUAGCUUGCUUACGACAAAAACUUCUUUCAAAUAUAUUGAAGGAUAAAAAUGUGAUGCCUUAUAUUGACCUCAAUUUUAGAAGGCUCAGUCGCAUGAAGGUUGUGAUUGUUUUUGAUGAUGUGACUUGCUUCAGCCAAUUGGAAUCUUUAAUGGGAAGCCUUGAUUGGUUGACGCCAGUGAGUCGAAUCAUAUUAACCACCAGAAAUAAACAAGUGCUUAGAAAUUGGGGGGUGAGUAAAAUAUAUAAGAUGGAGGCAUUAGAAUAUCAUCAUGCUCUUGAGCUUUUUAGUCGAUAUGCCUUCAAACGAAACCAUCCUGAUGUUGGUUACGAGAAACUUUCAAGCAACGUAACGAAAUAUGCUCAAGGUAUUCCUUUAGCUCUUAAAGUUUUGAGUUGCUUUCUACAUAAAAGGGAAAAAGAAGUUUGGGAAAGCGCAAUAGAUAAAUUGCAAAGAAUCCUCCAUCCAAGUAUUCUAGAGGUAUUACAAAUAAGUUAUGAUGAUUUGGACGAUAAAGAGAAAAGUAUUUUCCUUGAUGUUGCUUGUUUCUUUCGAGGUGAGCAUGUAAAUCCUAUAAUGAAAUUCUUUAAUGCAAGCGGCUUCUACCCAUAAAUAGGAAUAAGUGUUCUUGUUGAUAAGUCUCUCAUCGCUAUUGAUUCACACAAAAAGAUAACAAUGCAUGAUUUACUACAAGAAUUGGGUAGGGAAAUUGUUCGACAAGAAUCAAUUAAUCCUGAAAACCGCAGUAGAUUGUGGUAUCAUGAGGAUAUUUAUGAAGUUUUUACAUAUAAUAUGGUAAGCAGUUUGUUGUGGAUUAUUAUUUUGGAAUAAUGUAGUGUUUAAAAACUUGAUGUGAAUAUAUUUACAUACGCUCGAACGGGAUGAGUCUUAGAAUUAAUAGAAGAGUGGCAAUGAUUAGAAAAAACAAUAGUGGUUAGAUGACGUAGCAAUAAAUUAUAAAUGCGAUGACAACUUGCAUAACCGUUUGUAAGCAUAAUUGAUAUGUAAAUUUGUGUAGUACACGUACAGAAUUUUUAUUUUUAUGUUAUUAUGUUUCUUUGUGCAUUUGCAAUUAAGUGUUUGAUAUGAGUAAUUAAAGAGAGCCCCUCUCCAAUCCCACAUAAACUCCAUACAAGAAUAAAUAAAAAUUGAAUUAAUAACUAAGCUACCUCUAAUUGUGAAUUAGGGACAAAAUUGCCCCAAAAAUUUGUCUUGGUGGGGUUGAAGUGCGAUUCAUUAGUGGAAUAUACAUAUCUUUCAUUUGAUUUUAACUUUAAUUUUUUUUAUUCAUUUUUAGGGGACAGAAAAAAUCGAGGGCAUCUGUUUAGAUAUGUCAAAAGUAAAAGAGAUCCGUCUAAAUCCCAAUACUUUCACUAAGAUGCCUAAAUUGAAAUUUCCUAAAGUUCUACGGUUCAUCAUUCAAUGGAGAGAACAAAUGUAAGGUGUCCUUAUUGCCAAACAAAUGUAAGGUGUCUUAUUUGCAAGACUCUGGAUUUGCUGAAGUGAAAUAUCUUCACUGGCAUGGAUAUCCGCUGAAGUCAUUGCCUUCAAACCUUAGUGCAGAGAAGCUUGUGUUACUUGAAGUGCCUGAUAAUGACAUUGAACAACUUUGGGAUUGUGUGAAGGUAUGCAUAUCUUAUUAUAUAUGUGCAAUCUUUCAAUAACAAUAUUAAAUUAUUAUACGUGGUAACGAUUUUGUCUUGGCCUCUUUUUUGACCGAGCAGCAUUAGAGUAAGUUAAACCAGAUAAUCCAUGCUGCCUACAAUAAGAUAAUUGCCAAAGCACCAAAUCCCACGUUGAUGCCACGUCUGAACAAGCUAGUUAUCUUGAAUCUAAGAGGUAGCAAAAGCCUGAAAAGUCUUCCAUCUGGAAUAUUUAACUUGGAAUUUCUUACCAAACUUGAUCUUUCGGGCUGCCCAAAACUGAAGAGGCUUCCAGAGAUCUCAUCAGGUAAUAUAAGCUGGUUAUUUUUAAGGGGGACUGCAAUUGAAGAACUGCCCUCAUCAAUUGAGCGUCUACUUAGGCUUGGGUUCUUGGUCCUUUCAAAUUGUAAAAGGCUUAAGAGUCUCCCAAGCAGCCUAUGGAAGUUGAAAUCUCUUGGAAUUCUUGAUCUCCGGGGUUGCUCCAAGCUUCAGAGAUUGCCCGAAUGUCUUGGCCAAUUAUCCUACCCAAUAAUAUUGAAUCUAGCGAAAACCAAUAUUGAGAGAAUACCAGAAAGCAUUAUCCAACAUUUCAUGUUGCGAUACCUCCUCUUAAGUUAUAGUGAGAGGCGUCAAUCCUUACCAAAGCCUCCAUUCCUUGCACGAGAUUGCCUAGCACCGCAACCAUUCUUAGGUUUGUUCUCUAAGUUAUGAAUCUUAUAGGCAGUGUUUUUUGACCGGAGCAAUAAUUUUAAAUUGGAAGGUAAUUAUACUGCAGGAAUUGUUGAAGAUACCCAGAGAAUUCCGCAUAUGGACCAUAUGCUAGCUUUCCGUUGGUAAGAAAUACAGGAAAAUGUGUGUCUUUAACUCUCUCUGUUUACAAUUUCUACAAUUUUUUUUUUGGGUUUAAAAUUAUGAUUUUUUGGUACAAAGAGGUUUUUCCAUGGGCUGAUACGCCGCGGAGGUCGUCAAGGAUUCCAAAGCCUAGCAACAAGUAUGCUGGGUACAUUUGAAUUAUGCAUGGAUGCUUGGAAGUCGAACGGUCACAUGGCUCAAGACUUAUGCAUACGUUACAUGCAACAUGCAGUACGUUGGAAGAAUGGUCGUUGGAGCAGUCUACAUGGAUCAUGGGGGGGAUUCGGUCAACAUGGGAUCACUUGCUGAUUUAAUGGAGAUUUAUCAUUUGGUUUAAUUCAUUUUCGGUUGUUUAGUUAAGCUAAAAGAAUAAGUCAAGUUGUUAGCUUAGGACCUGCCUACAAUCUCGAGUGAUAGUUAGAUUGUUUGGCUAAGUUGUUUUAAGUAUAAAUAAGCUCCAACGGACUUGAAUAAAGGGCAUUGACUAUUAUCUAAAAAUCAAAUAUCUUGUGGUCUUAUUUCUCACCCUAAGUAGAAAUAUAUUCAAUCACUUACGCUUUGACUGGGACCUCUAUCAGUGGUAUCAGAGCGAGGUUACUAUGUCAACCAACAAGGAACGCAUAGAGCGUGUGGAAGACGAGAUCGGAAGCUUGCAAGAUGGAAUGAAGCGUAUGGAACUAGGGCUUACUGACAGAUUACACCGUCUAGAAGAAACAAUGAGCAAACUGGUAGAUUCACUUUCAACUUCAAAAGGGACGCCAAGUCACAACAAUUCUGAUCACGUUGGAUCCUCACAGCCUAGCCGUGGAGAUAGUGAAGGGAGCCGCCAUCAGCUAGCAUCAAGACUUACCAAACUGGAGUGUCCACGAUAUUCCGGCGACGACCCAACGGAGUGGUAUAAUAGGAUCAUGCAAUUUUUCGAGUACUAGGAAGCAACCAACGAACAGAAAGUCUCCUUAGCUUCUUUUCACCUCGAAGGAGAGGCCAACCAAUGGUGGCAGUGGAUGCGACGAACUUAUCAAGAAGAGGAAAAAACAGUAACGUGGGAAAUUUUUGUGGAGGAGCUUUGGGCACGGUUUGGCCCUACUGAGUGCGAAGAUUAUGAUGAGGCGUUGUCCAGGGUUAAGCAGACAGGGUCACUACGUGAUUAUCAUAGGGAAUUCGAAAGGCUUGGGAACCGGGUACGAGGCUGGACGCAAAAGGCCUUGGUCGGGACCUUUAUGGGAGGAUUGAAGCCGGAAAUCUCAGGGGAAGCUAUAAGCCUCGCACGUAUGAAGGAUGAUCAAUUGACGCGACAAAGGAAGUUGCUACGACCACAGUACCUCAACCGUACACCACCAGCACCAACAAACAAUACCCGUGCCCAACCAACGAGACCCAUCAAACGGCUGACUUGGGACGAAAUGCAGCGGCGUCGAGCAAUGGGACUUUGCUUCAAUUGCAAUGAUCGGUUUACAGCAGGUCAUAAGUGCACCCAACCUCAGUUAUUGCUCCUUGAAAGUGAGACAAUGAAUGAUGAAACUACAUAUGAGGGAAUUCCUGAAGUCUUAUGCACAGAACCUGACACUAAAGAGCCAACCGAUCCAAAAAUCACUUUCUAUGCCCUCACUGGAUGGGCAGCCCCAAGAACCAUGCGGGUCACGACAAAGGUAGGACCAUAUGAGAUUAUGGUUUUGAUCGAUAGCGGUUCAACUCACAAUUUCAUCAGCUCCCGAAUGGCCAACAUGUUACGGCUGCCAAUCAUUCCCACAGCAGGAUUUUUGGUGCGAGUGGCAAACGGAGAAACGCUAUCGUGCAGGGGAAAAUUCAAACGGGUUCAGGUAUUAUUACAAGAAGUUCCAUUCACUUUGACUCUUUAUUCACUUCCAAUUACAUGGUUGGAUAUGGUGCUUGGAGUCCAGUGGCUUGAGAUGCUAGGCUCAGUGGUUUGCAACUGGAAACAACUUACCAUGGAUUUCACUUGGGACAACAAAAGUUGCCGGUUACAAGGCAUCGGGCCUCAAUCAAUCCAAACAGCAUCCUUGACCGAAAUUACCAAAGAGCUGAGACAAGGGCAGUCCGGUUUUGCUAUUUGUUUCCAUGUGAAUGUAGAAGACUCUCUCAACACAACAACUCCAGAUAUGCAAGAUUUGUUAAAGGAAUACAACACUUUAUUUCAAGAGCCAACAAAACUGCCACCUAGACGAGAAAUCGACUAUAACAUCACAUUGAAAGAGGGAACUGAGCCAGUCAACGUACGGCCAUACCGCUACGCCUAUUUCCAGAAAGCCGAAAUUGAAAAACAAGUCCAGGAGAUGCUGAAUUCGGGACUCAUUCGGCCUAGUACCAACCCUUUUUCAUCACCAGUACUACUUGUCAAAAAAAAAGAUGGAAGUUGGCGAUUUUGCACCGACUAUCGGUCUCUCAAUAACACCACUGUUAAAGACCGAUUUCCAAUCCCUACAGUCGAUGACAUGCUGGACGAGUUACAUGGAGCAGCGUACUUCAUUAAAUUGGACCUAAGGGCCGGAUACCAUCAGGUACGUGUAAACCCAGCCGAUAUCCACAAAACGGCUUUUCGUACACACAACGGACAUUACGAAUACUUAGUAAUGCCGUUUGGCUUAUGCAAUGCACCAUUGACAUUCCAGGCCAUCAUGAACUCUAUCUUCCGUCCCUAUCUCAGGAAAUUUAUCCUUGUUUUCUUUGACGAUAUACUGAUAUACAGUCCCUCUUGGCGUAGCCACCUUACUCAUGUUAAGAAGGCAAUGGAGGUUCUUAAACAACAUCAAUUUUUCCUUAAAGCAAGCAAGUGCACUUUUGGCCAACAAGAACUCGAGUACCUUGGCCACAUAAUUACCAGCCAUGGGGUAAAAGUAGAUGAGACAAAAAUUGCGGCCAUGGUCUCCUGGCCUCAACCGAAGAACAUCUCAGAGCUACGGGGAUUCCUUGGCCUUACAGGUUACUAUAGAAAGUUCGUCCAAGGAUAUGGAGUUUUAGCUCGGCCACUCACGAAUCUUCUAAAAAAAUGACAGUUUGAAUGGAAUACAGAAGCGGACAAAACGUUUAUCAAUUUAAAAAAGGCAAUGACAAGUACACCCACAUUAGCCAUGCCUAAUUUUAAUGAAACUUUUGUUAUUGUGACAGAUGCAUCCGGUGACGGCAUCGGCGCAAUACUCCAGCAACAAGGGCAUCCCAUCGCAUUUAUGAGUCGUGCCUUGGGAGUCACAAAAAAAUCUUGGUCCACAUACGCAAAAGAGAUGUUGGCGAUUAUAGAAGCUAUCCGUGUGUGGCGACCUUAUCUGCUAGGACGAAAGUUUAUCAUCCAAACCGAUCAACGCAGCCUUAAGUACCUUUUGGAACAAAAAAUUACGACACCCGAACAGCAACAGUGGCUGGCCAAAUUGAUGGGGUUUGAAUAUGAAAUCCAAUAUAGGCCCGCCCGUGAGAAUGUUGCCGCCGACGCCCUUUCACGACGACCUGACAGUUCUGCUCUUAACAGGUUAUUUGUGGCGCAGGUAUCUAUUUGGAACGAAAUAAAAACGGCUGCCCAAGAUGAUGAUUACAUGCAGCAAAUUACACAUCAGGCUCUGACUCAACCUACUGGCCCUUAUUUCAUGCGUAAUGGGCUGAUUUUCUUCAAGGGUCGAGUUGUAUUUCCUCUUCGACUCCGUCAAUCUUUAAUUUUUGAAGCCCAUGACACUAAGAUGGGAGGUCAUUCAGGAGUUCUACGUACUUACAAACAUUUGAAACAACAAUUCUUUUGGCCUUCAAUGUUUCAAACGGUUCAUGACUAUGUAGGUAAAUGCGAGAUUUGUCAAAAAACGAAAGCAUCAACCCUUAAGCCUGCGGGUCUCCUCCAGCCCUUGCCAAUUCCUUGCCAAGUGUGGGAUGAUAUCACGCUUGACUUCGUUGAAGGGCUGCCAAACUCACACGGUAAAAAUUCUAUUCUAGUGGUGGUGGAUCGGCUCAGCAAGAGUGCACACUUUAUGGCCUUGACUCACCCAUUCACAGCAAAAACAGUGGCUGAGAAGUUUAUUGAUGGAGUGGUAAAAUUACAUGGCAUGCCGAAAUCAAUAAUCAGUGGUCGAGACCCUAUUUUUAUUAGCAAGUUUUGGCAGGAGUUUUUUCAUAUGUCCGGUACACAACUCAAGAUGAGUUCUGCGUACCAUCUGCAAACCGACGGUCAAACGGAAGUUAUUAAUAGAUGUCUUGAACAAUACCUGCGAAGCUUUGUUCACCAAUGGCGGAAGCAAUGGAACUCUUACCUACCUUGGGCAGAAUACUGGUACAACACAACGUACCAUGAGUCCACAGGCAUGACUCCUUUUUCGGCUUUGUAUGGGCGACAUCCACCGGUAGUACCAAUGUAUCAUGUGGAAUCUUCUCCAGUGCACGAGGUAGAUCAAGCUUUGUUGUCUAGGGAUGAGCUGCUGCGACAAUUAAAACAGAAUUUGAAAAUGGCAACCAAUCGCAUGAAACAAUUUGCGGAUACAAAAAGGCGCGAUGUGGAGUUUAAGGAGGGUGACAUGGUAUUCCUAAGACUUCCACCGUAUAGGCAGACUACUGUAUUCCGUCGUGCUCAUCAGAAGUUGGCCAGUAAAUACUUUGGGCCAUAUCCAAUUCUGCGAAGAGUGGGACAAGUGGCUUAUGAGCUUAAACUACCGACGGGAUCUCGAGUGCAUCCGGUAUUUCAUGUGUCCUUACUCAAAAAAUACGUUGGUGAGAUGCCUCAAUUCAGUGCAGAUCUUCCAUAUGUCAAUGACAACGGAGUACUCGUUUUAGAACCGGACAAAAUUAUUGAUGUUCGUUGGCUUAAAAGAGGUGGCAAGUUGGUGGAACAAAGUCUUGUCCGUUGGAAACGCCUUCCACAUGAGGACGCAACAUGGGAAGAUUCAGAGUUCCUGGCAAAGCAAUUCCCUCACCUGACCCUUGAGGACAAGGGUCCUCUUCGUGGAGGCGGUAUUGAUACGCCGCGGAGGUCGUCAAGGAUUCCAAAGCCUAGCAACAAGUAUGCUGGGUACAUUUGAAUUAUGCAUGGAUGCUCGGAAGUCGAACGGUCACAUGGCUCAAGACUUAUGCAUACGUUACAUGCAACAUGCAGUACGUUGGAAGAAUGGUCGUUGGAGCAGUCUACAUGGAUCAUGGGGGGGAUUCGGUCAACAUGGGAUCACUUGCUGAUUUAAUGGAGAUUUAUCAUUUGGUUUAAUUCAUUUUCGGUUGUUUAGAUAAGCUAAAAGAAUAAGUCAAGUUGUUAGCUUAGGACCUGCCUACAAUCUCGAGUGAUAGUUAGAUUGUUUGGCUAAGUUGUUUUAAGUAUAAAUAAGCUCCAACGGACUUGAAUAAAGGGCAUUGACUAUUAUCUAAAAAUCAAAUAUCUUGUGGUCUUAUUUCUCACCCUAAGUAGAAAUAUAUUCAAUCACUUACGCUUUGACUGGGACCCCUAUCAUGGGCAAACUUCAUAUCGUACUGUCUGGGAAUGAAAUUCCAAAGUGGUUUAAGCUUCAAAGUGUGGGAUCUUUUAUAACCUUGGAGAUGCCACCAGAUUUCUUCCGUAAUAACAUAGUGCAGGGCAUUGCAUUUUGUGCUAUUUUAGCAUUUUCAGACAGUCAUGUAGAUUGUGGCAGAUGGUUUUCAUUUUCUUGUGAGCUCAAAGUGAAAACCACUAAAGAUUGUGGUCCCCAUGGCACAGUUAUUUCAGAGCAGAGUUAAUUAUGUAGAAUCAGAUCACUUAAAUUUGGGAUACUACCUGUUCUGUGAAGAGGAUUUUAAUGGUUUUUGGAAAUGCAAUUGCAUUCCUGAGGCAGUCGACUUUAAUGUUUUUCCACCUCUGGAGUGCCAGUGCUGCGGGGUGAAAAAUGUGGGAUCCAUUUACUUCACACCCAAGAUUCUACGAAUUCAAUAGAAAAUCCAAGCAUGUGUUUCAACUGUAACGAAGAAGACUGAGAUUUUCAUGAAUGUAUUUUCACUGUUUUCCUUUUUCUAAUGACAAUUAAUAACUUUCGAAGAAGACUGAGAAAAUGCCAAAAUCAGUUCUUAGAACAAGACAUCCAUGUAAUAACAUUCGAGGAAUCUGGUGCAUUUAACACAAAUUCACACUAGAGAACUUUACGUUAUUAGGCGAAGAGUAUAAUGUAUGAAAAGCACAUGAUGUAUAUUGUAAAAUUAAAAUUAUCGGCUUUCUUUUUCUUACUUUGUGCACACAACACAUCACGAUUUUGUUAUUGAGCCUUACAACUCAAAACAAUCCACGUAGUUAGGAGAGCACGUAACUUAUAAACCAGUAAUAAAACUCACAAGCUAGGCGAUAUCGGAUAUUACAGGACGCACAACAAUUCUUAUUGGCGAAGCUAUGUUGUGGGCCCAUCUCUCUAUCAAUGAAAACUUGCCACUCACCGCAUUGCGCACCAUAUCAACUCUCAUCUAUAUAAUGCAAUCACAUUUGAAAAUUUUCUACUUUCUUAAGUCUAAAUUUUUGUAUAUGGGAAAGUUUCAUCAUGUGGAAACAAAGCCAUAAACAUGUGUGCACUUUUUCAAGUAUAUGUACCAAUUCCAUAUUUGGAAUGGUGCAUUUGAUUCCACAGUUGACGUGGUAUCGUCUAUCGCUGGAAUUUAUAUUUAUAAAACUGACUUGUAAGGAAAGGAUUGAAGAUGCCUGUGAACUUAUAUUUCGAUUUAGAUUAUUGUAUGUUUUCCAUGUAUAAAAUUGGAUCCUAUCAUUCACAUAUCGUUAACAUGAGCAAUUUAGAUUACUAAAUAAUUCUUCUUUAUUAUUAUGCUGAAUUUGACUUUUUAUUGAAUAAUUUGAUAUAUGCCUUGAAUCAAUUUGGAGCUUCUACAACUUGUCAGGGAUCAGUUUCUCCUACAUUCUUUUCGGCGCCAAAAGAUAUUCAAGCGGUUGAAUAAGAUUUGAUAUAUACAAUAUAAAUACAAGAGCUGUUUGUCUUUUUACAAUAGGAAUAAUAUAUAAUGCUCAUCAAAACUUGCUGAUGAGAAAGUAAAUUCCUCAGAAAUUAAAUGUUUCAGCCAACCAAGGAAGCAGCUUUUCGUGGACCAACUCGGGUCUGUCGUCAUGGGGACAAUGUCCUACUCCUUCCAACACAAUUAACUUCACAUAUGAAAGUUGAGAAGGCAGAGAUUAGAAGUAUCUACCAACAGGUCCAUCGAGGGGGGUGAAUGGAUCCUCAUCACCCUAUAAAACUAGUACAGGUAUAGAGAUUGAUGGCAUCAAUUGCACGGGGUUCGGCCCUGGUGGGCCUGUCACAAUCGAAACAAAUGCAUCAAGUGCCCCUUCAUCAUUGGCGGGUUCUCGAAUGAUCUGCAAUUUUUAGGUCAAUUCAUGAAUUCUGAGUAGCCAUUUUUGUAAGAGGUUAAAAUGGCACAUAAGUGGAGAAUAUUAAUACCUCUACCAGUGUUUCAUCCACAGAUUUCUUAUUUGCAUAGAUGGACAGUAAAAUGUUCCUCAGUGUUUCCCUACAGCACCAAUAUAUACACAUCAUAGAAUUUUUUUAAUUUUUGACUGUACUGUUUUAGGAUAACGAAAAAUGGACUGAAUAGAGAGAAGAGAAAAUACCUUCGUUUCACAUCUUCAAAGAUUGCAUCUGCAAUUGGCCUUUGCUUAAACAAGAAAUCAAUGAACCAAAGCACUUCCNNNNNNNNNNNNNNNNNNNNNNNNNNNNNNNNNNNNNNNNNNNNNNNNNNNNNNNNNNNNNNNNNNNNNNNNNNNNNNNNNNNNNNNNNNNNNNNNNNNNNNNNNNNNNNNNNNNNNNNNNNNNNNNNNNNNNNNNNNNNNNNNNNNNNNNNNNNNNNNNNNNNNNNNNNNNNNNNNNNNNNNNNNNNNNNNNNNNNNNNNNNNNNNNNNNNNNNNNNNNNNNNNNNNNNNNNNNNNNNNNNNNNNNNNNNNNNNNNNNNNNNNNNNNNNNNNNNNNNNNNNNNNNNNNNNNNNNNNNNNNNNNNNNNNNNNNNNNNNNNNNNNNNNNNNNNNNNNNNNNNNNNNNNNNNNNNNNNNNNNNNNNNNNNNNNNNNNNNNNNNNNNNNNNNNNNNNNNNNNNNNNNNNNNNNNNNNNNNNNNNNNNNNNNNNNNNNNNNNNNNNNNNNNNNNNNNNNNNNNNNNNNNNNNNNNNNNNNNNNNNNNNNNNNNNNNNNNNNNNNNNNNNNNNNNNNNNNNNNNNNNNNNNNNNNNNNNNNNNNNNNNNNNNNNNNNNNNNNNNNNNNNNNNNNNGUUGAAUUAAUAUACCUGAGGCAGCAAAAACACAAGGUAGGCUUCGAACAGAAUUACGUACAAGCACUAUUGGCUUCUGAGCAGCUUCAUCCAAGAAAUCCAAUAGUAGCUGUAUCGGUGAGUCUCACUCAAGUUAGCAAGGAAAAUAACUACAAAUUAAAUAUGUGUUCAUUGUCCACAAUUUACAAAUUAAAUAUGUGUUCAUUGUCCACAAUUCAAUCUGUCAAAUGUAUGUUGAAACUUAUGGAAGUCGUUUUUUUUGUUGUCAAUAAUUUUGAAUUUUCAGGCACAUUUGGCACCACAAAGCCAUACCCAAUUUAACUUCCAAAAAUACAUCAAUAGGUCACUGGAAGAGGAUUUCAAGGUGGUUGUGGGAAUCAGGUCAGUACAUUUAGUUGUAAACCUUCUUAUUUAUUUAGUAGUGAUGCACAUCUUAAUUGCAAAUUCCACGUUAUAAACGAACUUAACCCUUUUUAUUGCUUUAAUUUCAAUUUCAGUCCAUUAAUCUGGUUCUUCGCAGUGGUGUUUCUGCUUUUCAACACUCAUGGUGAGUAAAUUAUAUUUUCAAAUAAUACUCAUUUAUGUUCCAUGUGUUUUAUUUUUAUAUCCAAUACUAACCGAACAAACUGACUAAUAUUUCAUCUUACAAUUCUUUCUGUACAGGCUGGUAUGCUUAUCUAUGGCUACCCUUUAUCCCAUUAAUUGUAAGCACAUAUAAUUAAGUUAAUUAUCUUUCCAAACUUUUAUACAUCCUUAAUCAGCCUACCCUUUUUAUUAGUUAACAGCGGGAUUAUUAAUCAACGGCUGAUGAUAAAUUUGCAGGUGAUCUUGCUGGUGGGAACCAAGCUGCAAGUGAUCAUAACCAAAAUGGGAAUUAGAAUUCAAGAAAGAGGAGAAGUUCUAAAGGGAGUUCCAGUAGUUCAGCUUGGUGAUGACCUGUUUUGGUUCAGUCAGCCUCGCCUCAUUCUUUAUCUCAUCAACUUUGUUCUCUUUCAGGUACCUAUUUAACUUGUAAAUUGAUGAUAUAAAUACAGGAGUUGUGAAAUAACUUUAAAGGAAAAUAAUUGCUUAUCCUUAACAUUUGUGGAUGCCUACAAUUAUAUGUUCACAGAAGUAAAUAGAAUAAAAAAAAAUAGUACAUUAUCAAUAAGAAAAGUUUACUACAAGAUGAAAAUUAUUUUUUGUCAUUUGUGCCUUGUGUACUAAAUUUUGUGUUAUUUUAUUACAUAUAAUAUUAUUCUACGGAAUGCGGGAAGAAAAAAUGUGGGGUCGAUUUAUUGUAAGCCCCAAAUUCAACCGAAGAUCCAAGCGCAAGUUUCAAACUAAACCAACCCAAAGUUUGGGCAACAGUCCAACGCAACCCAACUAAAAUCAUUUUAAUUUGAUUUUAGUUUGGGUUGACUUAGGCUUUGAUAAAUUCACAUGUUGUAUACCAUAAUUAAAAAAAGUAUCAUUUGUCAUACAUUUUAUACAUUAAACACAUAAACGUCCUCUCUGGAAUCUUUGUGGGCAACGCAUACGUGGUAUCUUCACUAAUAAGUGUUGAAUCUUUAGCUUCAAAGGAAAGAAACUAAAAAGGUUUGUAAAUUUACCCCACUUCUAGAAAAUAAUUAUAAUGAAUUCACAAUAGUUUUUAAAAAUUCAAAUUAAUAAAAAUUUUGUAUAGUUAAUCAAUUAAAUCCUUCUAUUAUUUUUUUUAUUAGAUUUCUUUGAGUGUAUUUGAUCAUAAACUUGAUAUAAAUUUUACUUUACUAUUUUAGUAUUAUGAUAUAAAAUGGCCAAAUUGUACAAUAAACACGGGUUAUUGUAUCCAAUAAUUUAGGUAUUUAAUUAUGUGAACUAAUAUUUUUAAAUGAAAUUUAACUAUUAUUUUCACUAUCUUACCUGUAAAUGAUGUAAAUUUGACAAGCUAAUAAUUUAUAUGAGUAUUGUGCCAUAAAGGCAUUAUGUUUGUUUAAUUAAUGUUUUACAAUCAUACUAAUAAAAUAGUAUUAAAAAUAAUGAAUUUGGUAUAAAAUUAGAAAAUAUUGAAGUUAAAGAAUUAGUUUUACCUUAUAAGGAUAAAAUAAUCAAUUUAGACUUAUGUCAAAUCAAUCUUUAUGAUCAAAUAUAAUAAAAAAAUUUAAGUCACAAAAAGUAAAUUAAAAUAGAUUUGUUAAUUUGUUCUCCAAAGUUCAAAAUGAGUAAAAGGGAUUAGGCUUCGUAGUUUAGGAAAUAAAUUUACUGAAUAGAAAUAUUUUUAGUAUAUAUUAUUUAUUUUUCAUUCAAACAUUUUCUCAUUUCAGCAAAGGUCACAAAAAUUUACUUAUUUAAUUUAAAUGUAAAUGUCUAAAAAUUAGAUAUAAAUUAUUAAAAAAAAUUAAUUUUUUAAAAAAAGUUAGACUUCCUAUGUUUAACAAUCAACCCUAAGGAUAAUGAAAAAGAGCUAUUAAAACAAAAAAAAAAAAUUUUGAAACUAAAUACAAUUAAUUGAGAGAUGAGGACGGAUAAGAUAAAUUCAGAGAUAAAAAUUAAAAUAUCACCCUACUUAUUGCUGGCAGUUAUGAGCAUUAAAGCACAGAAGCACGUGUGUUGAAAAGUAUGGUGUUCGUGUGGAAUUUUCAGCUAAAAGUCUACAAGGCAGUUGAAUUAAUCAAUCAUCGUGGAGUGCACGGUGGUUGGACAAUGAGAUGAAAUUGAAAAACUAUCACGGAACUUGAAGGAAGGUUCAUGGCAUCGAUUUAUUCUACAGAGUCACGCACAUUUGGUUCAAUAAUUGUUUUCAUCCGAAUCAAAAUCUCUCUCUCAUCAAUUCAACUGUUUCUGUUGAUUAUGGCUUCUUCUUCUCGAAACAACAAGAAGUAUGAUGUUUUUGUUAGUUUCAGAGGAGAGGACACCCGCGACAACUUUACUAGCCAUCUCUAUUCUGCUCUGAGCCGACAAAAUAUCCAAACUUUCAUUGAUGACCAACUUAACAGAGGAGAUGAAAUUUCGGAGUCACUUGUGAAUGCAAUUGAAGCAUCAGCCAUUUUAGUUAUUGUCUUCUCAGAAGGGUAUGCAUCUUCCAAAUGGUGUCUCGAUGAACUUGUCAAGAUCCUCAAGUGCAAGAAAGAGUAUGCACAGAUUGUGAUUCCGGUUUUCUAUCGGGUUGAUCCAUCAGACGCGAGAAACCAAACAGGGCCUUUUGGGAUUUCAUUUUCGAAGCUUGAAGAAAGAUUUAAGGAGAAUUCAGAGAAGCUGCAGACUUGGAGGAAAGCUUUGAAGGAAGCAGCCAGUUUGUCUGGCUUUCAUUCUCUUAACAUCAGGUGAAAUUGAAAAGUCACCUUUAAUUUCUCAUACUAAUAUUUAACAAUAAAUAAAAUUCACGCAACACUCUUAGUUAAAUUUCCAGAUGCUAAACUACAAUUUUAAAUAUUUUUAAGCAUCAAAUUCUAGACUUCUUGACUUCCCCACUUUUGUGCUCUAUAAUUAUAAAAUAAUUUUGACAGAAUUAAUAAUAGAAGCGCGAGAAUUUUACAAUUUUUACAUAGCAAAAUUAGUGGUAAAAAAAAAAUCACACAUAUUCCUGUAACUUAAGAGUUAUCAAUUUAUUGUGAGAUUGUAGACUUAUAGUGAUAUAUAUUAAUUUCAAUAGGAAAACUAACAAUCUACCUUAUUUCAUAUUUAAUACAAAUUCCUAGCUCCUAUUAAUUAAUUUGAAGUUACCUCGGCUAAUUUUAUGUAUUUGCUAGGCGUGAGUCAGAACUUAUAAAUGAAGUUGUUAAUCACAUUUUGAAGAGAUUGGAUGAUGUGUUUCGGCCGGGUGAUAACAACAACCAGCUGGUUGGACUAGAAUCAACAGUUGAGAAAAUUGAAUCUCUAUUAGGUGUUGAGUCGAAAGAUGUUUGGGCUUUAGGGAUUUGGGGCAUUGGUGGUAUAGGCAAAACAACAAUCGCUAGAGCUACUUUCGACAAAAUCUCUAGAUAUUUUGAAGGUUCUUGCUUCCUUGAAAAUGUCAGAGGAGAAGUACAAAGACCGGGAGGAUUAGCUUGCCUGCGACAAAAACUUCUUUCAAAUUUAUUGAAGGAUAAAAAUGUGAUUCUUGAUAUUGGCCUCAAUUUUCGAAGGCUCAGCCGCAUGAAGGUUCUGAUUGUUUUUGAUGAUGUGACUUGCUUCAGCCAAUUGGAAUCUUUAAUUGGAAGUCUUGAUUGGUUGACGCCUGUGAGUCGAAUCAUAAUAACCACCAGAAAUAAACAAGUGCUUAGAAAUUUGGGGGUGGGGAAAGUAUAUGAGAUGGGGCCAUUAGAGUAUCAUCACGCUCUUGAGCUUUUUAGUCGACAUGCCUUCAAACGAAACCAUCCUGAUGUUGGUUACGAGAAACUUUCAAGCAACGUAAUGAAAUAUGCUCAAGGUGUUCCUUUAGCUAUUAAAGUUUUGGGUUGCUUUCUAUAUAUAAGGGAAAAAGAAGUCUGGGAAAGUGCAAUAAAUAAAUUGCAAAGUAUCCUCCACCCAAGUAUCCUAGAGGUAUUAAAAAUAAGUUACGAUGGUUUGGACGAUAAGGAGAAAAAUAUUUUCCUUGAUGUUGCUUGUUUCUUUCAAGGCGAGGGUGUAAAUCUGGUAAUGAAAUUCUUUAAUGCAAGCGGUUUCUAUCCAGAAAUAGGAAUAAGUGUUCUCAUCGAUAAAUCUCUCAUUGUUAUUGAUUCAUACAGCAAGAUAACAAUGCAUGAUUUACUACAAAAAUUGGGUCGGGAAGUUGUUCGACAAGAAUCAAUUAAUCCUGAAAACCGCAGUAGGCUGUGGCAUCAUGAGGAUACCUAUGAAGUUCUUACACAUAAUACGGUAAUCAUUUUGUUGUGGAUCAUUAUUUUGGAAUAUUAUAGCAUUUACAAACUUGAUAUAUAUAUAUAUAUAUCGAACCGAUGAGCCUUGGAAUUAAUAGCAGUGUGACAAUGAUUAGGAAAAAAAAAACAAUAAUGGUUAAAUGAUGUAACGUGUGAUCGUUUGUAAGCCUAAUUUAAAUAUCAACUUGUAUACUAUACAUACAUAAUUUUUAUGUUAAAUAUUAUGUGUGAUAUUAUGUUUCUUUGUGCAUUUGCAAUUAAGAGUUUAGCUGCCGAGCAAUAACCUUAAACAUGGAUUAUUGAAAUUUGAUUCCUGUAAUGGCAGAGAGCCCCACUCCUAUCCCACCUCAACCCUACUCAAGAAUAAAUAAACGUUGAAUUAAAAACUAAGCUACCUCUAAUCGUGAAUUAAUGACAAACUUGCCCCAAAAAUUUGUCUUCGUUGGGUUGAGGUGCGAUUCAUUGGUGGAAUAUACAUAUCAUUUUUCAUUUAAUUUUAACUUUAUUCUUUUUUUUUUAAAUUAAAUUUUAGGGGACAGAAAAAAUUGAGGGCAUUUGUUUGGAUAUGUCAAAAGUAAAAGAUAUCCAUCUAAAUCCCAGUACUUUCACAAAGAUGCGUAAGUUGAGAUUUUUAAAAUUCUAUAGCUCAUCAUUCAAUGGAGAGAACAAAUGUAAGUUGUCUUAUUUGCAAGACCCCGGAUUUGCUGAAGUGAAGUAUUUUUACUGGCAUGGAUACCCGUUGAAGUCAUUGCCUUCAAACCUUAAUGCAGAGAAGCUUUUGUUUCUUGAACUGCCUGAUAGCGACAUUGAACAACUUUGCGAUGGUGUGAAGGUAUGUAUAUCUUGAUAUAUAUGUGCAAUCUUUCAAUAAUAACGUUAAAUUAUCAUACAUGGUAAUGAUUUUGUGUUGGCUUCUUUUUGAUCGAGCAGCGUCAUGGUAAGUUAAACCAGAUAAUCCAUGCUGCCUGCAAGAAGCUAAUUGCCAAAAUUCCAAGCCCCACGUUGAUUCCACAUCCGAACAAGCUAGUUGCCUUGAAUCUAAGAGGUAGCAAAAGCCUGAAAAGUCUUCCAGCUAGAAUAUUUAAUUUGGAAUUUCUUAUCGAACUUGAUCUUUCGGGUUGUUCAAAACUGAAGAGGCUUCCAGACAUCUCAUCUGGUAACAUAAGCCGGCUAUAUUUAAGUGGAACUGCAAUUGAAGAACUGCCCUCAUCAUUUCAGCUUCUACUUAGGCUUUCGUGGCUGGACCUUUCAGAUUGUAAAAUGCUUAAGAGUCUCCCCAGCAGCCUAUGUAAGUUGAAAUCUCUUGGAGUUCUUGAUCUCCAUGGUUGCUCAAAUCUUCAGAGAUUGCCUGAACGUCUUGGCCAGUUAUCGUCGCCAAUAGUAUUGAAUCUAGUGAAAACCAAUAUUGAGAAGAUACCAGAAAGCAUUAUCCAACUUUUUGUGUUGGGAUGCCUCCUUUUAAAUUAUUGUGAGGUGCAUCACGAAUCCUUACCAAAGCCUCCAUUCCUUGUACGAUGGUUAGGUGCCGAUCAUUGCCCGAUACUACAAUCAUUAAUAGGUUUAUUCUCUAAGUUCUGAAUCUUAUAAGCAGUGAUUUUUGACCAAAGCAAUAAUUUUUAAUUGGAAGGUAAUUCUACUGCAGGAAUUAUUGAAGAUUCUCAGAGAAGUGAGCAUAUGGGCCAUGUGGUAGCUGCCCGUUGGAAAGAAGUACGGGAAAAGGUGUGUCUUAACUCUCUCUCCUUACUUUAUACAACAUUUGUUUUGUUUAAAAUUAUGAUUUUUUGGUGCAGAGAGGUAUUCCCAUGGAAAAAAGUCAUUUUGUACUAGUUGGGAAUGAAAUUCCAAGGUGGUUUAAUUUUCAAAGUGUGGGAUCUUUUAUAACCUUGGAGAUGCCCCCAGAUUUCUUCAAUAACAACAGAGUACUGGGCUUUGCAUUUAGUGCAAUUUUAGCAUUUUCAGACCGUCAUGUAGAUUGUGGCAGAUGGUUUUCAUUUUCUUGUGAGCUCAAAGUGAAAACCAACAAAGAUUGUGAUCUGCAUGACAAACGGUUAUUUCAGAGCAGAGUUAAUUAUAUAGAAUCAGAUCACUUACAUUUUGGGUACUAUCUGUUCUGUGAAGAGGAUUUUAAUGGUUUUUGGAAAAGCAAUUCCAUUCCUGAGGCCGUCCACUUUAAUGUUUUUCCGCCUUUGAAGUGUGAGUGCUGCGGGGUGAAAAAAUAUGGGAUCCAUUUAGUUUGCCUCCCAGAUUCUACGAAUUCAAUGGACGAUCCAAGCACAUGUUUCAACGAUAACGAAGAAGACUAAGAUUUUCAUGAAUAUAUUUUUUUUUUGCUUUCCUUUUUCUAAUCACUAUUAAUAAUAGGAAAAAAUGUCAAAAUCAGUUCUUGGAACAAAACAUUCAUGUAAUAACUUUCGAGGGAUCUGGUGCAUGUGACACAGAUUCACACUAGAGCAUUGAACUUUACCUUAUUAGAUGAAGAGUAUGUUGUAUGAAAAGCACAUGAUGUAUUAUAAAAUUAAAAUUAUUGGCCUAUUUCCUGCUUUGCACACGCAACCCAUGACGAUUUUGUUAUUGAGCUUUGUAACCCAAAACACAUCUACUUAGUUAGGAGAGUACAUGACUUAUAAACAAGUAAAAAAAACUCACUUGCUAGUGAUGUGAGAUAUUUCAUGACGUGCAGCAAGUUCUUAUUGGCAGAGCUAUGUUGUGGGCCCAUAUCUCUAUCAAUGAAAACAUGUCACUCACCCCGUUGGCGCACUAUAUCAACUCUCAUGUAUAUAACACAAUCACAUUUGACAAUUUUCUAUUUCUUAAAUCUAAAUUGUUGUAUAUGGGAAGUUUCAUCAUUGGGAAGCAAAAGCCAUAAAGAGGGAACAGUCAAAACACCAUCAAAUCUAAUAUAUUUUAAAAAAUAUAUUUGUAUACUGAUUAAAAAAAGAAGAAAGAACAGGAUAGGUGUCAUUUUGACUCAACUCAUUUGUGUUGUGAAUCCAUUUGCUUAAACAUGUAUGCACUUUUUCAAGUAUCUAUACCAAUUCCAUAAUCGGAAUGGUGCAUUUGAUUCCAUAGUUGACAUGGUAUCGUCAUAUGGCUAGAAUUUAAUUACCGUUAAAAAACUGACCUGUAAGGAAAGGAUUAAAGAUGCCCGUGAACUUAUAUUUCUAUUUAGAUUAUUUUAUUUUUUCCAUGUGUAAAGUUGAAUCCUAUUAACAUGAGCGAUAUAAAUUACUAAAUCGUUGUUCUCUAUUCUUUAGAUUGCUGUAUCUUUUUCAUGUAAAAAAUCGAAGCCUUUCAUUAACAUAUCAUUAACAUGAGCAAUAUAGAUGACUAAAUCAUUGUUCUUUACUAUUGUGCUGAAUUUGACUUUUUGAAGCGAGUUAGACUUUUCAUUGAAUUAUUUGGUACAUUUCUUGAAUCAAUUUGGAGCUUCUGCAACACGUCAGGGAUUAGUAUCUCCUACAUUCCUUUCAGUGCCAAAAGAUAUUCAAGCAGUUGAAUAAGAAUUGAUAUAUACAAUGUAAAUACUAGAAUUGUUUGUCAUUUUACAAAUGAUCAACAAUUGCCUUGUUGUUCAUGCUGCCACCAGCACAAUUCAACAAAACAAGCCCUCGAACAAGUGUUUGACUGGAUUCUUAUGGUAGAAAAUAUAGCAGGUUUAUCGCAAACCAUAGUUACCGAAAAGGCUAAUUAAGUGCGGGUGUUUUUUUGCAAGCAAGAUGACUAAUAUCUGAUGCCCAAGAGGAAGUUAAAUUAAUAUACCUGAGGCAGCAAUAACACAAGUAGAGAUGGUCAAUGCAAGGCCCAUGCGUGCUUGUGCCCGUGCAGUGCCCAUUAUAUGUUUCGUGCCGUGCCAUAAUUUUUUUUGCUUAGGACAGGGCCGGCACACGUGUCAUGUCUAUUAGUGCCGUGCCGACACAUGCCUUGCCAUGGGCUGUACCGUGCCGUGCCAUGCCUAAGAAAAAAAGCCCAAUAAACUUUUUUCUUUUUUUUAAAUUUUUUUAAGAGCACAUGCUAAACUGUUGGUGUACUUUUUUCAAGUAUAUGUAUUCUUUCUUGGGUCUAUGUCUUUAUUCAAAUUUAAUAGAAUCGAAAAAAUUCAAAAUUCAAGUUCAUAUUUAAUAAUAAUAAACUAAUAAUAGUAAGAAAAUAUAAUAUUAAUUAUUAAGUUUGACCUUAUAGUAUUAGAAUUUUCUUAAUACUUAACAACAACAAUAAUAAUAAAUUUUUUUUAAAGGUUAACUUAAUUGUUAACUUGUGCUUACAUAGAGUUAUAAAUCAUAGUUCAUAAUAAUAUUAAUGCAUAUUUAUAAAAUCAUGAUAUUUAUAAUUUUAUUCAUUAAAAUCAUGAUAUCAAUUAUUUAUUUAAUAAAUUAUAAAUAUAAAUCAAUUAUAGUAUUUUUUAAACUAAGAAUUUAAUGAAUUUAAAAAUUCAAUUUCAAGUUAUUUGUAAAAUCAUAAAAUUUUAAGUUUACCUUCAUUAAAAAAUAAAACGUGCUUAUUGCAGCCUUUUUUAUCGUGUCGUGCUUAGCUCAUCUCUAAUCGUACCGUGUUUUUAAGGCAUGUGUGCGUAAAAUUCUAAGUUCGGCCUGGCAGAUGUGUGUGCCGUGCCCCGCGCCCUACCGAAAUGUGCUCGUGUAUUGCCGUGCCACGUGCCGUCCGACCCAUUGGCCAUCUCUAAACACAAGUUAGGCUUCGAACCGAAUUACGUAUAAGCACAGCUGGCUUCUAAGCAACUUCAUCCAAGAAAUCCAACAUUAGCUGUAUCGAUGAGUCUCACUCAAGUUAGCAAGGAAAAUAACCUAAGGUCGAGCGAUUGAUGAUAUAAGUAUAGGAGCUGUCAUAUUUGACCCCCUUAUUAUAUUUUAUUAGCCCCAUUAAUCACUUUUAUAUAAAUAGUUUUUACUCUUUAUCUUUAUAUGAAAUAACUUGAAAGGAAAAUAAGUAAUGAUCCUUAGCGUUUGUGGAUGCCAACUAUAUGUACACAACAGUAAAUAGUAUAAAAACUAGUACAUUAUAAAAAAAAUCACUACAAAAUAAAAAUUAUUUUUGUCAUUUGUGCCUGUGUUAUUUUUAUUACAUGUAAUAUUAUUGCACGGAUGCGGGAAGAAAAAAUUUGGGGUCAAUUUGUUGUAAGCCCCAAAUGCAACCGAAGAUCCAAGCGCAAGUUUCAAACCAAACCAACGCAAAGUUUGCGCGGCAAUCCAACUCAACCCAACUAAAAUCAUUUUAAUUUGAUUAUAGUUUGGGUUGACUUAAGCUUUGAUAAAUUCGCAUGUUAUAUAACACAAUUAAAAUAAAAUAUCAUUUGUCAUACAUUUUAUUCAUUAAAAACAUAGUAAAAAAAAUUUCAAAAAUUCAGUGGCGCCCAACGUCCUUUCUGGUAUCUUUGUGGGCAACACGUACGUGGUGUCUUCACUAAGUGUUGAAUCUUUAGCUUCAAAGGAAAGAAACAAAAAAAAAAGGUAGGGAUAUUUCCACCCCAUUAUUUUUGUAAAUUCACACCACUUUUAUAAAAUAAUUAUAAUGAAUUCACAAUAUUUUUAAAAAAUACAAAUUAAUCAAAAUUGUGUAUAGUUAAUCAAUUAAAUCAUUCUAUUAUCUUACUUCUUAGAUUUCUUUGACUCUAUUUGAUCAUGAACUCUGAUAUAAAUUUUAUUUUUCUAUUUUAUUAUUAUGAUAUAAAACAAAAAAAUUGCCUAACUAACAUGAGUUAUUGUAUCUAAUAAUUUAUGUAUUUAAUUAUGUGAACUAAUAUUUUAAAUGAAAUCUAAUUAUUAUUUUCACUACCUUACAAAUAAAUGAUAUAAAUUUGACAAGCUAAUAAUUUACAUGAGUAUUGUGCCAUAAAGACAUUAUGUUUGUUUAAUUAAUGUUUUAUAAUCAUACUAAUAAAGUAGUAUUAGAAAUAAUGAAUUUGGUAUAAAAUUAGAAAAUAUUGAAGUUAAAGAAUUAGUUUUACCUUAUAAGGAUAAAAUAAUCAAUUUAGACUUAUGUCAAAGCAAUCUUUAUGAUCAAAUAUAAUAAAAAAUAUUUAAGUCACAAAAAGUAAAUUAAGAUAGAUUUGUUAAUUUGUUCUCCAAAGUUCUUUUUUAUUUAAUUUUUUUAAAAAAUAAUGUGUACUUUUUGUAAUUAUUUUUUAAAAAUGGAGUGGAUUUGGAGAUAUCAUUAGCCAACAAAAAAUUUAGUAAGGAUUAAUUUGAUAAUUGCCCAUAAAAAGAAGGCAUAUGUGCAUGUGGUGGUAGGGAAGCGUUUUUCCAUUCUACAAUUACAUGUAAGAAUCUAUUAUAAAAAAUUUAUCAGUUCUUCACUCCACUAAAAUUUAUCAGAGAAUGAGGUGAAAAAUAUGGGCCAAAUAAAACUAUUAACAUAUAAAAAAAUUUAAAUUAUUAAAAAUAAUAACUAAAAAAUACAUAUUUGUUAAGAAUUUUGGAAUUAUUUUUCUUUGAGUAAUGAUACUAUAAUUCAAAAGACGCUUUUUGAAUUACAUCAGAUUUUUUAUUCAAAACGAACAAAGGGAUUAUAUUUUACCAUUUAGGAAAUAACUAUAUUUAGUAGAGAUAAUUUUGGGAUAUAUCAUUUACUUUCUAUUGAGACAUUUUCAUAUAUUAGAUAAAAGUUACAAAAGUUUACAUUAAAAAAAAAGAAAAAUUAGACUUCACACGUUUAACAAAUAACCCGAAGGAGUAUGAAUAAGAAUUAUUAAAAUAAAAAUGAUAAAUAAGGAUAAUUUUAAAAUUAAAUGCAAUUAAUGGAGAGAUGAUGACUGAUAAGAAAACUUGGGGGGCAAAAAUUAAAAUAUCAACCUACUACUCAUGGUUGAUAGUCAUGACCCACUCAAUUUGAGAAUUAAAAGCACAAAAGCCAUGUGUUGAAAACUUUGGUGUUCAUGGGGAAAUUUCAGCAAAAAGUCUAAAAAGCAGUGAAAUUAUCUUGCAGUGCACGGUGCCGGGACAAUGAGAUGAAGUUGAAAAAUUAUCACGAAAAAUUCCAAGGAAGAGUGCCAAUAGUCUUACUCAUAACGCCGUGUCUAACUCAAAACACAGAGUAGGAGUUCUAUGAAAGUAACGGAAGAGUGCCAAUAGUCUUAACUCAUAAUUUCAACUGAAAAAAUCUGCCAAGUCGAAAAAUUAGGUGGGCAUUCCAAUAACCCUUGAAUAUUCCACGAAUCAUUGUCCAGGAAGCUUGGAAAAUGAGCUAUCAGGUCAAUAUAUGCUGCAGAGUCACGCUCAUUUUGGCUUUGUAAUUGUUUUCAUCUUAUCACAAUCUCUCUCUAAUCAAUUCAACUGCUUCUGUUGAUUAUGGCUUCUUUUUCUGGAAACAACAAGAAGUAUGAUGUUUUUGUUAGUUGCAGCGGAGAAGACACCUGCGACAGCUUUACUAGCCAUCUCUAUUCAGCCCUGUCUCGACAAAAUAUCCAAACUUUCAUUGAUGACCAACUUAACAGAGGAAAUGAAAUUUCAGAGUCACUUGCGAUUAAAGCAUCAGCCAUUUCGGUUAUCAUUUUCUCUGAAGACUACGCUUCUUCCAGAUGGUGUCUUGAUGAACUUGUGGAGAUCCUCGAGUGCAAGAAAUGUUGUGCGCGGAAUGCAGAAUCAAGCGAACCAAAUAAUUAUAGAAAAAUAAAUGACACAAGAAUUACGUGGUUCGGUAAUUAAACCUACAUUCACGGAGGCAAGAAAGAAUAAUUGUUUAUUUAACAAUUAAUAGAGUACAAAUAUUUGAGUAACGAAUCUCACUUCCUAGAAACCCAAAUAUACCCAGUACUCUCACACUCUGCAGGAAAGAUAAAUUCCUCAGACACACUUCUCUCAAAAGCUUAGAAACUUAUAAGCUUAACAAUUUUGGGAUGAAAUGGAAUGAAGAAAUGCUCUCUAUUUAUAGGCUUAAAGCUAGUACUAUUCCACCUAACCCAUGCAAAUAUGUCAAUAGUGUCCAUUUGGCAAACUUGACAAAUUUGCCAACUUUUCAUUUUUUCUUCAAAUGUUUGGUAGCUCUUUGAAAAAUUGCAUGCUUUCUUGAAUUUCAUGCCACGUGCAUGAUUUUUCAACAAUUCUCCACUCGGCGAAAAUUUGUCCAAAUUUGAGCCGACUACCAACGAACCAUCAUCCCCAAAGUGGCUGCAUCUCUGUGACUGUCUACGUACCCAAAAUUUGGGAUCAAGCCAACCGUAGUUCAAAAUUCCCGAAGGACAUAUCUUAACACAAGCGAAGGAUUUGAAUUAGUUUCAAGCAAUGUUGAAACUUAACUCCAGAAACUACCCUCGUCAACAUAUCUGAUGGAUUAUCUUUGGUAUCGAUCUUUCUCAACAAUACAACACCGCUCUCGAUAAUCUCUCUCACAUAAUGAUAUUUCACAUCUAUGUGCUUCGUUCGAGCGUGAUAUGUUUGAUUCUUCGCAAGGAAUAUCGCACUUUGAUUAUCAUAGAAGACCGCAAUGUUCUCUUGGAUUACUCCCAAAUCACCUAACAAGCCUUUCAACCAGAUAACUUCUUUUACAGCUGCAGUUGCUGCCAUAUACUCUGCUUCCGUAGUGGACAGAGCAAUUGUCGAUGGCAAAAUCGACCUCCAACUAACUGGAUCUCCACCCAAUGUGAAUACGUAGCCUGUUGUUGAUCUUCACUUGUCAAGGUCUCCAGUGAAAUCAAAAUCACAAUACCCAACACAUUGUUGACCACAAUCCUUCUUGAACAAUAACCCAACAUCAACUGUCCCAUACAGAUAUCGGAGAAUCCACUUUACCUCAAGCCAUUGAUUUUUACCUGGAUUGUGCAUGUAUCUACUUACCAUGCUCACUGCUUGAGAUAUAUCGGGCCUUGUGCAUACCAUAGCAUACAUAAGACUACCCACGGCACUAGCAUAUGGAACACAAGCCAUGUAAUCGCGCUCUUCUUGAGAUCUAGGACAUGAAGAAGAGCUUAAUUUGAAAUGAGGAGCUAGAGGUGUACAUACCGGUUUAGUUUUGUCAUCCAUACUGAAUCUUUCUAGCACUUUCUUCAAAUAAUACUUUUGAGUCAACCAUACGCUCCCAUUCUUCUUGUCUCUACGAAUCUCCAUCCCAAGUAUUCUCUGUGCAUCACCCAAGUCUUUCAUCUCGAACUCAGAAGCCAGCUGCUUCUGUAAUCUUUCGAUCUCAUCUCUAUUCUUCGAAGCUAUAAGCAUAUCAUCGACAUAGAGUAACAAAUAGAUGAAACCUCCAUCUGGUAGUCUUCUAAAGUAAACACAAUGAUCGUGUUCACUUCUGGUGAAUUUCUACCCUUGUAUAAAUUGAUCAAAUCUUUUGUACCACUGCCUUGGCGAUUGCUUCAGUCCGUACAAAGAUUUAAUCAACCUACACACAUGAUUCUCCUUUCAGCAACUCUGAAACCACAAGGUUGAAUCAUAUAAAUUUCCUCCUCCAAAUCUCCAUGUAAGAACGUCGUCUUAACAUCCAACUGAGCCAACUCUAACUCAUUUUCUGCAACUAAAGCAAGUAGGAUACGAAUGGAAGUAUGUUUUACAACUGGAGAGAAAACUUAAUUGUAGUCAAUACCUUUCUUUUGAGCAAAACCUUUUGCCACGAGCCUUGCCUUGUAUCGAGGAGUUGAUUGAGUCAGAGAUGCUUGCUUUUUGGUGUAGACCCAUUUAUUGCCAAUAGCCCUUUUCUCCUUUGGUAAUUUUACAAGUUCCCAAGUCUGGUUUUGAUGGAGAGAUUUCAUCUCUUCCUCCAUGGCUAACUUCCACUGAUCACUUUCGCUACUAUGUAAUGCUUCACCGAAAGUGUUGGGGAUGUCAUCAUCAAUAACUGGAAGUGCAUAGGCUACCACCAGAGCUUUAGUAAGUCAUCCGGGUUUCUUUAUCUCUCUUCUUGGCCUCCUUGUUGCUAUAAAAUCAUCAUUAUCUACAUCAUCAAUUGUUUCUUCAUUUUGUGGGACAUCAGAAGAAACAACCUCUUCUUCAACUCUAGGUGUCACCUCCAUAGUUGAACCAUUCUUUGAUGUAGAACUAACUGGUACAUAUAGAGUUGCAUCAAACUCCACCCGCUGCAAUACCUCUUUGGUCUUGUUCUCCACCUGCUGAGAACUUGAAGCUUUCAUUAUUGAAGCUUCAUCAAAUGUGACAUCUCUACUACACACAAACUUUUUAUCUUCGAGAUCCCAAAGCUUAAAGCCCUUUACUCCACGUUUGAAUCCCACAAAGAUAGCUUUUUUAGCACGAGGAUCCAGUUUACCAUCUUUAAUAUGAUAAUAAGCUGGACAUCCGAAUAUACGAAGGGAAUCAUAGUCUUGUGCAUGCUUUCCAGACCACAUUUCUAUAGGAGUUUUACCUCCAAUUGCAGUAGAAGGCAACCGGUUUACCAAGUGACUUGCGUAGCCCACAGCUUCAGCCCAAAACUUUUUAUCUAAACUAGCAUUAGAUAACAUACACCGUACCUUCUCCAGUAAAGUAUGAUUCAUACGCUUAGCCACACUGUUCUGUUGUGGAGUAUGUCUCAUCGUGAAAUGUCUUUUAAUAUCCUCAUUCUGGCAUAAUUGCAAGAAUGGAUCAGAAGUAUAUUUACCCCCAUUAUCAGAUCGUAAUACUUUGAUCUUUCUGCCAGUUUGAGUCUCCACCAAUUUCUUCCAUUUCACGAAAAUCUCUAGAACCUCAUCCUUUGCUCGCAUGGUGUACACCCACACACGUCUAGAGAAAUCAUCAACAAAUGUAACAAAAUAAUGGCUUCCACCAAUUGAUGCAGUCUUGGUUGGUCCCCAUACAUCACUAUGAACAUAUUCAAGGAUCUCACGAGUAUCGUGAUUAGCUGUACCAAACUUGACCCUUGUUUUCUUGCCUACUACACAAUGCUCACAGAAAUUUAAUUUACAAGUUUUGGUACCUUUUAAGAAUCCAUGCCUCAUCAGAUUUUGCAAAAACUUCUCUCCAGCAUGUCCUAGUCGUACAUGCUAUAACUUGGUGGUGUCACUGUGCGCCUCAACAACAUUUGCUUCAUCAGUUGUGCCUUCCUUCAAAUAGUACAGAUUGUGACACCGAACCCCUUGUAGAAUCACCAUAGCCCCAUGUGUAAACUUCAUUAUACCAUUUUCAAUGGUAACCUUGUAGCCUCUUGUAGCCUUUAGCUUCCAAAGCACCCAUAGAAAUUAGAUUUUUCUUUAAAGCUGGAACAAAUCUAACCUCUUUGAGUUCUCUGACCAUUCCAUCAAACAUUUUGAGCCGAAUUAUUCAUAUCCCCCUUGUGCGACAAGGUUGAUCAUUCCCCAUCACAACUGCACCGGAUUCCAGAUUACGAAAAUCUGUAAACCAUUCCUUAAUAGGACACAAAUGAUAGGUUGCUCCAGUAUCAAGUAUCCACUCGCUCGAACUAGCCACGUAUACUACAGGAGUAAUACUUAGUGAAUAAUCAGAGUCUUCAUCUUUCCGUGCCAUGUUUGCUACUGCUAGUUUUUUCCCAUCUCUCUUUUGAGCCUUUGGACAAUCUUUCCUCCAAUGGCCCUUUUCAUGACAAAAGGCACACUCGUCUCGAGCUAUAUUUCUGCUUCUCGAUUUGGAUCGAGAAUUCUUUCCACCACGCUUUUUCUUUUUCUCCAUCUCCCAAUCUCUGCUCACCAAAGCUUCAGACGAUGCUCGUUCAGAAUUUUUAUUAUUAUUCUAAAUCUCCAAGUUAGUCAAUGUUGUACAAACAUCUUUGAAGAUGAUCACGCUUUUUCUAUAUAUUAAGGUAGUCACAAAAUGCCUAUAUUGCUCUGGUAGUGAGUGUAACAAAAUCAUAGCCUUGACUUCAUCCUUAAUACCUUCAUCAAGAUUCUUCAAAUCAGCAAGUAACUUUUCAAAUCUUAAGACAUGAUCGUGCAUUGACACCCCAGGCUUCAUUCGAAAACCAUAUACUUGGCUCAUUGCAUGAAGGCCAUUUUCAGGACUUUUCACCAGGUACUUCUCCUCCAAUGUACGCCACAAAGUCACCGCACACUCCUCAUCUUUCACCAAGUAUUUCACCUCCUUGGUCAAACAAAAUCUGAUCUGACCACAAGGUUUCUCGUUCAUACGAUCCCAAAUUUCUUCAUCAUACAAGUGUCUUUUAUUUUUCAAAACAACAUCAAGAUCGAUUUAAAUAAGGGCAUCCAUAGCUUCGCGCCUCCACAUGCCGAAGUUGAUUUUCCCAUCAAACUUUUCAACAUCGAUUUUCUGGCCUCCUAUAACAGGUGCUGAAUAGCGAUUUGACAAAUCUCGCCUCCACCUGAAGUGUCUCCUGAAAUAGUCUCAGUAGAUCUCUCCCCAAUUCUGGAAGUUUCACCUUCUACCAUUUUCUCAAUGAACUAUUUCCACUUGAAAAACAGUCUCUAUGAUGUUAAUUUCUCAUGAAUAAAUGCACCAGGAAAGUUUCCAGGAGACUGGACGGGAACUCGGUCCCAAUUAAAAGCCAGAAUCCUUAGACUCUUAUCGUCUUUGUUGACAGAACUUUCCUAGACAUGCAAAAAUAUACACUACUUACAAUAGAUUGUCUCCCAAGUACAAAUGGCCGUCUCCACCGUAUUCGUGAACAGUACCGUAUGUGAACAGUACCGUAUACGGGAAUAGUACCGUAUAUGUGAACAGUACCGUUUCCCCCCAAUUACGAACCGUCGGCUCUGAUACCACUUGUUAUGCGCGGAAUGCGGAAUCAAGCGCACCAAAUAAUUAUAGAAAAAUAAAGGACACAAGAAUUACGUGGUUCGGUAAUUAAACUUGCAUCCACGGAGGCAAGAAAGAAUAAUUGUUUAUUUAACAAUUAAUAGAGUACAAAUAUUUGAGUAACGAAUCUCACUUCCCAGAAACCCAAAUAUACCCAGUACUCUCAUACUCUGCAGGAAAGAUAAAUUCCCCAGACACACUUCUCUCAAAAGCUUAGAAACUUAUAAGCUUAACAAUUUUGGGAUUAUAUGGAAUGAAGAAAUGCUCUCUAUUGAUAGGCUUGAAGCUAGUACUAUUCCACCUAACCCAAGUACUAUUCCACCUAACCCAAGCACUAUUCCACCUAACCCAUGCAAAUAUGUCAAUGGUGUCCAUUUGGCAAAUUUGCCAACUUUUCAUUUUGUCUUCAAAUGUUUGGUAGCUCUUUGAAAAAUUGCAUGCUUUCUUGAAUUUCAUGCCACGUGCAUGAUUUUUCAACAAGAAAGAGCAUGCACAGAUUGUGUUACCGGUUUUCUAUCGCGUUGAUCCAUCAUACGUGAGAAACCAAACAGGGAGUUUUGGGGAUUCAUUUUCAAAGCUUCAAGAAAGAUUUAAGCAAAAUUUGGAGAAGCUGCAGACAUGGAGGAAGGGAUUGAGAGAAGCGGUCGGUUUGUCUGGAUUUCAUUAUCGUAGCAUCAGGUGAAAAGUUACUUUUAAUUUCUCAUGCUAAUUCAUGCAGCACUCUUAGUUAAAUUUCCGGAUGCUAAACUACAAUUUUAAAUUUUUUUUAGGUAUCAAAUUCUAGGCUUCUUGACUUCCCCACUUUUGAACCCCGAUAAUUAUGAAAGAACUUUGACAGAAUUAAUAAUAAAAGACCAAUAAUUUUACAAUAUAUUUAACAAAAUUAAUGGUGGUCUGUCGUUGUUUAAGCAAUUUCAACCUCACAUACCUCCAUCAGGAAAAAAAAAAGAAGUCACACAUACUCCUAUAAUUUAAGAGUUAUUAAUUUAUAGGGAGAUUGUAGUGGUAUAUAUUAAUUUCAAUUGGAAAACGAGCAAGCUCCCUUAUUUCAUAUUUCAUGCAAAUCCCUCCUAUUUGAAGUUACUGCUGCUAAUUUUAUGUAUUUGGUAGGCCUGAAUCAGAACUUAUAAACGAAGUUGUUAAUCACAUUUUGAAGAGACUGCUGGAAGAAGUGUUUCGGCCGCGUGAUAACAAAAGCCAGCUGGUUGAAGUGGAAUCAAGAGUUGAGGAAAUUGAAUCUCUACUAAGUGUUGAGUCGAAAGAUGUUUACGCUUUAGGGAUUUGGGGCAUUGGUGGUAUAGGCAAAACAACAAUCGCUAGAGCUACUUUCGACAAAAUCUCUAGAUAGUUUGAAGGUUCUUGCUUCCUUGAAAAUGUUAGAGGAGAGUCACAAAGAACGGGAGGAUUAGCUUGCUUGCGACAAAAACUUAUUUCAAAUUUAUUGAAGGAUGAAAAUGCGAUUCCUAGUAUUGACCUCAAUUUUAGAAGGCUCAGCCGGAUGAAGGUUCUGAUUGUUUUUUAUGAUGUGACUUGCUUCAGCCAAUUGGAAUCUUUAAUGGGAAGCCUUGAUUGGUUGACGCCAGUGAGUCGAAUCAUAUUAACCACUAGAAAUAAACAAGUGCUUAGAAAUUGGGGGGUGAGUAAAAUAUAUGAGAUGGAGGCAUUAGAAUAUCAUCAUGCUCUUGAGCUUUUUAGUCGACAUGCCUUCAAACGAAACCAUCCUGAUGUUGGUUAUGAGAAACUUUCAAGCAACGUAAUGAAAUAUGUUCAAGGAGUUCCUUUGGCUCUUAAAGUUUUAGGUUGCUUUCUAUAGAAAAGGGAAAAAGAAGUCUGGGAAAGUGCAAUAAAUAAAUUGCAAAGAAUCCUCUAUCCAAGUAUUCUAGAGGUAUUAAAAAUAAGUUAUGAUGGUUUGGACAAUAAAGAGAAAAAUAUUUUCCUUGGUGUUGCUUGUUUCUUUCAAGUGAGGAUGUAAAUCUAGUAAUGAAAUUCCUUAUUGCAAGCGGCUUCAACCUAGAAAUAGGAAUAAGUGUUCUAGUUGAUAAGUCUCUUAUUGUCAUAUCAAAUAACAACAAGAUAACUAUGCAUGAUUUGCUACAAGAAUUGGGUAGGGAUAUUGUCAGUCAAGAAUCAAAUGAUCCUGGAAACCACAAUUGGUUGUGGCAUCACGAGGAUAUCUAUGAAGUUCUUACAUAUAAUACGGCAAGCAAUUUGCUGUGGAUUAUUACUUUGGAAUAUUCUAGCAUUUACAAACUUGAUAUGGACAUAUCAAGUUUGCUCAAACUCUCGAAUUGAUGAAUCUAGAAUUAAUAGAAGAGUGAAAAUGAUUAGAAAAAAACAAUAGUGGUUAUAAAUGCCGUGACAACUUGUAUAAUUCUUUGUAAGGAUAAUUUAUAAUGUCAAUUUGUUUUGUAUCCCACAUGCGUAAAUUUCAUGUUCAGUAUUACUUGUAUUAUUAUGUUCCUUCGUUCGUUUGCAAUUAAGAGUUUCAGUGCCUAGCAAUAACUAUAUAAACAUGAAUUACUGAAAUUUGAUUAGAGCAAUGAUAAAAAUUUUGCUGCUUCUGAUACAGAUCCCUUGACUGCGAAAAUUAGAUCAAGCUGAGCUUGCAUUCCCCAUAGUUAACCCAAAAAAAAAAAAUAAUCAUUACUAUGACUUAAAUUUUAAUAGAAAACAAAAAACGAAGCAAGAGUGAAUAGAGUAAUACCAGAGCAAAUUUAGGAUUGUUAGGUCGAAUUUGUGGACCAACUUCAGAACAUCUAAUAGUAAACUUAGGAGGAAGGAUUUGAAGAAGCUGCGGCGGCGGCGAAUACGCAUCAAGAUUCACACUGCUCCUCACUUUGAGGCCAAAAGAGUGCGGAGGCGCGACAAAGCUGACGCGCGAUUCUUGUGCUGCGAUCGGUCUUCGGCGGCCUGCGCUAUGACGCCGUCGGUACGUGCUUGAGACGUACGGCGGAUUCGCGCUUGUUGCGGUGCUGACCGCCUGGUCCCGACGAUUUGUACGUGUCCAUUUCGCAUUCGCGAAAUAGCUCAUCGUCGGUCAAUUCGAAGUAAUUCUUCUUCGAAGAACAAUUGUCAUUGUAAUUGCAAGACAAGAACAAUGGCUGAUAAUUCCUGCGAUGCCUGUACGACGAAAAGUUUAUAUUUUUCCUUCCGAGUUGGGGAAUUCAAAGGCUGAAUUGAGCGGCCAACGUCAUCAUCAAUUUCAAUUUCGUAUGUGAUAAUCAAAGCAAAGCUUCGUACUAGUAAUAUUUGAACAAUCUUCAUUUGGCAGGCCCAGCCCAAUCCAGCCCAGUCCAGCAAGUGAGCAAUGUUAUCAUUUUUGAACUCGUGGCGGUUCUGUAUUAUUUGCAAAUUAUUUGCAAAAUACUCUUUUUAAGGGAGAGGGAUAUAUUUGAUGCUAGAAUAUUUUUAAAAUAAAUGGUGCUUUUAAAAGGUGUACGACUGUAAAGAUAUGUCUAAUUAAACAGUGUCAUAUUUAAUAAAAACAUAUUCUUUUAUUUAAAGAUGCAUCCAUUCACGGUUUCUUGUUUUAGUUUGAAAUGACAAUAGUUUAUUUUGGACCAAUGAUGAUCUAAUUCAAAAUUUGAUUUAAUAACCAUGAAUGAAACAACCACUUUCUGGUAGUUCUCUUAAACUUUAUUAAGGAAUCUAUGUUGAAGGCUGUUUCAUUCUUUAGUGUUGUUAAAAAUACAUUUUACACUCUGAAAUUUAAAAUGACCUUUUUUUAAAUAAAAUUUAAAAACAAAUGCCUUUAACUAAGGAAGAAAUUUUAGAAUGCAUCAGAAAUACCAUGUCAGUCAUACAACAAGUGAAUCAUGCUCGACAUAUGUGCACUUAUUUUAAAAAAUUAUCAUGCAAAUGAUGGUUACAUUAAAUCUAAAUAUGUAUAUAUCAUAGAUGACACAACCUGCCUCAACCCUUUUGCUGGAUCUGAGGUGAAUCAUGCAAUUUUAUAUCUAAAGUUCAUGACAUAAACUUAAUUCAUGAAUAUAUAACACCAGCCUUGGCCUUUCUUAUAAACAUAUAAUAAUCUAUGUGCCUCAUUAAAAAAAAUAUAUUCAAAACUUGCAUAGUUCACAUCUCACUGUACAUACAUACACUUCAGAUACAGACAUAUAAACAUAAACGUGGUCAAAAUGUAAGUCAUGCAGUAAUGCGUGCGUGGCCCAACCUCAAUUGAUUAAAAACUGAACUGCACAAAAUCCUAUAGAAACCUUAGAGAAAUGGGGUAAAUAGGAAAAUAACAAGCUUGCAGCUCAAUGAAUGAAUAUAAUUCUAUAUAAAAAUAAAUUAGUGCUUUAGUGCUUGUACAUAAUUGUAUGACAUAACUUCAUACUGAACGCUUUACAAAAGCAAACAUGAACUCAUAUAUACAUACAUGAAAAAAUUGUACCAAAUAAUAUAUGGAGAAAUAACUCUCAAUACUCACUAGGAUCAUCGUCGCACGAGUAAAGUGGGGGAAAAAACCUCUCACUACUCAGCGAAAUUAACUACAUCAUAAGGGUUGAGUAAUUUAACUCUCAAUACUCAUGCGUAUAGCCUAUGGGGAAGGGUACACAUAUGGUGCUUGGCAAUCACAUCUCAUGACUCAAUCAAUUAUAUAAUGUACGUACAUAUAAUCACAACAUUAUACUAAAUCAUACUAUCAAAUAUAAAUGCUUUGUAGAAUACAUAAUAUGAAUAAUAAUAAUCCACUCAUAUAUCCUAUUUCACUCCGGGGUUUGUGAAGCGUGCACGUUCUUUACUUUAAGCUAACAGCUUGCUAUUGCUUUGACAAAUAACCACAUGUGCCUCCUUUUAGCUUGCACGUGCAUCACAAUACAUGCAUUAGAAUUGUUUGUAUUAUCAUAGGUCAAGCAUGAAUGUGCUUUGCUUUAAGCUAACAGCUUGCUAUUACUUUGACAAUUAGCCACAUGUGACCCAUUUUAGCUUACACGUGUGUUACAGCAAAUGCAUUAAAAUUGGUUGUAUUAUCUUUAAUAUGUUAUAAUUUUUUUUAAUCAUAAAAGGGCUCUUAAAAGAGCUAAGGCAAUACUAAACGGGAGUGUGCAACCCCACAAACAUCAUUAUGUAAUAUGCUAAACAUAUAUGAAGGAAUAGACUAAAAGCAAUAUAAACCCAAAGGAAAAGAAAAACUGUAAGAAGCAAGGAAAUCUGCUGCUACAUUGGCUUCUUGGUAGAUAUGGUCCACUUUGAUCAACCAAUCACGACAAAGGAGAUCAUGGAUGGCCCGAAUGAGAGUAAAAGGUUCAUUGAUAGGAGGCUUUGGGCUAGAGACUAACUGCAUAGCACACUUACUGUCAAUUUUCACUUGAACCCUAGGAAAACCAUAUUGCCAAGCAAUAGAUAGCCCGUGAAAUAAACCCUAGAGCUCAGCUGAAGUCAUUGAGCAAGUACCUAAAUUAGCACUGUAACCUGCCUGCCAAACACUCUGUAAUCACGGAUUAGCCCACCAGCUCCUGCAAUGCCUGAAGAUUUCUUGGCACCGUCUGUAUUUAAUUUAACCCAAGGCCAAACAGGAGUAGUCCAGCGAAUCCAUCUUUCAAUACGGCGCAUGCCAACAGCAAGAGGGGACAUAAUUCUUUUAACGAAGGAUGUAGCCAACGAUUUUAUCCGGUCGAACAUGUUCUUCGACUUAUAAUACUAUUUAUGGUUAAACAAUUCAUAAGUAGUUGAAAUUAAUUUUUUUUUGGGGUAGAUAAUCUCAAUUUUAAAAUACUUUAAAAGAUUUUCAAAGAUAAGAUACAAUGGUAUACAACUAAAGCCUAAUCCAACAUUGUUGAAAAGUAUGGUGUUCGUGUGGAAUUUUCAGCUAAAAGUCUACAAAGUAGCGGAAUUAAUCAAACGCCGUGGAGUGCACGGUGGUUGGACAAUGAGAUGAAAUUAAAAUAUCACCCUACUUAUUGCUGGCAGUUAUGAGCAUUAAAGCACAGAAGCAUGUGUGUUGAAAAGUAUGGUGUUCAUGUGGAAUUUUCAACUAAAAGUCUACAAAGUAGUGGAAUUAAUCAAUCAUCGUGGAGUGCACGGUGGUUGGACAAUGAGAUGAAAUUAAAAAAUUAUCACAGAACUUGAAGGAAGGUUCAUGGCAUCGAUUUAUUCUACAGAAUCGCGCACAUUUGGUUCAAAAAUUGUUUUCAUCUGAAUCAAAAUCUCUCUCUAAUCAAUUCAACUGUUUCUGUUGAUUAUGGCUUCUUCUUCUCAAAACAACAAGAAGUAUGAUGCUUUUGUUAGUUUCAGAGGAGAGGACACCCGUGACAACUUUACUAGCCAUCUCUGUUCUGCUAUGUGUCGACAAAAUAUCCAAACUUUCAUUGAUGACCAACUUAACAGAGGAGACGAAAUUUCGGAGUCACUGGUGAAUGUAAUUGAAGCAUCAGCCAUUUCAGUUAUUGUCUUCUCAGAAGGGUAUGCAUCUUCCAGAUCGUGUCUUGAUGAACUUGUAAAGAUCCUCGAGUGCAAGAAAGAGUAUGCACAGAUUGUGAUUCCGGUUUGCUAUCGGGUUGAUCCAUCAGACGUCAGAAACCAAACUGGGAGUUUUGGGGAUUCAUUUUCGAAGCUUGAAGAAAGAUUAAAGGAGAAUACUGAGAAGCUGCGGAGUUGGAGGAAAGCUUUGAAGGAAGCAGCCAGUUUGUCUGGCUUUCUUUCUCUUAACAUCAGGUGAAAAGUUACCUUUAAUUUCUCAUACUAAUAUUUAACAAUAAAUAAAAUUCACGCAGCACUCUUAGUUAAAUUUUCGGAUGCUAAACUACAAUUUUAAAAAUUUUUAAGCAUCAGAUUCUAGACUUCCUGACUUCCCCACUUUUGUGCUCACAUCUAACAAAAUUAGUGGUGGUCUGUCGUGACUUCCCCACUUUUGUGCUCACAUCUAACAAAAUUAGUGGUGGUCUGUCGUUUUUUAAGCAAUUUCAACUUCUCACUCAUAUACCACCAUUAGAAGAAAAAAACAAAGAAAAACACUCACACAUAUUCCUGUAAUUUAAGAGUUAUUAAUUUGCUGGGAGAUUGUAGACUAGUAGUGGUAUAUAUCAAUUUCAAUAAGAAAACUGACAAUCUCCCUUAUUUCAUAUUUAAUGCAAAUUCCUCAUAUUAAUUUGAAGUUACUUUGGCUAAUUUUAUGUAUUUGCUAGGCGUGAGUCGGAAUUUAUAAAUGAAGUUGUUAAUGACAUUUUGAAGCGAUUGGAUGAAGUGUUUCGGCCGCGUGAUAACAAAAACAAGCUGGUUGGAGUGGAAUCAAAAGUUGAGGAAAUUGAAUCCAUAUUAGGUGUUGAGUCGAAAGAUGUUUACUCUUUAGGGAUUUGGGGCAUUGGUGGUAUAGGCAAAACAACAAUCGCUAGAGCUAUUUUCGACAAAAUCUCGGGUGAUUUUGAAGGUUCUUGCUUCCUCGAAAAUGUUAGAGAAGAGUCACAAAGAUCAGGAGGAUUAUCUUGCUUACAACAAAACUUAUUUCAAAUUUAUUGAAGCAUAAAAAUGUGAUGCCUUUUAUUGACCUCAUUUUUAGAAGGCUCAGCCGCAUGAAGGUUCUGAUUGUUUUUGAUGAUGUGACUUGCUUCAGCCAAUUACAAUCUUUAAUUGGAAGUCUUGAUUGGUUGACGCCUGUGAGUCGAAUCAUAAUAACCACCAGAAAUAAACAAGUACUUAGAAAUUGGGGGGUGAGGAAAAUAUAUGAGAUGAAGGCAUUAGAAUAUCAUCACGCUAUUGAGCUUUUAAGUCGACAUGCCUUCAAACAAAACCAUCCUGAUGUUGGUUAUGUGGAACUUUCAAGCAAAGUAAUGAAAUAUGCUCAAGGUGUUCCUUUAGCUCUUAAGGUUUUGGGCUGCUUUCUAUAUGAAAGGGAAAAAGAAGUUUGGGAAAGUGCAAUAGAUAAAUUGCAAAGAAUCCUCCUUCCAAGUAUUUUUGAGGUAUUAAAAAUAAGUUAUGAUAGUUUGGACGAUAAGGAAAAAAAUAUUUUCCUUGAUGUUGCUUGUUUCUUUCAAGGUGAGGAUGUAGAUCCAAUAAUGAAAUUUUUUAAUGCAAGUGGCUUCUACCCAGAAAUAGGAAUGAGUGUUCUUGUCGAUAAAUCUCUCAUUGCUAUUGAUUCAUACAACAAAAUAACAAUGCAUGAUUUACUACAAGAAUUGGGUAAGGAAAUUGUUCGACAAGAAUCAAUUAAUCCUGAAAACCGCAGUAGAUUGUGGCAUCAUGAGGAUAUCUGUGAAGUUCUUAUGUACAAUACGGUAAGCCGUUUGUUGUGGAUUAUUAUUUUGGGAUAAUGUAGUGUUUAAAGACUUGAUGUGAAUAUAUUUACAUACACUCAAACUGAUGAGUCUUAGAAUUAAUAAAAGAGUGGCAAUGAUUAGAAAAAACAAUAGUGGUUAGAUGACGUAGCAAUAAAUUAUAAAUGCGAUGACAAUUUGCAUAACCGUUUGUAAGCAUAAUUGAUAUGUAAAUUUGUGCAGUACACAUACAAAAUUUUUAUGCUAAGUAUUACUUGUGUUGUUAUGUUUCUUUGUGCAUUUGCAAUUAAGCGAUAACUAUAAACAUGAAUUAUUGAAAUUUGAUCCGAGCAAUGACAGAGAGCCCCACUCCAAUCCCACAUAAACUCCAUGCAAGUAUAAAUAAAAAUUGAAUUAAUAACUAAACUACCUCUAAUUGUAAAUUAGUGACAAAAUUGCCCUAAAAAUUUUUUCUUGCUGGGGUUGAAGUGCAAUUCAUUAGUGGAAUAUACAUAUCAUCUUUCAUUUGAUUUUAACUUUAUUGUUUUUUUAUUUAUUUUUAGGGGACAAAAAAAAUUGAGGGCAUCUGUUUGGAUAUGUCAAAAGUAAAAGAGAUUCGUCUAAAUCCUAGUACUUUCACAAAGAUGCCUAAAUUGAUAUUUUUAAAGUUCUAUAGUUCGUCAUUCAAUGGAGAGAACAAAUGUAAGAUAUCUUAUUUGCAAGAUCCAGGAUUUGGUGAAGUGAAAUAUCUACACUGGUAUGGAUAUCCGUUGAAGUCAUUGCCUUCAAACCUUAGUGCAGAGAAGCUUAUGUUACUUGAAGUGCCUGAUAGUGACAUUGAACAACUUUGGGAUUGUGUGAAGGUAUGCGUAUCUUAUUAUAUAUGUGCAAUCUUUUAAUAACAACAUUAAAUUAUUAUACGUGGUAACGAUUUUGUCUUGGCCUCUUUUUUGACCGAGCAGCAUUAUAGGAAGUUAAACCAGAUAAUCCCUGCUGCCUGCAAUAAGCUAAUUGCCAAAACUCCAAACCCCAUGUUGAUGCCACGUCUGAACAAGCUAGUUCUCUUGAAUCUAAGAGGUAGCAAAAGCCUAAAACGUCUUCCAUCUGGAAUAUUUAACUUGGAAUUUCUUACCAAACAUAAUCUUUCGGGCUGCUCAAAACUGAAAAGGCUUCCAGAGAUCUCAUCAGGUAAUAUAAGCUGGUUAUUUUUAAGGGAGACUGCAAUUGAAGAACUGCCCUCAUCAAUUGAGCGUUUACAUAGGCUCGGGUACUUGGACCUUUUAGAUUGUAAAAGGCUGAAGAGUCUCCCAAGAAGCCUAUGGAUGUUGAAAUCUCUUGGAGUUCUUAAUCUCAGUGGUUGCUCAAAUCUUCAAAGAUUGCCCGAAUGUCUUGCCCAAUUUUCCUUGCCAAUAAUAUUGAAUCUAGCAAAAACCAAUAUUGAGAGAAUACCAAAAAGCAUUUCCCAGCUUCUCAUGUUGCGAUACCUUCUCUUAAGUUAUAGUGAGAGCCUUCAAUCCUCACCAAAGCCUCCAUUCCGUGCACGAGGUCCCCUGGCACUGCAACCAUUUUCAGGUUUGUUCUCUAAGUUAUGAAUCUUGUAAGCAGUUUUUUUUUUUUUUACCGGAGCAAUAAUUUUAGAUUGGAAGGUAAUUCUACUGCAGGAAUUGUUAAAGAUACCCUGAGAAUUCAGCAUACGGGCCAUACGCUAGCUGUACGUUGGCAAGAAAUAUGGGUAAAUGUGUGUCUUUAACUCUUCCUACUUACAAUUGCUACAAUCAGUUUUUUUUUUGGGUUUAAAAUUAUGAUUUUUUGGUACAGAGUGAUUUUCCCUUGGAAAAAAUUCAUGUCGUACUAGCUGGCAAUGAAAUUCCAAAGUGGUUUAAGUUUCAAAGUGUGGGAUCUUUUAUAACCUUGGAGAUGCCAUCCGAUUUCUUCCAUUAUAGCAGAGUGCAGGGCAUCGCAUUUAGUGCUAUUUUAGCAUUUUCAAACCGUCAUGUAGAUUGUGGCAGAUGGUUUUCAUUUUCUUUUGAGCUCAAAGUGAAAACCACCAAAGAUUGUGGUCCGCAUGACACACAAUUAUUUGAGAGUAGAGCUAAUUAUAUAGAAUUAGAUCACUUACAUUUGGGUCACUAUCUGUUAUGUGAAGAGGAUUUUAAUGGUUUUUGGAAAUGCAAUUGCAUUCCUGAGGCAGUCCAAUUUAAUGUUUUUCCAUCUUUGGAGUGUGAGUGCUGUGGGGUAAAAAAAUGUGGGAUUUAUUUUGCUUCCCAGAUUCUACGAACUCAAUAGAAGAUCCAAGCACAUGUUUCAACUAUAACGAAGAAGACUGAGAUUUUCAUGAAUGUGUUUUUAUCUCUUUCCUUUUUCUAAUCACUUUUAAUAAUAGGAGAAAAGGUCAAAAUCAGUUCUUGGAGCAAAACAUUCAUGUAAUAACUUUCGAGGGAUCUAGUGCAUGUAACACAAAUUCACACUAGAGUAUUGAACUUUACCUUGUUAGAUGAAGAGUAUAAAGUAUGAAAGGCACAUGAUGUAUAUUUUAAAAUUAAAAUUAUUGGCCUUCUUUCCUGCUUUGCGCACGCAACCUAUGACGAUUUUGUUAUUGAGCUAUAUAACCCAAAACACAUAGAGCACGUGAUUUAUAAGUCAAUAAAAAACCUCACUUGUUAGCGGUGUGAGAUAUUUCAGGACGCGCAGCAAGUUCUUAUUGGCAGAGAUAUGUUGUGGGCCCAUAUCUCUAUCAAUGGAAACAUGUCACUUACCCCGUUAGCGCACUAUAUCAACUCUCAUGUACAUAACAUAAUCACAUUUGAAAAUUUUCUACUUUCUUAAAUCUAAAUUGUUGUAUAUGGGAAAGUUUUAUCAUGUGAAAGCAAAAGCCAUAAAGAGGGAACAAUCUUAUAUAUUUUAAAAAAUAUAUUUGUAUACCGAUUUAAAAAGAAGAAGAAGAAGAAGAUAGGUAUCAUUUUGACUCAAGUCAUUUGUGUUGUGAAUCCAUUUGCUUAAACGUGUAUGCACUUUUUCAAGUAUCUAUAUAUACCAAUUCCGUAAUCGGAAUAGUGCAUUUGAUUCCAUAGUUGACAUGGUAUCGUCAUAUGGCUAGAAUUUACCGUUAAAAAACUGACCGGCAAGGAAAGGAUUAAAGAUGCCCGUGAACUUAUAUUUUUAUUUAGAUUAUUUUAUUUUUUCCAGUUGAAAAAUUGAUUCCUAUUAACAUAAGUAAUAUAAAUUACUAAAUCACCUUUCUCUAUUCCUUAGAUUGCUGUAUCUUUUUCAUGUAAAAAAUUGAAUCCUUUCAUUCACAUAUCAUUAACAUGAGCAAUAUAGAUUGUGCUGAAUUUGACUUUUUGAAGCAAGUUAGACUUUUUAUUGAAUAAUUUGGUACAUUUCUUGAAUCAAUUUGGAGCUUCUGCAACACGUCAGGGAUUAGUAUCUCCUACAUUCCUUUCGGUGCCAAAAGAUAUUCAAGCAGUUGAAUAAGAAUUGAUAUAUACAAUGUAAAUACUAGAAUUGUUUGUCAUUUUACAAUAGGAAUGAUAUAUAAUGCUUAUCAAAACUUGUUGAUAAGAAAGUAAAUUCCUCAGCAAUGAGAUGUUUCAGCCAACCAAUUAAGGAAGUAGCUUUUCGUGGAGCAAGUCAGGUCUGUCGUCAUCCGGACAACGUCCUACUUCUUCCAAUACAAUUAACUUCACAUUUGAGAGUUGAGAAGGCAGAGAUGAGAAGUAUUUACCAACAGGUCCAUCGACGGGUGUGAAUGGAUCCUCAUUACCCCAUAAAACUAGUACAGGUAUAGAGAUUGAUGGCAUCAAUUGCACUGGGUUCAGCCCUGAUGGGCCUGUCACGAUCAAAACAAAUGCAUCAAGUGCCCCUUCAUCAGUGGCGGCUUCUCGUAUGAUCUGUAGUUUUGAUGUCAAUUCAUGAAUUAUGAGUGGCCAUUUCUGUAAGAAAUUUAAAUGGCACAUAAGUGCAGAAUAUUAAUGCCUACUAGCGUUUCAUCCACAGAUUCAUUAUUUGCAUAGACAGUAAAUUGCUCCUCAGUCUUUACCAGCAGCACCAAUAUAUACACGUCAUAGUGUUUUUUAGUUUUGACUCUAGUGUUUUAGGAAAAUGAACAAUGGCCUGAAUACAGACGAGAAAAUUCGCAUGUUAUAUAACACAAUUAAAAUAAAAUAUCAUUUGUCAUACAUUUUAUUCACGCCGGCGUGGAUCACCUCAGCCAAGUAGUACGAGCAGAACACGGGGGCAAACAUGAACCGACCAGAGACGAAUACCGACCAGAAGCAUAUACCGAGCCGGCACUCAUCCCCCAGGAAAGCGGGAACAUGAUCCCACAGAAUCGCGGUAGUUGUGCUUUUCCCAGAACCGAUUGAAGGACACGUGAGAUCCCACGUUUGCCCACAAUGUAACAGUUAGAGCCCCAUGAGGGCCUGCCACCACCCGAAAAAGGAGGGAUAAAGGGUAAACGGAACACGUGGGACAAAGGGGCGGCUAUAAAAGAGGGAGAAAUCGAUGAAGAAAAAAAAAAGAAGAUUGAGAGAGGGAAAACGCUGCCAAAUUGCAAUCAGGCCUUUUUCUUACAAACUUCGAAUAAAUUAAAAAUCAUUCUUGAAUCCAAAUUGCAUUGUUUUCUCAUAAACACUUUGUGCUAACUUAGGCAUCGGAGGGUUUACGUCGGCAAAACCACCGACGUCUUUGAUCCGUUUUUGGUGAACGCAGGUCUAGUAAGAGAAAGGAAGGCGAUUCCAACCCCAGUGGUUCGAGCAACAGUUGAUAACACAAACAUUGGUGAAAGAAUCUGGUCGGUCAAAAGGCGAGCAGAUUUAAGCAUCAACAUUUUGGCGCCGUCUGUGGGGAGCUGGAUAAAAAGCUACCACCGAAUUAGUAGUUACCGAAGAAACAACGAACGAUUAGAUAUGGAUGUGCCAAGGAAGGACACUUUGAGGGAGGAUAACGAAGCUGGGGAGACAAUCACUCUUCGGGAAAUUGCAAAUGAAGCCUAGGAGAGGAUGAUGCAAGAUCGAUUAGAGCGGAUGGAGAAACAAAUGGAGACUCUCGCGACCAUACUGCACGAGCUGAGGGAUGAGCGGAGAAGGGAUUGUGAAACCCCCGUGGGAAGAGAUGAUGUUGGAGCAGAACCCAGCCUCCGGAGGCGUAGAGUCGAGGAAAUCCCUCCGCCGGAAGACCAACCUAACGGGGUGCAUCCCCACAGAAGCACUGGUCAGGUUUCAGGAGAACGAAUAGAUGAAGGGAGGGACCAACCUCUCCCCGAACGGGCACUGGAAGUCAAUGGCCGAGGGGGCAGUGUUGAUGAAGGAGAGCUCAGACAACGGUUGCACAAUGCCGAGCUAGAACGAGACCAGAUAGCUACACGUGAUCCUGACCGUGCAGUAGAAUUGGAGGGGGAGGUGCGCAGACUGGCGCAGGUGAUGGAGGAGAUAUAGGGCAAGAGAAAGCCCCCGAGCUGGAGGAUAAUGCUGGAUGAAGAAUCUCCGUUAUCAACCGAGAUCAUGGGUAUAGUAAUCCCAAGAGAUUUCUGCUUCCCCGACCUCAAAUACUCCGGUUGAAGUGACCCGCUGGUGCAUAUUGAGUGUUUCAACGACAUGACAGGGGUGUAGGGGUUGACACCAGCUCAGAGGUGCAGGGUGUUCCCAUUGACACUCGAGGGGCGAGCCCGAGAAUGGUACCGCAAGCUGCCCCGAGGAGGUAUAAAAGGGUACGAGCAGAUGUGCCAAGAGUUGGCCGAACAGCUCCGAGGAGCAGUAGCCCAGAGGACGACAUGAUGGAACUGAUAGGGAUGAAACAGGAGGAGCAUGAGUCCCUCCGGGAUUUUGUAAAGCGAUAUCACCGGGCCGUGUUAGAUUUGGGAGCUUUUAAUCACCCACAGACGUUGAGAGGAUUAAAAGAAGGUGUAAAAAUCGGCCGAUUAUGGUAUAACUUAAGAAGCCCCCUAGUGCAGAAUUAUUCGGCAGGGUACGAACAGGCGAGGCGAGAUAUAGAAAUCGGCAAGGAUAAAGAGUGAGCAACUGGAAGAGCUGAGGCAAAAAGAACGGAGAGCCCCAAACGGGAGCGGAUCGGGAAAACGAGCUGGGGAAUCCUCAGUUAUGGGCGGAAUAUCAGCUCAAUCUUGCCCUUACCCCGUAGCUCAGAGACCACAACAGUUCCAACACAGCCGAGCCCAACCUCUGCACACCUCGUUCCCGGAGCGGCAACGAGAAUUCAGGCAGAUGGCUGCCCACUCUUAUCACAACACUCCCAGAGCGUUACAUGCAAAUGGUUCCAGGGCUGGACGACCAGAUCAGCUUGCGACAAUACCAGACCGAGAUGGCAUUCAGGAUAGCCAAGCAGUUCAGCUGAUAGCCCAGAGCUUGGCAUAUAGACAGUACACUCCAUUGAAGAUCUCCAUGGAGGAAUUGUAUGAGAGGAUCGAAGGACGAGGCCUGCUGUACCCUCCAGCCCCUAUAACCAAACCAGCUCACCGACGGGAUAAGAGCAGAUUCUGCAAAUUCCACGACACUCAUGGUCACACUAUCAGCCAAUGUCGUGACCUGAAGAUUCAGGUGGAGGAUUUAGUGAGAAACCGAUACUUGGAUGAGUAUGUAGAUGGAGUGUCCUCUGCUAUUGAAUCACAGUACACGUGGGAUGAAGGAGUUGAGAGGGGUCUGGAACGUGAAUAGCCGACCAUCCGUGUGAUAGCAGGAGGGCCAACAUUGGCCGGGGAUUCGAACAGAGCACGGAAGAACUACGGGAGAUACGCCAUGACUAGCAAAGAAGUGCUUUUCAAUUUGCCAGCAGCUAAGAAGGAAAAAUUGCGGCAAGUUCCCAUUAUAUGGACAGAUGACGAUGAAGAGGGUAUCUUAUAUCCUCAUGAGGAUGCACUGGUGAUUAAGGCAAUAGUGGCUGGUACACAAUUGCGACGAAUACUGGUAGACACGGGCAGCUCAGUUAACAUCUUGUUUAAGUUGGCCCUAGAUGAUAUGGGAAUUGCAGACUUAAAAUUGGAACGGAUAAAUACAUCCUUAAAGGGAUUUGGAGGGGGACGGCUAACUCCCAUGGGGAUCAUCGAACUCCCAAUUACUGUGGGGACAAAGCCAUUUGAAAGAACGAUGAUUCUGGAUUUUGUCGUAGUAGAGGACAUAAGCCCUUACCAGAUGAUACUGGGGAGAUCCUUCAUGAGGAUAAGCCAAUGCGUUGUAUCUACGCAUUAUUUGGCACUAAAAUACAGAGUAAACGGAGUGGUUGGCGUAGUAAAAGGCGACCAGAGGAUGGCAAUGAGUUGUUAUGCUACAACGGCCAAGGAGACACUGCAGGUUACUUCUCUAGAUAAUCGAGGAGAGUCUAAAAAGGGCCGCCAAGAGCCUGUUGGGAAACUGAAAGAAGUUGUGGUAAGCAAAAGCAACCCGAGCAGAGUGGUGAAGAUCGGAUCAGGAUUGGUUGGGGCAGUAAAAGGCGAGCUGGUAAAUUGCCUACAGUCUCAUGCAGAUAUAUUCGCCUGGUCUCACGAGGAUAUGCCAGGAAUUGAUCGCGGGGUAGCUUGCCACAAGUUGGCAAUCAAGAAGGGGGCGAGGCCGGUGAGACAGAAGAGGAGAUGCUUUAACCAGGAAAGGUACGAGGCCAUAAACGCCGAGGUGGAGAAGCUGUUGAAAGCAGGGUUUAUAAGGGAGGCCAGGUACCCGGAGUAGAUUUCCAAUGUAGUACUGGUAAAGAAGGCCAACGGGAAAUGGAGAAUGUGUGUGGAUUUCACAGAUCUUAAUAAGGCAUGCCCGAAGGACAGUUUUCCCCUACCAAAGAUAGAUCAAUUGGUGGACUCAACAGCGGGUCACAGUCUGCUCAGCUUCAUGGAUGCCUUUUCAGGAUACAACCAGAUACCCAUGGACGAGCAGGAUGAGGAAAACACCACCUUUAUAACUAACAUGGGUUUGUUUUGCUACAGGGUGAUGCCUUUUGGCCUGAAAAAUGCAGGAGCUACCUAUCAAAGGUUGGUGAACAAGAUCUUCAAGCCCUUGAUCGGUCAUACUAUGGAAGUAUAUGUAGAGGAUAUGAUCACAAAGUCCAGAGAACCGAGGGAUCACGUGAAACACUUGGAAGAAACCUUUGAAUUACUGAGAAAGUAUGAAAUGAAGCUAAACCCGGAGAAAUGUGCAUUUGGGGUUAGCUCGGGCAAAUUUUUGGGAUUCCUAGUGAGCCACCGAGGGAUCGAGGCCAACCCGGAGAAAAUACGGGCAGUAACAGAAAUGAGAUGCCCCCGAACAGUUAAGGAGGUGCAGAGCCUUACAGGGAAAGUGGCAGCAUUGAACCGAUUCAUCUCGCGGGCCACGGAUAAAUGCCACCCUUUCUUCCAAACCAUAAAGAAAGGGAGGAAGAUGGAGUGGACAUCAGAAUGUGAUGAGGCGUUUGGGCAGCUGAAGGAGUAUCUGGCCCAUGCCCCGUUACUAUCAACUCCGAGGGAAGGUGACCAGCUGUUUUUGUACUUGGCAAUCUCAAAAUGGGCUACCAGCUCAGUGUUAGUCCGAGAAGAAGAAGGGAAGCAACACCCCAUGUAUUACACUAGUAAAGCCCUGGUAGACGUAGAAACUAGGUACCUAUUGAUGGAGAAAUGGGCACUGGCUUUAAUAACAGCAGCACGGAAACUGCGACCAUAUUUUCAGGCCCACCCGAUAAUUGUGAUGACUGACCAGCCUCUUCAGCAAAUGCUCCAAAAACCAGAUGCAUCAGGGCGGUUAGUGAAGUGGUCCGUGGAACUGAGCGAAUUCGACCUAUCCUACAGGCCCCGAGGAGCGAUCAAGGCCCAAGCCCUGGCUGAUUUUAUAGUUGACUGUGUUGAACCAGGGGAAGAGGUCCAAGAAGAACAACCAGUAGAGCAGGAGGAUAAAAAGGGGGUAUGGCUGGUAAUGGUUGAUGGGUCACGUGGUGAACAUGGAUCCGGGGCAGGAGUUAUAAUACGAAGCCCAGAAGGUGUCGAGGUAUCCUAUGCUGUAAAGUUCGAGUUCCAGCUUACGAACAACCAAGCUGAAUAAGAGGCCUUCAUUACUGGGCUCGGUCUUGCACAUGCACUACGGGCAGAAAGAGGAGAAAUCCGAGUAGAUUCCCAACUAGUAUGUAACCAGCUCAGCAAUCAAUUCCAAGUAAGGGAAGAGAAAUUGGGGCUUUAUUUGAAGAAGGCGAAGCAAAUGGUUGAACUCUUCAAUGAAGUAGAGGUGAAGCAGAUAUCCCGGAAUGAAAAUUACCGAGCUGAUAUGUUGGCUAGAAUGGCUGCAACUGCAGAUCUGAAAUUACCUAAGUCGGUCCCACUAGAGGUAAGGACCUUGCCAAGUAUAGGGGAGGAAGUAAAAGUGAUGAGAGUAAGCACUGGCGAAUCUUGGAUGGACCCGAUUCGCGCAUAUGUCCGCGAUGGAGUUUUACCCGAGGACGAAAGGCAAGCAAGAAAAUUAAAAUGCCGAGCAGCGAGGUACACGCUACUAGAUGGAGUGCUGUACCGCCGAGGGUUCACCUUGCCCCUUUUGAGAUGUUUGGAUAAGGAGGAGGCAGAUUAUGUACUGAGGGAGAUUCAUGAAGGAAUAUGCGGCAAUCACUCGGGAGCAAGAACUUUAGCCUCAAGGCACUCCGGCAAGGAUACUUCUGGCCGACCAUGCACUAGGAUGCGAAAAGGAUGGCAAAGAACUGUAAAACCUGCCAAAGCUUCUCUGAGAUUCCUGCACACCCCCAGAAAAGCUGACCACCAUGGCAUCCCCGUGGCCUUUCGCUCAAUGGGGAAUCGACUUGAUUGGUCCGUUACCUAAGGGCCGAGGAGCGGCGACACAUGCAAUUGUGGCAAUAGACUACUUCACCAAGUGGGUAGAAGUGGGAGUCCUCAGCCAAAUCACGGAGAGAAAGACAACGGAUUUUAUUUGGAAGAAUAUCAUCUACAGAUACGGGAUCUCCUAUGCCAUCAUUAUAGACAAUGGGAGGCAAUUUGACAACAGCAACUUCAGGGAGUUUUGCUGAAAUUUGGGGGUGGACCUGAAGUUCUGCACCCCCGCACACCCCCAGGCAAACGGACAAGUGGAAGCAGCCAACAAAGUGAUAAAGAAGCUCCUGAAAACUAGAUUGGGAGAGAAGAAGGGAGCUUGGGUUGAUGAACUACUAGGAGUAUUAUGGGCCUACCGGACAACUCGCAAAACCGCCACAGGGGAAACUCCGUUCGCUUUAGCUUUUGGUCAUGAGGCGGUAGUCCCAGCAGAAAUUGGAGUGGGGACACAUCGAACGGAAUAUUUCACUGAGGAGCAAAACGACGAGCAGAUCUGCUUAAGCCUGGACCUGCUAGAGGAGAAAAGGGAAGGGGCCUCGCAGAAAGUGGCCCAGUGCCAGCAAAGGGUCAUGCGUUAUUACAACAAGAACGUACGCGUAAGGCAAUUCCGAGCAGGAGAUUGAGUACUUAGGAAGGUGAACCAAAACACCAGGGAUCCUAACCAUGGCGCUCUUGGGCCGAAAUGGGAAGGCCCAUACAGGGUGAUACGAGCCACGGGACCAGGAGCUUAUAAGUUAGCGUACCAAGAUGGACGAGACGUGAAGACGUCGUGGAACGCCGAGCACUUGAAGAAGUAUUUCCAGUAAGCAAAGUCUCUACUAAAUCCUUAUUUUGAUAGGUUAUUUUUGUUAACUGCAUGAUGGCUUGUUACAACAUGCAUAUAUUAUGUAUUUUUUGUAAUACAUUCAAAUUUCAAAUAAAGAUGAAUUCAGUAUAAAAUCCCCCUGUUAGCAAGCCCGACGAAAAUUUUACUAAGGCAAGUAAGUGCCUGUUUCUGCUCGGUCAACGAAAGACCAGCAGCUAAUUUUACGAGAAUUUUACUAAGGCAAGUAAGUGCCAGCUUCUGCUCGGUCAACGAAAGACCAGCAGCUAAUUUUACGAAAAUUUUGCUAAGGCAAGUAAGUGCCUGCUUCUGCUCAGUCAACGAAAAGACCAGCAGCUAAUUUUACGAAAAUUUUACUAAGGCAAGUAAGUGCCUACUUCUGCUCGGUCAACGAAAGACCAGCAGCUAAUUUUACGAGAAUUUUACAAAGGCAAGUAAGUGCCUGUUUCUGCUUGGUCAGCGAAACACCAGUAGCUAAUUUUACGAGAAUUUUACUAAGGCAAGUAAGUGCCUGUUUCUGUUCGGACAACGAGACACCAGCAGCUAAUUUUACGAGAAUAUUACCAAGGCAAGUAAGUGUCUGUUUCUGCUCGGUCAGCGAAACACCAGCAGCUAAUUUUACGAGAAUUUUACUAAGGCAAGUAAGUGCCUACUUCUGCUCGGUGAGCGAAACACCAGCAGCUAAUUUUACGAGAAUUUUACAAAGGCAAGUAAGUGCCUGUUUCUGCUCGAUCAGCGAAACACCAGUAACUAAUUUUAUGAGAAUUUUACAAAGGCAAGUAAGUGCCUAUUUCUUCUCGGACAACGAGAGACCAGCAGCUAAUUUUACUAGAAUAUUACCAAGGCAAGUAAGUGUCUAUUUCUGCUCGGUCAGCGAAACACCAGCAGUUAAUUUUACGAGAAUUUUACUAGGCAAGUAAGUGCCUACUUCUGCUCAGUCAACGAAAGACCAGCAAGUAAUUUUACGAGAAAUUUACAAAGGCAAGUAAGUUCCUGUUUCUGCUCGGUCAGCGAAACACCAGUAGCUAAUUUUAUGAGAAUUUUACAAAGGCAAGUAAGUACCUGUUUCUGCUCGGUCAGCGAAACACCAGCAGCUAAUUUUAUGAGAAUUUUACAAAGGCAAGUAAGUGCAUGUUUCUGCUCGGACAACGAGAGACCAGUAGCUAAUUUUACGAGAAUAUUACCAAGGCAAGUAAAUGUCUACUUCUGUUCGGUCAACGAAAGACCAGCAGCUAAUUCUACAAAAAUUUUACUAAGGCAAGUAAAUGCCUACUCCUGCUCGGUUCACUAAGGCAAGUAAAAUCAGAUAAGUUGUCCAAUCAUUGUGCAGAAACAAUCUAUGAGCAAAAACCAGACAAGAAAGCCAAUAGAGAACAUCUAAAAAUUUAUAAGUGUUCAAUUAUUUACAAAACAAAUGCAAACUUAGAGUUUAUAAAAAAAUAGACUUAAAGAUUAGGAGAGUCAGCGGUUCCAGCAGCUGAAUGAUCAACAGUCUUGGGAGGUAAAGGAUCAGCAAUCUUAGGAGGUGGGAGAUCAGCAAUACCGAGAGGAGGAGGCACGGACCCUUGACCCACUUCGAAAGCACGUCCCCCAGCUUCCCCCUCUUGCACCCUAUCCAAAGGAGCCUCCACCUGAUCCUGCUCACCCUGCCCCUUAUCUCCCUGGCCAGCCUCAGCCAUAUAUCUCUCCACUCCAGCCUCCAUCUUGCUCAUGUCCAGCUCGGGAUAUUCUUCCUUAAGCACAGACAUGAUGCACUUAUAGGAGAAAGCAACCCCAGAAUCAUACUCGGCAUCCAGCCGAUCGUCCACAUCAGCGGAUUUGCCUUUCUCCUCAGCCAGCUGCUCGCUCAGAAACUUGAUUUCUCCCUCAAGGGCGGUCCUCAAAGUAUCUCUCUCACUUUGAGUAGCCUGAAAAUCAGAUUUCAGGUCACCCAACUCACCCUCAAGUUUAGAAGUGGUGGAUUCAGCAACAGCAACUUUCUCCUCCAGGUCUGUGAUCUGCUUGUUCAACUCCGCCAACUUCUCCUUCGAGCGAUCAGCAGAUUCGACCUUCUUCUUCAACUCCUGGUUGUCCGCUUGAAGCCUCCUCUCAAGGCGCGUGGACCCAUUCUUGUAACACGAAACCAAGGUGGCCAGCCUAAAGGAGACCCUUUCACUACAACAAAUAUGGUCUUUGGUAACAUUAUAUUGUAGCAUUUUUUUAAAGAAUGUUACCAAAUAUUAAUUUAUUGUAAUAUUUUCUAAAGUGAUGCUACCUUUGUAGUAUGAAAGCCAUUACAUUUUGGUUUUAAUGACACUUGAUAAUUACUAGUAGCAUUUUUGUAUGUGCUACAUAUAAUAUUGAAUUAUAUAGCAUCUAGGAAAAGCUACAAGAUAAGAUUAAAUAAAAUAGCAUUUGAAAAAUGUUAAGGAAUAGUAAUAAAUGUAAUAAUAUUUUAAAAUAGCAUUGGUAGCAUUCUAUUGGUAGCAUUUUGAUUGAUAAAAUACAAUAGCAUUUGAAAAUUGCUACAAGGAUUGAAGUAUUAGUGAAAAUUAUAAAAAUAAAAAAUGGGCUGAAAAUUAAGCUAAAGAUAUGCAAAACGGGUAGUUUUAGUAAAAGGCGGGUACUUUAUAAAAAAAAUUAAAAAUGCCCAUUAUUUUAUUUCACUUCCCGCGAACCCUUUCUAGAAAAUUCCCCUCUGCUAUCUCUUCUCCACGCCCAUUGUUCUCUCCAACUCUAUUUCCAACUAAAUCUAUAAAAACAAAAAGAUAAAAAUAGAAAAAGACGAAAACGAUUCCAUGGGCACUUCACGUAUGUUUGCUGAUUUGAGAAAGAUUACUUGGCUUUUUGGAUGAUUUAGAAGUGGCAUCAUUGAUUUGGUAAGGAUUCUUACUCCGUUAUUCGUGCAACUUCAAUUCCAGUAUUCCCAUGGUCAAAGCAAAUGCACAUCCCCAAUCUGGGUGCUUUUUCUUCCAUCCACUUGAGUAAUUAAUGAUUAAAUUAUUUACUAUUAUAUAUGGGUCUGAUGGUUGAAUAUUUAAAUGGAAAAGUCAUGUUAUCUUGUUAAAUGGUUUUGAAUUAUUGAUAGAUUUAUAAUUUUUUUUUUUUCUCUCAAUCCCUAGCAUUCUAGCAAUAUCUACAAUUAGCUGCGUCAAUAUAAAUUUUUUAACUUAUAUGUCGUUAUUAUAGAUUGGCUGCUUAUGAUUUCUUUCUCUUUUGAUCAAAUUGGUCUUGGGUUUGGAUAUAUUUUAUGAUUGUCACUAUUAAAAUAAUUUUAAUUGCUGAAUCUCAAAAUUCUUGUUUGGUAUGUGUAGUGUUAGCCUUUGAUUGAGGAGUUAUCAGCUUCAUACUCAAUAGACUUGCAGCAACGUGCAUAUUAAUUCUAAGGCAGGUUUGGUGAAGAAAUUUAAAGUCAAAGAACAAAAGUGCAGCCAAUACAAUUUUCUGGUACUAUUUAUUUUAUUUCAAUAUGUUUUAAAAUUUGUUUACGGCAACAUCUUUUAAUAAUUAUUAAUUUGUAUUGUGACUUUUAUGUUUUGUGUUUUAAAACUAAUUCUUUCUUUCUGUGUGUUUUAUGUUUGUUUGGGUAAUGACAGCCAGAAUGUAUAUGUAAGACUUUAAUCAUUGACAACUUUUGUCUACAUUGUAUCUAGGUAGUUAUAAAUAAUAUCAAUUUUAACUGAUGAAGUGAAUCAUAAACUGAAAGAGAGCAUUAGCAUAUAUCAUUUAAAUUUAAAUUUUUUUCAUAGUUCAUGAUCAAUGUUGCUCACACGUGAAGUAAUGAUUUUAGAUAUGCUUUCAGAUAAAUGAAUACAUGAAGUAUGUAAAUUAAAAUGACUCUCAUUGUACAGGGUUAAUAUAGUUAUAUGUAUGUAAAUUCAAAAUAAUUUCCAAGUGGUUAAAUGAUAUAUAUUUGUGGUACCAGGAUUAGUGGACAUAUGAUGAUGAAUAAAGAUUGGAUCCACCUUAACAGGUAAUAAAAGAUGAUUUUUAAGCAAGAUAAUAAAACUAUAUAAAAAUAUACAUUAUUACUAAUAUGUAAUUAAUACUGUGAUUUGGUAGAGCUACUAACGAGUAUAUGCAAGCUGCUUCGAAUUUUGUGAAUUUGGCCAAAAGAAAUGCAGGGAAUGUAGAUAAGAUUUUGUGUCCCUGUAAAGAUUGCCGAAAUCUAAGUCAUCAUCUUGUGGAGACUGUUUAUGAGCACUUGAUCUUUAAAGGAAUGGAUCUUGCUUACACAACUUGGUUCCAUCAUGGGGAGAAACUAAGUAUAGAUGAAAAUCCUAAAGAAGUGAAAAUGUCAGACACACAUAAUUUAUAUGCAAAUGCAUAUAUGGAAAAUGAAGAUUAUGUAACACCUGCACUAGGAAAAGAUGAAGACUUCGCUCAAAAAUUAGAAGAUGCAGAAACUCCAUUGUAUCCAAGUUGUACAAGAUACACAAAAUUAUCAGCCAUUGUAGCUUUGUACAAACAUAAAGCUGUAAACAAAUGGUCUAACAAGAGUUUUGAUGGAUUGUUAGAACUGCUGCAUGAUAUGCUACCUGUGGAUAAUGUGCUUCUUAGAUCAGUUUACUUAGUGAGAAAAUUGUUGAAGACAUUUGAUUUGGGGUAUGAGAAGAUACAUGCCUGUGUAAAUGAUUGUUGUUUGUUUAGAAGAGAAAAUGAGAAUAUGGAUAGUUGCCCAACCUGUGGGCUUUCAAGAUGGAAGGUAGAUAAACGCACAAGGAAAAUUAAAAAAGGUGUACCAGCAAAAGUUUUGAGAUACUUUCCUAUUAUACCAAGGUUUAGGAGGAUGUUUAGAUCUAAGAAAAUGGUUGAAAAUUUAAUAUGGCACUCUACCCACAAAAGUGAAGAUGGUAAAAUGCGACACCCUGUAGAUUCUUUAGCGUGGGACUUAGUUAAUGAUAAAUGGCCUUGUUUUUCAUCAGACCCAUGAAAUCUUAGACUUGGUCUUGCUACUGAUGGCUUCAAUCCGUUUUCCAAUUUAAGCACAACAUAUAGUUGCUGGCCUGUAAUGCUUGUUACGUACAACUUGCCACCUUGGUUAUGCAUGAAGAAGGAAAAUAUUAUGCUGACUUUGUUAAUUCCAGGGCCUAAGCAGCCUGGAAAUGACAUUGAUGUGUAUCUACAGCCGCUUAUCGAAGAUCUAUAUGAGCUGUGGAAUAAUGGAGUGUCUAUUUUUGAUACAAUGACAAAGUCAGUUUUCAAUUUGAGGGCAAUCUUAAUGUGGACAGUAAAUGAUUUUCCAACCUAUGGAAACCUUGCCGGAUGUAAAACAAAGGGUAAACUAGCAUGUCCGAUUUGUGGCAAUAAAACACACUCGGUUCGAUUGAAGUUUUGUAAUAAGCUUGUGUACAUGGGUCACAGACGAUUUUUGCCGCAUUCUCAUAUAUUUCGGGGUAAAAAAAAUUGGUUUGAUGGAUCGGUGGAAGAAGAUCCAAGUCCUAGAAUCAUUACCGGCACCAAAAUUUUACAAGAACUGGAAGGAAUUGAAAAUCAUUGGGGAAAAGGGGACAAGAAAAGAAAGAAGUCUAGUGAAGAUCAAAGGUGGAAAAAAAGAUCAAUUUUUUUUUAUUUGCCAUAUUGGAAGGUAUGUGUGUGAGAUAAACUACUGGUUUAUUAAUUUAUCGCAAUUGACUGUAAUUAUUUACAUUACUCUUAUGUUACUAUGAUGAAUAAAUUUAAGCAAAAUUAAAUUUAGACAUUUAGUUUUUAAGAAAUCUAUAAUUGCAUUUCUUUUUUUUUAAUAUUAUGAAAAUACUUCUUUUUUCUCAUGCUUUAAGCAAUCUCAUUGAUUAGUUUGCAAUUGUAAUUAAAUUUAAAUUAUUUUUUUCAUAUUCCAACUUUAAAUAAUUACAUACUCCUAAUUUUUCAAUUAUAUUUCAGGAAUUAUUAGUGCGUCACAAUUUGGAUGUAAUGCACGUAGAAAAGAAUAUUUGCGAGAGUAUUCUUUGCACUUUACUAGACAUUAGUGGCAAAACAAAAGAUGGACUCAAUGCUCGCAAAGACUUGGAAGAUUGGGACAUUCGACAUGACUUGCAUCCAUAUGUUGAGGGGAUGAGAACAUACCUUCCUGCAGCUCCACAUUCGUUAUCAAAGGUUGAGAAAAAAAUAUUUUGUGAAAGGUUAUUCAAUAUGAAACUACCUGAUGGGUAUAGCUCAAAUAUCGGAAAUUGUGUCUCAGUUGACGAAUGUAAGAUUACAAAUCUCAAAUCGCAUGAUUACCAUAUCUUAAUGCAACAAUUGUUGCCGGUUGUGAUAAGAGGUUUGUUACCUAAGGGACCAAAAAAUGCAAUAUUUCGAAUGUGUACAUUUUUCAAUAAGAUAUGUCAACGAGUUGUUGAUAGAGAAAAUAUAUUGGCCCUUGAAGGUGAAGUUUUUGAAACAGUAUGCAUGUUUGAAAGAUUCUUUCCUCUUGCAUUCUUUGAUAUCAUGGUACACUUAUCGAUUCAUUNNNNNNNNNNNNNNNNNNNNNNNNNNNNNNNNNNNNNNNNNNNNNNNNNNNNNNNNNNNNNNNNNNNNNNNNNNNNNNNNNNNNNNNNNNNNNNNNNNNNNNNNNNNNNNNNNNNNNNNNNNNNNNNNNNNNNNNNNNNNNNNNNNNNNNNNNNNNNNNNNNNNNNNNNNNNNNNNNNNNNNNNNNNNNNNNNNNNNNNNNNNNNNNNNNNNNNNNNNNNNNNNNNNNNNNNNNNNNNNNNNNNNNNNNNNNNNNNNNNNNNNNNNNNNNNNNNNNNNNNNNNNNNNNNNNNNNNNNNNNNNNNNNNNNNNNNNNNNNNNNNNNNNNNNNNNNNNNNNNNNNNNNNNNNNNNNNNNNNNNNNNNNNNNNNNNNNNNNNNNNNNNNNNNNNNNNNNNNNNNNNNNNNNNNNNNNNNNNNNNNNNNNNNNNNNNNNNNNNNNNNNNNNNNNNNNNNNNNNNNNNNNNNNNNNNNNNNNNNNNNNNNNNNNNNNNNNNNNNNNNNNNNNNNNNNNNNNNNNNNNNNNNNNNNNNNNNNNNNNNNNNNNNNNNNNNNNNNNNNNNNNNNNNNNNNNNNNNNNNNNNNNNNNNNNNNNNNNNNNNNNNNNNNNNNNNNNNNNNNNNNNNNNNNNNNNNNNNNNNNNNNNNNNNNNNNNNNNNNNNNNNNNNNNNNNNNNNNNNNNNNNNNNNNNNNNNNNNNNNNNNNNNNNNNNNNNNNNNNNNNNNNNNNNNNNNNNNNNNNNNNNNNNNNNNNNNNNNNNNNNNNNNNNNNNNNNNNNNNNNNNNNNNNNNNNNNNNNNNNNNNNNNNNNNNNNNNNNNNNNNNNNNNNNNNNNNNNNNNNNNNNNNNNNNNNNNNNNNNNNNNNNNNNNNNNNNNNNNNNNNNNNNNNNNNNNNNNNNNNNNNNNNNNNNNNNNNNNNNNNNNNNNNNNNNNNNNNNNNNNNNNNNNNNNNNNNNNNNNNNNNNNNNNNNNNNNNNNNNNNNNNNNNNNNNNNNNNNNNNNNNNNNNNNNNNNNNNNNNNNNNNNNNNNNNNNNNNNNNNNNNNNNNNNNNNNNNNNNNNNNNNNNNNNNNNNNNNNNNNNNNNNNNNNNNNNNNNNNNNNNNNNNNNNNNNNNNNNNNNNNNNNNNNNNNGAUAUGUUAGAAAUCGCGGAAGACCUGAAGGUUGUAUUGCAGAAUGCUAUCUAGCAGAAGAAUGUGUAGCAUUCUGUAGUGGUUAUAUCCAGCAACGAAUCGAAGUGAAUACUAAAGAGCUCCGUAAUGAUGAUUUCUCCAAUGGUAUAAUUCUUGAAGGUCAUCCAAUUUCAAGAGGCACACCGAUUACUUUAAGUAGUGAUAUGUUGGAAAGUGCACAUCAUUAUGUGUUAUUCAAUACAGCAGUUGUUGAACCGUACUUGGAGUAAGACUUUGAUUAUUAAUUUUAAUAUUAUUAUUUUAGCUGUUAUUUCGUUUGAGUUACUAACUUGUUUUACUUUUAAAAUAGGAUGCAUAUGGAGGAGUUAAAGCAAUCAAAUAAAUGUCUUGCAAAAAAUUCUAAUUUACUUUGGAAGAGACACGUACAAACAUUUUCAGCAUGGUUGAAACAAAAGGUAAUAUUGCGUUUGAUUUUAAUUAUCUAAUACUUAAUAAUAACAUAUUAAUAUUAGAACUUCUUUGUUGCAACUGUACAGAUUUAAUUUUAAAUAUAAAUAACUUAUUUCUUACAACUGUACAGAUUGAAUUCCAUACUUGUAAAGAUAAGGACUUUGAUACAUUAAAGUGGCUUGCAUAUGGUCCCAGAAUCAAUGCAAAACGUUAUUCUGGAUAUAUUAUUAAUGGCCAAAGAUUCCAUACAAGAGAAAUUGACAAGGCAACACAAGAUAGUGGGGUUUCAAUAGAAGCUACAACUGUAUGCAGAGCAAGUGCGAAAGAUAAUGCACAAGUUGUGGAUAUAGUUGCGUAUUAUGGGGUUAUAACAGAUAUAAUCUUGUUAGAUUACCAUAACUUUCAGAUUCCAUUAUUUAAGUGUGAUUGGGCGAACAAGGGACAUGGUGUUAAGGUUGAUGAUGGCUUUACGCUUGUUAAUCUACAUCAAGGGCAAAGUCAGUACGAGAAAGAGCCUUUUAUCCUUGCAUCACAAGCAAAACAAGUAUUUUACUCUAGAGAUAGUAAUUCUUCUAAUUGGUAUGUUUUAUUAAAGGCGCCGCCAAGAGGUUACUAUGAGCUGGAGAUGUAUGAUGAGAAAGAGGAUACAAAUUGCGUGCUUGAAAAUAUGCUUGAUAAGAACAUUGAAGAUGAUAAUGAAGGAGCUACUUAUAGGAGGAUUGACUGUGAGGACAUUUUGGUUUGAUUUAUGUAACUACUUUUUGUUUUGGAGUGGUUAAUGUAUAUAUGAACUAUUAUUUUUUUGGUUUGGUGUGAUUUAUGUAUUUUCAGUUGUAAUAAUGUUGCUUGUUGGUAAGAAUUCAUUUUCUCUUAAGUUUAUUUUAUUUGAUUUUUUUUAAGAGAUUUGAUUACAAAUUUUUUUAUAUUAACUAAAUUUUUGUCCAAUUAACAGGUCAUUUUGAAGAUUGAUUGAUAACAAUGAAUGAGAUGCAUGAGGAAGGCUUGCAUUCGUCCGCAUUCAAAUCAAAAAAUAAAAGGGGUCCUACCAAAUUGAAGAACAUUGCUGUGGAUGGUGAUAAAGUGGAGGUCAUAUUUAAUAGCAAAGGUCAACCGAUUGGUGAGGGAUCUAUCUCAUUAUCAUCUUUUUUAGGACCUCUUGUACGAGAGCAUGUACCGUAUACAAUUUCAGAUUGGAGGAAACUUCCUUUGAAUUUGAAAGAAGUGUUAUGGGAAUGUAUUAAGGUAUGUAGCUAUAUUGUAAUUUAAGUAUAUAUCAUUUGGAUGAAAAUACAUAAUUGAAUGGAAAUUAAAAUUAUUUUGUAUUUUUAAUUAAAUAUACAUUGUAGAAGAGGUACAAAUUGGAUGGACAAUGGCAAAGAGCUUAUGUGUUCCAGGAGAUGGCUGGGCUUUGGAGGGCUUCAAAAUCAAGGCUAGUUCAGAAGAUAUUGCAGGCAAAAAACGAACAAGAAAGAAUGAAGUUAAGACCUGAUAACAUCUCAUCAAUAAACGAAUGGAAAAGUUUUGUGAAAGAAAAAACAAGUGAAAAAUUUAAAGUAAGUGUAUUACUAUAUUAAAUUAUGUAAUUAUGGUUGUAACUAUGUUACUGAACAAAGUUUAUAUUAACUGUGCAGGAAAGAAGUGAAGGAUUUAAAAAGAUUAGGAAGAAACAAAUCCCACAAACAACAGGUCGUAGGGGACUCGCUAGAAUGACAAAAGAUAUGGUAAAAAAAUAUUUCUUUUAAAAUAGGAUUUUAGCUGAGCAAUCAUUUAUAAACUAUUUUCUGUUGCAGAAAAAAAGUAGUGGAAAAACUGAAAUGCCUAGAGUUGAUGUAUGGAUACGAGCACAUACAAAAAAGGACGGUCAACCCGUGAACAUUCAAGCUGGAGAAACUAUUGUAAGAAUAUCCAUUUAUUCAAUUGAUAUGCUUGUUUUUAUCAUAUGUUCUUGAUGAAUAUUACUUUUAAAUAAAUUUUCAGGAUAAAUUAAAAGAAACUUUGCAAGAUCCAUCACGACAUUCUUCAAAUAAUCUAAGAGAUGAUGCUCUCUCACAAGUACUUGGGCCUGACAAUUCUCAUUUAAGAGCUAUCGGGAAAGGAGUCACCAUUUCAAAGUUGGCUAUACUAUCACAAAAGGACAGCAUAAUAGCUAAGUUGACAGAAGAACAUGAUGAAAUUAAAAAAGAAAAUGCUCAAAUGAAACAAGAACAAGAUGAAAUGAAGAAAGCAUUGUCCGAUAUGCGAAGUUUAGUUGAAGAGUUACAAAAAAGGCAGGCAUGUACUAUGUUUUACUCACUUUUAUGUAGUUGUUAUAAUAUUUAGUUACUGACUGUUUAUUUUUCAUUUUAGAGUCAUUUUCAUGAAACCGAAGCAAGUGGGAAUCCUCCGAAAACACCUUUGACUUCUCCAAUGGUAAGAAUAUUAUUUACACUUUUAAGUUUAGUGAAAGGAUGAAAAAUAAAAUGCUGAAGGCUUAUUACUAAUAUUUUUUUCUUAAUUAAAUUGUCCUUGUGUUGUUGUUAAAGAGUGUGAAGCCAAUCCCGAACAUUACUAAGUGUAAAAUGCUUGAUUUGGAGGGGUUUGAUACAGUUGUGGCUGAAGGGCGUUGGUCAUCAAGUGAUCCAAAUGCACUUGUUCAUCACAUUCCUCUUGGUUCUAACGCUAUAAGAGUUUGGGUGGAUAUAGCUAGGCAGCCCCUAAAGUUUUUGUGGAAAGUAACACCUUAUAUGACAACAAUUGAAGAAUCUGUUGGGAGUACAAUUGCAUGGCCAGCUGAUAGAGUUAUCCUGUUUACUGCCAACUAACUUUUCUAGUCCAUCUAUUUAGGUAUUCUUUUACGUUCUUUUCUUUUUUCCAAUGACCUCAUAUUUUUAAGUUUGCUUGCAAAUAUGAUCUAGUUUACCACUAUGAGAAAGUAAUUUUGCAGUUUUCUACUUUGAGAAGGUUCUGAUUUUAUAUUUUAUUGUAUGCAAAAUUAUCCUUUUAAUGUUAUCUUCUUGGUUCAAUUUUUCCUAGAGUGGUUAUUUGGAAAAGUAGCUGUUUUGUUCAUUUUUAUUAGGAGUCAUACGCCAAGGUUUCACUAUUGCCAUAUGUGUUUGCAAUGUUAAUUGUUGUGCAAAUUUUAAUGUACUCGCAAGCGCACGAAUCUAUUGUAGUGUAGAUCAAUGGUGACGAGUGUCGAUCCCACGAGGAGGUGGAUUUUAAUUAUAUAUAGAAUUAAUUUUGUAAAUGGGUGGUUGCAAUUAUGGUGGAAAUGAUUUGGAAUAUGCUAAAACUUAAAUUAAAAUGGCGAGAAUAAAUUCUAAAAUUGGAAUUGCAAUGGAGAGAAUAAAUUGAAGAGAAAAUCUAUUAAAUUGACGUACUUGGAUAUCUGGAUCCGUAUCAACAUGCAUCAUGGGCUAAAUAAUCCGUAUUAAUACCAAUUAAAUCAUGAGGGGGGAAUCCACACCUCAUGAACCACGCUCUAAUCAAUAUGGUGCUAAGGGCUUAUCGUGCCAAAUAAUAAUAACCUUGUACUAGAGGGCCGGUGAAACCAAGGCGGUACUAGACAAGAUUAGUAUUAUUUGUCGACGAGAAGUCAAAACAUCCACAAAAACUAGAGGGGAAGAGAAAAUAAAUUUACCAAAUAAAGCCCAUGACACAUGUUGAGACUUCACCUUCAACCCAAGCUUGAAAGAAAAUUAGCCACUCAUAAUUGAACUAGGGGCAAAAUGAGAAUUUAUUAAAAUACGAAGAAAAUACAAGAUGGAGAGGGAAUUACAGAAAAUGGAUCCCAAAAAUGGAUUCAGAGAUAUCAAAUUAGGGGGGGAGGCCCCCUUUUUAUAGAUACAUGGAGUAAAUCAUGGCCAUCAGAUUAAAAACAGUUUGGACGCUCAGGAUUGCGCCACGUCAUCAGUCAACAGUCCACGGUUUGACCACGCGGAUGAACAGUAACACGGUUUGACCCGACUUUGAACAGUAACGCGGUUUGACCCGGAUGAACAGUAACGCGGUUUGGUUGAAAAUAAUCCUGUGUGAUGCAUGCACCGUACACGAGAUUUUUCGUCCACUGAUAUGAUGUGAAUAGUGCCAUUUUUCCUUUUAUGCUCCUCCUAAGGUUUUCGACCAUCCUGAGUUCAAAAGUGAUGUCCGUUUUGCCGUCUGAUCUCUCCUUUAUUGUGAAAUGACUAUAAUGCCCCUAAAAUACAUAAAUUACUUAAUUAAAAUAAAACACACGUAAUUAAAUCACAAGAAUGUUAAAUACAUAAAAGUAAAGGUUGUUAGUAAGACUUGAAAUGUAAAAUGACGGUUUUCUCCUUUAUAAAUAUGCAUUUUCUAACACUCAACAUUAAUCUCGGUGGGUUGUGAUUUGGCUUAUUGCUUAUCAUUAUGUUAUUUCAUUUUUUUUCUUAAUAAAUGAAAAAUAAAAUAUUUUCCUCUUAUGAUACAAAUAUUAGAUUCAUUGCUUUGAAUUUUCAAUAUUGUUAUUUUUAUUUGUAUUUAUUAAUGAGUCAUUAUUUUAUUUGUCAUUCUUAAAGCAUCAUUAUUAAUUCUUUUCAUUAUCAUAAUGUAACUAUGUUUUUGUUUUAAUUUCAUGAUGCAGGUUGUAAAAAUAUAAGUAUAUUUUGUAAAGAGUAGAAGGCAAGUUGUGGAUGUUAUGGGUAACAUAACGGGUAAAAAACUGCAAGUAUGACAUGAACAUGCUUAAUUUUUUGUGUACUUAAUUUUUUGUGUAAGUCUCUUUGUAUACUUUGAUGUACAUGAUCAUGUGAUUUUGGAUGCUUAUAUAUAGUUACAGUGAUGAAAUAUAUGGUAUCUAAAUUUUUUGCAUGAAAGGAAUAAUAGAUUACACGUCAAAUGGUUUGGAAUUGGAGACUUAAAAUUAUAUUUAGUAAAUAAACAUUUUGAUACGAAUUUAUCAACUAAAUUGAUGAUAUUGAACAACCAUUAAAAAAAUACUUUUUUAUUAACCAACAUUCAUAACUUUUUACAAAUGCUACUAUAUAAAGAUUUAAAAUUUUCCAUAGCAUUUACCAACAGCUACAUUAUAUAUAUAUAUUAAUUUUGUACUAGUUGUAACAUUACUGAAACGUUAUAAUUAUUAGUAAAAUUGCAUUAUCAAAGUGCUAUCAAAGACAAGUGGUUGCAUUAGUAAAUGGUUCAGUAGCAUUUUUUUAAUGUUAUAUAUGUAAUUUAGUAGCAUUGCAUAAAUGCUACACAUUGCACAAUGAUAGCAUUUGCACGAAGCUGUAAACUAAGAUUUGCUAACUAUUUUUAAAUGCUAUAUAUAUGAAUUGUUAGCAUUCAAUAGAUGCUAUUAAAUAGUAAAACUUUUAGUUACAUGGGCAAACUUAGCGUUGCCUAAAAUGCUACCGAUCACCUUUGGUAGCAUUUUUUGGAUGCUAUUAUAUAUCCUUUUUGUUGUAGUGUUUGAACAGAACCAGCCAGCUCGGAGAGGUCCAUGCUCUCGAUGUCCUUCACCAUCUUGGGCCCCACCGAUUUUCUGUAAUCCUUUUGAUACGGACUCAGGUAGUCACCUUGAUCCCGGGAUGGAAGAGGAGAGGAUCGAUCCCCAGACUGGAUGCUGACCUCAGGACUCUUAUCGGAAGCUUUCUCCCCACCACUCCUACGAGGUGGAGGAGGGGGCAGAGCAGGAACAGGCGCCUUAGAAGGACCGACACUGGUUUUCUUUGGAGGAGGGGGAGGGUUGCUGGAGCUGCUUGGAGCCCGACCACGCUUUCUGCUCAUCGCGCUGAGGAUCUUGUUAUCCAUUCCAGCAGUUAUGUCCACUAGACCCGAACCGACCAGGUUUGUUGGUGACAGGAGGUCUUGGCAGGUAGACGCGUUCACCAGAGCAGUUUCCACCUGAAGCAAAGGUCGGUCUUCAAGCCCCUCAAUCAAAUCCCACGACUCUGAAAUAGCAAAAAAGGUUAAAGAACCCAAUAAGUGACAAUUUGACUAAGAACAUAGGCAAAAAUGAACGACCUGGAGUGACAAAAUGUGUUGGAAGGUAAAUAUCCCCACCAAGCGACCGAACUGCUGGACACCAGUUUCCUCCAGCAAAGAAGAAUUUAUUCUUCCAAUUUUUACAUGAAGAAGGAAACUCAGUGAUCGGUUUCCUCUUUACAGAACUGGACAUAAAGUAGUACCAGCCCGCUUCCCUCGGGCUACUCCGCAGCUGGUACAGGUGCUUCACUUCAACAAGGGAAGGCUCUCCCAACCCGCAUCUCUCCCACAACACAAACAUUGCCGAGAGAACCCUCCACCCAUUUGGGUGUAGCUGACCUGGGGCCAGGUGCAUACCGCCCAGUAUCUUCGCAAAAUAACUUUGAAGGGGCAGCCGAGCUCCCAAUUUGAAACUUUCCAGGUGCAUCGUCACAUACCCUUUCGGAGGCCGACUAGGGACGUCACCUUUUCCAGGAACUACCAGGAGAACCUCAUUGGGAAUGUUGUAGAGGUUCCUAAGCUUAAAUAGAUCAGUGGGGGUGGUGGCACAAUCUAUGAAAUCAAUAGGGUAGGAAUCCGCCUCCACCCUAUGGCUGAGAUUCCUUUUCUUAGCAGGUCCGCUCGGUCCAGAGCUGCUCCCCUCACCAUCACCAACUCCCUCAGGGACCCCAACCCCACCAAAGCUGUGGUUCUCACCAGAGCCCGACGCGGGUCCACCUCUAUUCCCUACAAGCUCUAGUUCGGGGGAGGGAGAAACAGCCAAGGGGCGUGGGUACUCAAGGGUAUCCCUACCAUGGGAGGGCCCUACACUACUAGAGGGACGUAAAAAAUCAGUGGGUAUCGACAAGUUAAGGUCUGAAUCCCCCGUUUCUUCGUCACUCUCAUCGGCAAUCAAUUUCCUUUUCCGAUUUGACAUAUCGGAGCCCCAAAAGGAAACCAAAACAAAUCCAAGUAUACGAAUACAAAAAAGGGGCAACACAGAACCCAAUCAACAAUAACCAAAGAAGAAGUUAAAGGCUGUACUUGGAAUAGUCUGGCACUGAUAAUGUCGUUGUGAUGGAGGGAAGACCCCGCAAACGGAAGUCCCAGACGCGGAGAGUAUGAACGAAGUUCGUAGGAGUUGUCUCACAACAGAGAAGCGAAUAGAACAAAGCGACGAUGAUUUAAGUCUAGGGAUUUGAAACGAAAAGGAAAAUGAAAGCAUUUAAGUGAUGGGGAUGCCAGCUCACUCACCGAAUAUCGAGGACAGAUAGCCCGUCAUUUCAAAUUUCAAAUGUGAAGAGUCUGGAAAGGCCACGUCACUAACCGUUACAAGAGGCCAAGCUAGAUGCAAGCCCAGAUAGGCAAUGGACACGCUCAUUCAAGCCCAUGCUCAGGUCGGGAUCUCCCCAGAAUAAGAAUGGUACCUCAGGUCCGUCCCAGUAAACAGGAAAUCAGAUGUGAAGCUCCCCGUAUUGGUCAGAUUUGGCUAUCGGUUUCUACUCUUGACUCAUUUCACUCGCAAGACUAGAAACUGGGGGACUGGUGUUAAGUAAAUAAAAGCACCAGGUCGGCCAUGCUACUAUCCACCCCGGCGUGGAUCACUUCAGCCAAGUAGUACGAGCAGAACACGGGGGCAAACAUGAACCGACCAGAGACGAAUACCGACCAGAAGCAUAUACCGAGCCGGCGCUCAUCCCCCAGGAAAGCGGGAACACGAUCCCACAGAAUCGCGGUAGUUGCGCUUUUCCCAGAACCGAUUAAAGGACACGCGAGAGCCCACGUUUGCCCACAAUGUAACAGUUAGAGCCCCAUGAGGGGCUGCCACCACCCGAAAAAGGAGGGAUAAAGGGUAAACGGAAAACGUGGGACAAAGGGGCGGCUAUAAAAGAGGGAGAAAUCGAUGAAGAAGAAAAAAAGAAGAUUGAGAGAGGGAAAACGCUGCCAAAUUGCAAUCAGGCCUUUUUCUUACAAACUUUGAAUAAAUUAAAAAUCAUUCUUGAAUCCAAAUUGCACUGUUUUCCCGUAAACACUUUGUGCUAACUUAGGCAUCGGAGGGUUUACGCCGGCAAAACCACCGGUGUCUUUGAUUCGUUUUUGGUAAACGCAGGUCUAGUAAGAGAAAGGAGGGCGAUUCCAACCCCAGUGGUUCGAGCAACAGUUGAUAACACAAACGUUGGUGAAAGAAUCUGGUCGGUCAAAAGGCGAGCAGAUUUAAGCAUCAACACACGUCAUAGUGUUUUUUAGUUUUGACUCUAGUGUUUUAGGAAAAUGAACAAUGGACUGAAUACAGACGAGAAAAUUCGCAUGUUAUAUAACACAAUUAAAAUAAAAUAUCAUUUGUCAUACAUUUUAUUCAUUAAAAACAUAGUAAAAAAAAAUUAAAAAAUUCAAAAAUUCAGUGGCCGCAAACGUCCUUUCUGGAAUCUUUGUGGGCAACACGUACGUGGUGUCUUCACUAAGUGUUGAAUCUUUAGCUUCAAAGGAAAGAAAAAAAAAAGGGUAGGGAUAUUUCCACCCCAUUAUUUUUGUAAAUUCACACCACUUUUAUAAAAUAAUUAUAAUGAAUUCACAAUAUUUUUUAAAAAUACAAAUUAAUAAAAAUUGUGUAUAGUUAAUCAAUUAAAUCAUUCUAUUAUCUUACUUCUUAGAUUUCUUUUACUCUAUUUGAUCAUGAACUCUGAUAUAAAUUUUAUUUUUCUAUUUUAUUAUUAUGAUAUAAAAUGAAAAAAUUGCCUAACAAACAUGAGUUAUUGUAUCUAAUAAUUUAUGUAUUUAAUUAUGUGAACUAAUAUUUUAAAUGAAAUCUAAUUAUUAUUUUCACUACCUUACAAAUAAAUGAUAUAAAUUUGACAAGCUAAUAAUUUACAUGAGUAUUGUGCCAUAAAGACAUUAUGUUUGUUUAAUUAAUGUUUUAUAAUCAUACUAAUAAAGUAGUAUUAGAAAUAAUGAAUUUGGUAUAAAAUUAGAAAAUAUUGAAGUUAAAGAAUUAGUUUUACCUUAUAAGGAUAAAAUAAUCAAUUUAGACUUAUGUCAAAGCAAUCUUUAUGAUCAAAUAUAAUAAAAAAUAUUUAAGUCACAAAAAGUAAAUUAAGAUAGAUUUGUUAAUUUGGUCUCCAAAGUUCUUUUUUAUUUAAUUUUUAAAAAAAUAAUGUGUACUUUUUUGUAAUUAUUUUUUAAAAAUGGAGUGGAUUUGGAGAUAUCAUUAGCCAACAAAAAAUUUAGUAAGGAUUAAUUUGAUAAUUGCCUAUAAAAAGAAGGCAUAUGUGCAUGUGGUGGUAGGGAAGCGUUUUUCCAUUCUAAAAUUACAUGUAAGAAUCUAUUAUAAAAAAUUUAUCAGUUCUUCACUCCACUAAAAUUUAUCAGAGAAUGAGGUGAAAAAUAUGGGCCAAAUAAAACUAUUAACAUAUAAAAAAAUUUAAAUUAUUAAAAAUAAUAACUAAAAAAUACAUAUUUGUUAAGAAUUUUGGAAUUAUUUUUCUUUGAGUAAUGAUACUAUAAUUCAAAAGAUGCUUUUUGAAUUACAUCAGAUUUUUUAUUCAAAACGAACAAAGGGAUUAUAUUUUACAAUUUAGGAAAUAACUAUAUUUAAUAGAGAUAAUUUUGGGACAUAGCAUUUACUUUCUAUUGAGAAAUUUUCAUAUAUUAGACAAAAGUUACAAAAGUUUACUUAAAAAAAAAAGAAAAUUAGACUUCACACGUUUAACAAAUAACCCGAAGGAAUAUGAAUAAGAAUUAUUAAAACAAAAAUGAUAAAUAAGGAUAAUUUUAAAAUUAAAUGCAAUUAAUGGAGAGAUGAUGACUGAUAAGAAAAAUUGGGGGGCAAAAAUUAAAAUAUCAACCUACUACUAAUGGUUGAUAGUCAUGACCCACUCAAUUUGAGAAUUAAAAGGACAAAAGCCAUGUGUUGAAAACUAUGGUGUUCAUGGGGAAAUUCAGCUAAAAGUCUAAAAAGCAGUGAAAUUAUAUCUUCAACAAUUCCUGCACUGCAAUAAUUUUCGAGGGACGUGGUGCAUGUAACACAAAUUCACACUAGACUAUUGAACCAUACCUUAUUAGAUGAAGGGUAUAAUGUACCGAAAGCACGUAUUUAGCAUUGUAAAAUUAGUGGCCUUCUUUUCCUGCAGAUUUAAUCUACUUGGCGUGUUAUUUUUUUUCCUUUUUUUUUUUUUUGAAUGCCAGUGUUUCAUUCAUGAUAUUUCUGAAUUUUUAUCCAUGAUGUUUUAACUUUAUUUUUAUUGAUUCAUGAUAUAUUUUAAAAAAUAUAUUUGUAUAUUGAUUUGUCAUUUUCACUCAACUCAUUUGUGUUGUGAAUCCAUUCGCUUAAACAUGUAAGGAAAACUGACUUGUAAGUAAACUAAUAUUAGUUUAUGAAGUGAAUAUUGCGCCGAAAUAUAUGGAAAAUACAAACAGAUAGUAAUCAAUUAAUUUUGCGCGAGAGAGGCAGAUAGUUAAUUACCGUGUGCAAAUGGUGGAUAUUGGUUUGAAUAUUAUCAUUAUCAGUGUGAAUGAGGAGGGAUCGAACUUUAUGCCAAUUGAGGCAACAAGUGAGGACGCCACUCAUGCGAAACAACAUCAUCAAAGCAGAGCUAAACUAAGAGGGAAACCUAGGAUGGCCGAUUUGAUGAUGACGCUUCUUCAUCAUUCCCCAUUAUUUUACUUCUCGCUACGUACGUAGUACUCUAUGCUACCUUUCUUGCUUCCUUCAAGCGUACAUUUAAUUGAACACAAUGGUAUUAGUAGUAUUAUAGGAAUUUAUAUUUACAAAACUGACUUGUAAGGAAAGAGCUUGUCUUCUAGUACAACUUUAAAUUUACCAAGAUUAAGAAUUUUCCUUCUGAAGAAAAGUAAUUUCUAUAGCAGCUAUUACCAUCUUCAUCCCAACGGUAAGCAGCUCCAUACUAAGGAAAGAGUGAAAUAGGUGUGCUUUACUUAUAGAAGCCCGUUCCUGUCCAGAGUGAUUAGUAAGUUGUUUCACCAUGACCCCCAUUAUGGUUGACUGGAAAAAGAAAAAAAAAAUAUUUGCCCAACACAGAAGUAGCACCCAAAAAGUCCUACUUAAGCGGCUUCAUACCCUGCACAAAUUGGAAAGUUUUUUAAAAUUUUCAUGUUCCAAAUGAAGAUUGCCCAUUAAAAAAUUACACACAUAAUGUAUGUAAAGCAAUUAAAACAGAAAAACAAGGAUAACCCAGAAACAAUCCAGCCAUCAAUAACAUAAAACUUUUGUAAAUCUGGUAAAGUGAAUGAGAAGCAGAACAUACAUUUCACUUAAUAAUGAAAGAUACAUCUUUUAAUCAGUUUUUGCUCUUGCUUUGUUCUUGUACUUCCUUCCAAUAACAAUUCAUAAUGCAGGUAGGUAUCUUAAAAAAUUAUAUCAUACAUUUCUCUUAUCAAAAGAAAUACAGUUGAUUAAUUGAACUGUAUUUCUAAAAAAAUUAUAUCAUACAAACAUGUCGUUUAUUAAUUGAACUGUGGUCAUUAAUACACGCACACACAUGUAUGCUUAUGGUACAGUCACACCGAAUCUGUUAUAGACUAAUUAAAUACAAUAUGUUUUAACUAAAGUUGGUUAGUGUGAGUGGUUCGGCACUCUCACUCCUUAAGAGAGGUCAGGGGUUCAAGCCCCACUCUCAUAUGGAGUCACCACUUUGGCCAGCACUGUACCCUUUACGGGCCGAUCUGGUGAGAGCGGGGAUUAGUCUGGGUUGUGGUACGCACUUAAAGGUACCUCCCACAGUUGGGGCCCACUCAGAACCACCUCGUGGUUUAGACCCAAAAAAAAAAUACAAUAUGUUUCUUUUACUAGCUAUAUGAUUGGAUCUUCAUUAAUGACCAAAGAAGAAAUUAUAACAACCCAUGCAAGUAUUAGUACUUCUCCUAAAGCUAAUAUUAAUGAAACAAAACAACUUCAAAUAUUUCCCAAUAAGCCACUAGAUCAGGAUCAAGUCCACAAUUCAAUAUUCCACAUGAUUUUUCCCUUUCAUCUGCAAUUACUAGAUUAAAAGGUAAUAAAAUUAAUUACUUAACAUGCAUUCUAAAUCAUCCUUAAAUUUGAUAUGUUGGGUUCCAGCUGUAGGCAAAACUUUGGAUAAGUACAGAAAAAAAAUUAAAAAUGAGUAAAAAUGAAAAAGGAAGAAAAUAUCGAUCAAACCUCUUGUUCAAACGGAGGGGCGGCGCUAGUUUUUGAUCUAACAGUAUGCUAAGUUUUUUUUCCUUAAUACAAGUACAAAUGAUAUCAUACAUUUCUAAAAAAAUUAUAUCGGUCUUAAUUCAUAAUGCAGGUAGGUAUUCUAUGAUCCAUCUAAUCUUUCUACACUUUUUUUUUGUACUAGGAAAGCGAUAUUUAUAACGUAUCUCAAAAGAAAUACAGUCAAUUCUUACUGUUUUAGGAUAUAGUAUUUAAUUUGCAUUCAAACAUUUUCUCAUUUCAGAAAAGGUCCUAAAAAUUUAUUUUUUUAAUUCAAAUAUAAAUAUUAAAAAAAUCAGAUAUAAGUAUAAAAAAUAAUUUUUUUUAAAAAAAAGUUAGAUUUCAUAUGUUUAACAAUCAAUGCUAAGGAAUAUGAAAAAGAGCUAUUACAAACCAAAAAAAAAAAGACUAAUUUUGAAACUAAAUACAAUUAAUUGAGAGAUGAGGACCAUAAGAAAAAUUGAGGAUAAAAACUAAAAUAUCAGCCCCUCGUUGCUGAUAGUUAUGAGUAUGAAAGCACAGAAGCCGUGUGUUGAAAAGUCUGGUGUUCAUGUGGAAUUUUCCGUUAGAAGUCUACAAAGCAGUGGAAUUAAUCGAUCAUUGUGGAGUGGACGGUGGUUGGAGUUGGACAAUGAGAUGAAAUUGAAAAAUUAUCACGGAACUUGAAGGAAGGUUCAUGGCAUCGAUUUUUUCUAUAGAGUCGCUCACAUUUGGUUCAAUAACUGUUUUCAUCCGAAUCAAAAUCUCUCUCUAAUCAAUUCAACUAUUUCUGUUGAUUAUGGCUUCUUCUUCUUGAAACAACAAGAAGUAUGAUGUUUUUGUUAAUUUCAGAGGAGAGGACACCCGAGACAACUUUACUAGCCAUCUCUAUUCUGCUCUGAGUCGACAAAAUAUCCAAACUUUCAUUGAGUCACUGGUGAAUGCAAUUGAAGCAUCAGACAUUUCUGUUAUCGUCUUCUCAGAAGGGUAUGCAUCUUCCAGAUGGUGUCUCGAUGAACUUGUAAAGAUCCUCGAGUGCAAGAAAGAGUAUGCACAGAUUGUGAUUCCGGUUUUCUAUCGGGUUGAUCCAUCAGACGCGAGAAACCAAAUAGGGCAUUUUGGGAUUUCAUUUUCGAAGCUUGAAGAAAGAUUUAAGGAGAAUANNNNNNNNNNNNNNNNNNNNNNNNNNNNNNNNNNNNNNNNNNNNNNNNNNNNNNNNNNNNNNNNNNNNNNNNNNNNNNNNNNNNNNNNNNNNNNNNNNNNNNNNNNNNNNNNNNNNNNNNNNNNNNNNNNCACGCAGCACUCUUCGUUAAAAUUUCUGGCUACUAAACUACAAGUUUAAAAAUUUUUAAGCAUCAAAUUCUAGACUUCCUGACUUCCCCACUUUUGUGCUCUCAUAAUUAUAAAAUAAUUGUGACAGAAUUAAUAAUAAAAGCUCGAGAAUUUUACAAUAUAUAUGUAACAAAAUUAGGGGUGGUCUGUCGUUUUUUAAGCAAUUUCAACCUCCCACUCAGAUACCACCAUUAGAAAAAAAAAACUCACGCAUAUUCCUGUAAUUUAAGAGUUCUUAAUUUACUGGGAGAUUGUAGACCAGUGGUGGUAUAUAUUAAUUUCAAUAGAAAAAUUGGCAAUCUCCCUUAUUUCAUAUUUAAUGCAAAUUCCUCCUAUUAAUUUUAUGUAUUUGCCAGGCGUGAGUCGGAACUUAUAAAUGAAGUUGUUAAUCACAUUUUGAAGAGAUUGGAUGAAGUGUUUCGGCCGUGUGAUAACAAAAACCAACUGGUUGGAGUGGAAUCAACAGUUGAGGAAAUUGAAUCUCUAUUAGGUGUUGAGUCGAAAGGUGUUUACGCUUUAGGGAUUUGGGGCAUUGGUGGUAUAGGCAAAACAACAAUCGCUAGAGCUAUUUUCGACAAAAUCUCGGGUGAUUUUGACGAUUCUUGCUUCCUCGAAAAUGUUAGAGAAGAGUCACAAAUACCAGGAGGAUUAGCUUGCUUACGACAAAAACUUCUUUCAAAUUUAUUGAAGGAUAAAAAUGUGAUGCCUUAUAUUGACCUCAAUUUUAAUUAGAAGGCUCAGUCGCAUGAAGGUUCUGAUUGUUUUUGAUGAUGUGACUUGCUUCAACCAAUUGGAAUCUUUAAUCGAAAGUCUUGAUUGGCUUACGCCUGUGACUCGAAUCAUAAUAACCACCAGAAAUAAACAAGUGCUUAGAAAUUGGGGGGUGAGGAAAAUAUAUGAGAUGCAGGCAUUAGAAUAUCAUCACGCUCUUGAGCUUUUUAGUCGACAUGCCUUCAAACGAAACCAUCCUGAUGUUGGUUAUGAGGAACUUUCAAGCAAAGUAAUGAAAUAUGCUCAAGGUGUUCCUUUAGCUCUUAAAGUUUUGGGUUGCUUUCUACAUAAAAGGGAAAAAGAAGUCUGGGAAAGUGCAAUAGAUAAAUUGCAAAGAAUCCUCCAUCCAAGUAUUCUUGAGGUAUUAAAAAUAAGUUAUGAUAGUUUGGACGAUAAGGAGAAAAAUAUUUUCCUUGAUGUUGCUUGUUUCUUUCAAGGUGAGCAUGUAGAUCCAGUAAUGAAAUUCUUUAAUGCAAGUGGCUUCUACCCAGAAAUAGGAAUGAGUGUUCUUGUUGAUAAAUCUCUCAUUGCUAUCGAUUCAUACAUCAAGAUAACAAUGCAUGAUUUACUACAAGAAUUGGGUAGGGAAAUUGUUCGACAAGAAUCAAUUGAUCCUGGAAACCGCAGUCGGCUGUGGCAUCAUGAGGAUAUCUAUGAAGUUCUUACGUAUAAUACGGUAAGCAGUUUGUUUAAAAACUUGAUGUGAAUAUAUUUACAUACGCUCACACUCAUGAGUCUUAGAAAUGCGAUGACAGUUUGUAUAACCGUUUGUAAGCAUAAUUGAUAUGUAUUACUUGUGUUAUUAUGUUUCUUCGUGCAUUUGCAAUCAAGAGUUUAACUGCCUAGCAGUAACUAUAAACAUGAAUUAUUGAAAUUCGAUAUGUGUAAUGACAGAGAGCCCCACUCCAAUCCCACAUAAACUCCAUGCAAGAAUAAAUAAAAAUUGAAUUAACAACUAUAAAUUAAAUGAAGUUCAAUUCAUUAGUGGAAUAUAUAUAUCAUCUUUCAUUUGAUUUUAACUUUAUUGGUUUUGUAUUUACUUUUAGGGGACAGAAAAAAUUGAGGGCAUCUGUUUGGAUAUGUCAAAAGUAAAAGAGAUUCGUCUAAAUCCUAAUACUUACACAAAGAUUCCUAAAUUGAGAUUUUUAAAGUUCUAUAGUUCAUCAAUCAAUGGAGAGAACAAAUGUAAGAUAUCUUAUUUGCAAGAUUCCGGAUUUGCUGAAGUGAAAUAUCUUCACUGGUAUGGAUAUCCGUUGAAGUCAUUGCCUUCAAACCUUAGUGCAGAGAAACUUGUGUUACUUGAAGUGCCUCAUAGUGACAUUGAACAACUUUGGGAUUGUGUGAAGGUAUGGAUAUCUUAUUAUAUAUGUGCAAUCUCUCAAUAACAACAUUAAAUUAUUAUACGUGGUAACGAUUUUUUGUUGGCCUCUUUUUUGACUGAGCAGCAUUAUAGUAAUUUAAACCAGAUAAUCCAUGCUGCCUGCAAUAAGCUAAUUGCUAAAACUCCAAAUCCCACGUUGAUGUCACGUCUGAACAAGCUAGUUUUCUUGAAUCUAAGAGGUAGCAAAAGCCUGAAAAGUCUUCCAUCUGGAAUAUUUAGCUUGGAAUUUCUUACCAAACUUGAUCUUUCGGGCUGCUCAAAAUUGAAAAGGCUUCCAGAGAUCUCAUCAGGUAAUAUAAGCUGGUUUUUUUUAAGGGGGACUGCAAUUGAAGAACUGCCCUCAUCAAUUGAGCGUCUACCUAGGCUCGGGUACUUGGACCUUUCAGAUUGUAAAAGGCUUAAGAGUCUCCCAAGCAGCCUAUGUAAGUCGAAAUCUCUUGGAGUUCUUAUUCUCUGUUGUUGCUCAAAUCUUCAAAGAUUGCCGGAAUAUCUUGGCCAAUUUUCCUCGCCAAUAGUAUUGAAUCUAGCGAAAACCAAUAUUGAGAGAAUACCAAAAAGCAUUACCCAACUUGUCAUGUUGCGAUACGUCCUCUUAAGUUAUAGUGAGAGGCUUCAAUCCUCACCAAAGCCUUCAUUCAUUGAACGAGGUCGCCAGGCACUGCAACCAUUUUUAAGUUUGUUCUCUAAGUUAUGAAUCUUAUAGGCAGUUUUUUUUUUUACCGGACUAAUAAUUUUAAAUUGUAAGGUGAUUCUACUACAGGAAUUGUUCAAGAUACCCUGAGCCAUAUGCUAGAUGUACUUUUGCAAGAAAUAUGGGUAAAUGUGUGUCUUUAACUCUCUCUACUUACAAUUUCUACAAUCGUUUUUUUUUGGGCAUUUAAAAUUAUGUUUUUUCGGUACAGAGAGGUUUUUCCAUGGGCAAAGUUCAUAUAGUACUACCUGGGAAUGAAAUUCCAAAGUGGUUUAAGUUUCAAAGUGUGGGAUCUUUUAUAAACUUGGAGAUGCCACCAGAUUUCUUCAAUAAUAGCAUAAUGCAGGGCAUUGCAUUUAGUGCUAUUUUAGCAUUUUCUAACCGUCAUGUAGAUUGUGGCACAUGGUUUUCAUUUUCUUUUGAGCUCAAAGUGAAAACCACUAAAGAUUGUGGUCCGCAUGACACACAGUUAUUUCAGAGCAGAGUUAAUUAUAUAGAAUCAGAUCACUUACAUUUCGGGUGCUAUCUGUUCUGUGGAAAGGAUUUUAAUGGUUUUUGGAAAUGCAAUUGCAUUCCUGAGGCAGUCCACUUUAAUGUUUUUCCGCCUUUGAAGUGUGAGUGCUGCGGGGUGAAAAAAUGUGGGAUCCAUUUAUUUUGCUUCCCAGAUUCUACGAAUUCAAUAGAAGAUCCAAGCACAUGUUUCAACUAUAACGAAGAAGACUGAGAUUUUCAUGAAUGUAUUUUUAUUUCUUUCUUUUUUCUAAUCACUUUUAAUAAUAGGAGAAAAUUCAAAAUCAGUUCUUGGAGCAAAACAUUCAUGUAAUAACUUUUGAGGGAUCUAGUGAAUGUAACACAAAUUCACACUAGAGUAUUGAACUUUCCCCUGUUAGAUGAUGAGUAUAACGUAUGAGAGGCACAUGAUGUGUAUUGUAAAAUUAAAAUUAUUGGCCUUCUGUCCUACAUUUUGCGCACAUAUAUCUACCAAUGAAAAUAUGCCACUUAUUGUCAUGACCCAGCCUAGAUCGUCAUGACCUAACCUAGACCUAAAAAGAUAUUGUCAGCUUUGAACCUUAACAAGGCAUGCACGGUUUUGUUUCUAGAGUGCCUAUACACCUUAAAACGUGUCUUGCCAAUUUAGGUGUGGAUUACCCCUUAUAGACCUAGCAUCUCUCUUGUGUUUUGUCAAUGUGGGAUUUGCCUAAGUGUUAUAUACACUCCUAUUUAGGGACUCAAUAUCCUUACUGAGGUUUUGUCUCAUCAUUGUUCAAGAGGACACGUGAAGCUGCAUAGAUACCAUCUAUCAUGAUCCAACCCAGAUUGUGAUUUCGGUUUUCUAUCAGUUGAUCCACCAGACAUGAGAAACCCAACUUGGGAAUUUGGGGAUUCAUNNNNNNNNNNNNNNNNNNNNNNNNNNNNNNNNNNNNNNNNNNNNNNNNNNNNNNNNNNNNNNNNNNNNNNNNNNNNNNNNNNNNNNNNNNNNNNNNNNNNUAGAUGAUGAGUAUAACGUAUGAGAGGCACAUGAUGUGUAUUGUAAAAUUAAAAUUAUUGGCCUUCUGUCCUACAUUUUGCGCACAUAUAUCUACCAAUGAAAAUAUGCCACUUAUUGUCAUGACCCAGCCUAGAUCGUCAUGACCUAACCUAGACCUAAAAAGAUAUUGUCAGCUUUGAACCUUAACAAGGCAUGCACGGUUUUGUUUCUAGAGUGCCUAUACACCCUAAAACGCGUCUUGCCAAUUUAGGUGUGGAUUACCUCUUAUAGACCCAGCAUCUCUCUUGUGUUUUGUCAAUGUGGGAUUUGCCUAAGGUGUUAUAUACACUCCCGUUUAGGGACUCAAUAUCCUUACUGAGGUUUGCCUCAACAUUGUUCAAGAGGACACGUGAAGCUGCAUAGAUACCAUCUGUCAUGAUCCAACCCAGAUUGUGAUUUCGGUUUUCUAUCAGGUUGAUCCACCAGGCAUGAGAAACCAAACUGGGAAUUUUGGGGAUUCAUUUUUGAAGCUUGAAGAAAGAUUAAAGGAGAAUACUGAGAAGCUGCAGAGUUAGAGGAAUGCUUUGAAGGAAUUUAUGCCCAGUUUGUCUGGCUUUCAUUCUCUUAACAUCACAUGAAAAGUUACCUUUAAUUUCUCAUACUAAUAUUUAACAAUAAAUAAAAUUCACGCAGCACUCUUAGUUAAAUUUUCGUGUGCUAAACUACAAUUUAAAAAUUUUUUAAGCAUCAAAUUCUAGACUUCCUAACUUCCCCACUUUUAUGCUCUCACAUAAAAUAAUUUUGACCGAAUUCAUAAUAAAAACACGAGAAUUUUACUUCACAUAUCUAACAAAAUUAGUGGUGAUCUGUAAUUUUUUAAGCAAUUUCAACCUCUCACUCAUUUACCACCAUUCAAAAAAAAAAACACAUAUUCCUGUAAUUUAAGAGUUAUCAAUUUAUUGGGAGAUUGUAGACUUAUAGUGGUAUAUAUUAAUUUCAACAAAAAAAAUGACAAUCUUUCUUAUUUCUUAUUUAAUGCAAAUUCCUCCUAUUAAUUUCAAGUUCCAUUUCUUAUUAACAGCUAAACUUUGAGACUAAUUGAUAAUUAGGCAUGAAAUUCCCAAUGAAACAUGCAACCCUAAUUCGAAUUGAACAUCAUCAAUACCCAAUUUAAAAAAUCAAUCAAACAAACAAGUAACAAAAGGCAGCAGCUCAAUUGAACGCACCAACACCGGCACCAGUCUGGCGGGCAAGUUUUGUCCAUUCAGUGUGGAAAGACCCAGGGCGAUCAAUCCUCUCAUAAGUAUGCGCCCCAAACAAGUCUCUCUGAGCCUGAACAAGAUUCCCUGGUAGCCUCGCCCUCCUGUAAGUAUCAAAAUAAGAAAGAGUAGCACACAUCCCAGGAGUGCUAAUCCCAGCAGAAAUAGCCAACCCCACAACUCUCCUCCACGCUGCCUACCUCUGCACCAUCUCCCUCGCAAACUCUGGAUCCAUGACCAAGCUAGCCAAAUUUGGAUUCCUCUAAUAAGCCUUAUUAAUCCUAUCCAAAAAAUAGCUCUAAUAAUACACCCGUCUUUCCAAAUCCUCGCCAAUUCGCCAAAAUUCAAAUUCCAUCCUUUCUCAUUACUCUUACUCCUCAACAGAUUCAUCCCUUGCACAUAACUACAAAUCUUGGAAGCAUACAGAGCUUGCCUCACAUCAUCAAUCAAUCUCUUCUUGUCAACAUGUACUCCCACAUUUUGUACCUCAUCAUUCAAUCCCGCCUCUUUCAAGACCUUGGCGGCUUCCUCUCUUUCCUCUUUCAAACCGCUCAAGUACCUACAAUCCAAUGACCCAGCAAUGGUCAGGGUAGCGACUAAGAGCUCAGCAGCUUGCUGAAUGGUCCAUUUGCCAGUCCCUUUCAUUCCGGUCUUAUCUAAAAUCUUAUCAACAAGCUCACCCUCACCAUAUUCAUCCUUCACCUUGAAAAUAUCAGCAGUGAUCUGAACCAUGAAACUCUCCAACUCGCCCUUAUUCCACUCAUCAAAUAUCUCUGCUAACUCGGCAUUGCUGACUCCACCCACGUGCUUCAAAACAUAGUAAGCUUCGGAAAUCAACUGCAUGUCUCCGUAUUCAAUUCCGUUAUGAACCAUCUUAACGAAAUUACUAGACCCGCCUUCACCAAUGUAAGUAACACAAGGGCCAUCAUCAACUUGGGCGGCAACUUUUUGCAAAACACCUCGAAUAUUAUUAUAGGCCUCGAAGGAGCCACCGGGCAUCAAAGAGGGACCAUGACGCGCCUUCCUCACCCCCGGAGACCCCCAUGCCGAGAUAAGGCAAACCCUUCUAACUGGCUUCAUGGAUACGGCGCUCGGUAUUGAGGUACCACUCGUUGCUCCGAGAGGGCGGUGAUGGUCUGGGUCAACGGGGGAGUCGGCUUUGACUAAGAUGAUGACGGAUCUAGGGCGUUGGAUGGAGAGGACGAAGUCCCUGCGAGUGUAAUGGUCGUUCAAAGGGAGUUGACCCUCGCGGUGGGCCCGAUCUAGGGUUUCGUCGACUUUAGAAGUAGUGCGGUUUUAGACGGAGAUUGGGAAGCCUUUUUCAGCGAUGUUUAGGGCGAGGUUCUGGCCCAUGACGGCUAGGCCAGCAAGACUGAUACGUGAGAGAGCAGAGGCUUGUUGAAAAGUCAAAGAAUGGCUUACAAAUUUCAAAAGACAAAGUUGGUGGGCUUGCCAAUUUCAAAAGACAAGGUUGGUGGCACGAUUUUGUUGAAGUUGCAUGGAGGAAAAAUGUGAUGGUUUUCUAGAAGCCAAUUGAUUUUUUCAAAAUUGUUGAUUUUGUUGCCCACCAAAUUAAUUUUCCAUUCUAAAUUCAAUAUGUCAAUUUGGCAAGUUGUAGCCAAAUUGAAAGUGGUAGGUGAGCUACGGUUCCUAUAAAUAGAAGGGCCAUUGUUCAUUUGUUAGCAUCCCAAAAUUGUUAAGCUUAUAAGUUUCUAAGCUUUUGAGAGAAGUGAUAGAAGUGUGUCUAGGGAAUUUAUCUUUCCUGUAGAGUGUGAGAGUACUCGGUAUAUUUGGGUUUCUAGGAAGUGAGAUUCGUUACUCAAAUAUUUGUACUCUAUUAAUUAUUAAAUAAAUAAUUAUUCUUUCUUACCUCCGUGGAUGUAGGUUUAAUUACUGAACCACGUAAUUCUUGUGUCUUUUAUUUUUCUAUAAUUAUUUGGUGCGCUUGAUUCCGCAUUCCGCACACAAUAAGUGGUAUCAGAGCCGACGGUUCGUACUUGGGGGGAUACGAUACUAUUCACAUAUACGGUACUAUUCACGUAUACAGUACUAUUCACGAAUACAGUGGAGUCGGCCAUUUAUAUUUGGGAGACAGUCUAUUGUAAGUAGUGUGUAUUUUUGCAUGUCUAGGAAAGUUCUGUCAACAGAGGCAAUAAGAGUCUAAGGAUUCUGGUUUUUAAUUGGGAUCGAGUUCCCGUCCAGUCUCCUGGGAACUUUCAUGGUGCAUUUAUUCAUGCGAAAUUAACAUCAUAGUCCACAGAGGCUGUUUUUCAAGUGAAAAUAGUUCGUUAAGAAAAUGGUAGAAGGUGAAACUUCCAAAAUUGGGGAGAAAUCUACCAAGACUAUUUCAAAAGACACUUCAGGUGGGAGGCGAGAUUUGUCAAAUCGCCAUUCAGCACCUGUUAUAAGAGGCCAGAAAAUUGAUGCUGAAAAGUUUGAUGGGAAAAUCAACUUCAGCAUGUGGAGGCGUGAAGUUAUGAAUGCCCUUAUUCAAAUCGAUCUCGAUGUUGUUCUGAAAAAUAAAAGACACUUGUGUGAUGAAGAAAUUUAGGAUCGUAUGAACGAGAAAGCUUGUGGUCAAAUCAGAUCUUGUUUGACCAAGGAGGUGAAAUACUUGGUGAAAGAUAAGGAGUGUGCUGUGACUUUGUGGCGUACAUUGGAGAAGAAGUACCUACUGAAAAGUCCUGAAAAUCGUCUUCAUACAAUGAGCUAAGUAUAUGGCUUUCAAAUGAAGCAUGGGGUGUCAAUGCAUGAUCAUGUCUCAAGAUUUGAAAAGUUACUUGAUGAUUUGAAGAAUCUUGAUGAAGAUAUUAAGGAUGAAGUCAAGGCUAUGAUUCUGUUACACUCACUACCAGAGGAAUAUAGCCAUUUUGUGACUACCUUGAUAUAUGGGAAGAGUGUGAUCAUCUUUAAAUAUGUUUGCACAACAUUGACUAACUUGGAGAUUCAGAAUAAUAAUAAAAAUUCUGAAUGAGCAUAUUUUGAAGCUUUGGUGAGCUGAGAUUGGGUGAUCGAGAAAAAGAAAACCCGUGGUGGAAUGAAUUCUUGAUCUAAAUCGAAAAGCAAAAAUUAACCUCGAGAGAAUGUGCCUUUUGUCAUGAAAAUGGCCUUGGGAGGAAAGAUNNNNNNNNNNNNNNNNNNNNNNNNNNNNNNNNNNNNNNNNNNNNNNNNNNNNNNNNNNNNNNNNNNNNNNNNNNNNNNNNNNNNNNNNNNNNNNNNNNNNACGAAUUACUAGACCCGCCUUCACAAUGUAAGUACACAGGGCAUCAUCACUGGGCGCACUUUUGCAAACACAAUAUUAUUAUAGGCCUCGAAGGAGCCACCGGGCAUCAAAGAGGGACCAUGACGCGCCUUCCUCACCCCCGGAGACCCCCAUGCCGAGAUAAGGCAAACCCUUCUAACUGGCUUCAUGGAUACGGCGCUCGGUAUUGAGGUACCACUCGUUGCUCCGAGAGGGCGGUGAUGGUCUGGUCAACGGGGGAGUCGGCUUUGACUAAGAUGAUGACGGAUCUAGGGCGUUGGAUGGAGAGGACGAAGUCCCUGCGAGUGUAAUGGUCGUUCAAAGGGAGUUGACCCUCGCGGUGGGCCCGAUCUAGGGUUUCGUCGACUUUAGAAGUAGUGCGGUUUUAGACGGAGAUUGGGAAGCCUUUUUCAGCGAUGUUUAGGGCGAGGUUCUGGCCCAUGACGGCUAGGCCAGCAAGACUGAUACGUGAGAGAGCAGAGGCUUGUUGAAAAGUCAAAGAAUGGCUUACAAAUUUCAAAAGACAAAGUUGGUGGGCUUGCCAAUUUCAAAAGACAAGGUUGGUGGCACGAUUUUGUUGAAGUUGCAUGGAGGAAAAAUGUGAUGGUUUUCUAGAAGCCAAUUGAUUUUUUCAAAAUUGUUGAUUUUGUUGCCCACCAAAUUAAUUUUCCAUUCUAAAUUCAAUAUGUCAAUUUGGCAAGUUGUAGCCAAAUUGAAAGUGGUAGGUGAGCUACGGUUCCUAUAAAUAGAAGGGCCAUUGUUCAUUUGUUAGCAUCCCAAAAUUGUUAAGCUUAUAAGUUUCUAAGCUUUUGAGAGAAGUGAUAGAAGUGUGUCUAGGGAAUUUAUCUUUCCUGUAGAGUGUGAGAGUACUCGGUAUAUUUGGGUUUCUAGGAAGUGAGAUUCGUUACUCAAAUAUUUGUACUCUAUUAAUUAUUAAAUAAAUAAUUAUUCUUUCUUACCUCCGUGGAUGUAGGUUUAAUUACUGAACCACGUAAUUCUUGUGUCUUUUAUUUUUCUAUAAUUAUUUGGUGCGCUUGAUUCCGCAUUCCGCACACAAUAAGUGGUAUCAGAGCCGACGGUUCGUACUUGGGGGGAUACGAUACUAUUCACAUAUACGGUACUAUUCACGUAUACAGUACUAUUCACGAAUACAGUGGAGUCGGCCAUUUAUAUUUGGGAGACAGUCUAUUGUAAGUAGUGUGUAUUUUUGCAUGUCUAGGAAAGUUCUGUCAACAGAGGCAAUAAGAGUCUAAGGAUUCUGGUUUUUAAUUGGGAUCGAGUUCCCGUCCAGUCUCCUGGGAACUUUCAUGGUGCAUUUAUUCAUGCGAAAUUAACAUCAUAGUCCACAGAGGCUGUUUUUCAAGUGAAAAUAGUUCGUUAAGAAAAUGGUAGAAGGUGAAACUUCCAAAAUUGGGGAGAAAUCUACCAAGACUAUUUCAAAAGACACUUCAGGUGGGAGGCGAGAUUUGUCAAAUCGCCAUUCAGCACCUGUUAUAAGAGGCCAGAAAAUUGAUGCUGAAAAGUUUGAUGGGAAAAUCAACUUCAGCAUGUGGAGGCGUGAAGUUAUGAAUGCCCUUAUUCAAAUCGAUCUCGAUGUUGUUCUGAAAAAUAAAAGACACUUGUGUGAUGAAGAAAUUUAGGAUCGUAUGAACGAGAAAGCUUGUGGUCAAAUCAGAUCUUGUUUGACCAAGGAGGUGAAAUACUUGGUGAAAGAUAAGGAGUGUGCUGUGACUUUGUGGCGUACAUUGGAGAAGAAGUACCUACUGAAAAGUCCUGAAAAUCGUCUUCAUACAAUGAGCUAAGUAUAUGGCUUUCAAAUGAAGCAUGGGGUGUCAAUGCAUGAUCAUGUCUCAAGAUUUGAAAAGUUACUUGAUGAUUUGAAGAAUCUUGAUGAAGAUAUUAAGGAUGAAGUCAAGGCUAUGAUUCUGUUACACUCACUACCAGAGGAAUAUAGCCAUUUUGUGACUACCUUGAUAUAUGGGAAGAGUGUGAUCAUCUUUAAAUAUGUUUGCACAACAUUGACUAACUUGGAGAUUCAGAAUAAUAAUAAAAAUUCUGAAUGAGCAUAGUUUGAAGCUUUGGUGAGCUGAGAUUGGGUGAUCGAGAAAAAGAAAACGCGUGGUGGAAUGAAUUCUUGAUCUAAAUCGAGAAGCAGAAAUAUAGCUCGAGAUGAGUGUGCCUUUUGUCAUGAAAAAUGCCAUUGGAGGAAAGAUUGUCCAAAGGCUCAAAAGAGAGAUGGGAAGAAACCAGCAGCAGCAAACAUGGCACGGAAAGAUGAAGACUCUGAUUAUUCACUAAGUAUUACUCCUACAGCAUACGUGACUAGUUCGAGUGAGUGGAUACUUGAUACUGGAGCAACCUAUCAUUUGUGUCCUAUUAAGGAAUGGUUUAUGGAUUUUCAUAAUCUGAAAUCCGGUGCAGUUGUGAUGAGGAAUGAUCAACCUUGUCGCACAAUGGGAAUAAGAACAAUUCGGCUCAAAAUGUUUGAUGGAAUGGUCAGAGAACUCAAAGAGGUUAGAUUUGUUCCAGCUUAAAGAAAAAUCUAAUUUCUGUGGGUGCUUUGGAAGCUAAAAUCUAUAAGGUUACUAUUGAAGAUGGUAUAAUGAAGUUUACACAUAGGGCUAUGGUGAUUUUGCAAGGGGUUCGGCGUCACAAUCUGUACUAUUUAAAGGGAGGUAUAACUGAUGAAGCAAAUAUUGUUGAGGCGUACAGUGACACCACCAAGCUAUGGCAUGUACAACUGGGACAUGUUGGCGAGAAGUCUUUGCAAACUCUGAUGAGGCAUGGACUCUUAAAAGGUACCAAAACCUGUAAAUUAAAUUUCUGUGAGCAUUGUGUAGUAGGCAAGAAAACAAGGGUCAAGUUUGGUACAACUAAUCACGAUAUUCGUGAGAUCCUUGAAUAUGUUCAUAGUGAUGUAUGGGGACCAACCAAGACUGCAUCAAUUAGUGGAAGCCAUUAUUUUGUUACAUUUGUUGAUGAUUUCUCUAGACGUGUGUGGGUGUACACCAUGCGAGCAAAGGAUGAGGUUCUAGAGAUUUUCGUGAAAUGGAAGAAAUUGGUGGAGACUCAAACUGGAAGAAAGAUCAAAGUAUUACGAUUUGAUAAUGGGGGUGAAUAUACUUCUAAUCCAUUCUUGCAAGUAUACCAGAACGAGGGUAUUAAAAGAUAUUUCACGGUGAGACAUACUCCGCAACAGAACGGUGUGGUUGAGCGUAUGAAUCGUACUUUACUGGAGAAGGUACGGUGUAUGUUAUCUAAUGCUGGUUUAGAUAAAAAGUUUUGAGCUGAAGCUGUGAGCUACGCAAGUCACUUGAUAAACUGGUUGCCUUUUGCUGCAAUUGGAAGUAAAACUCCUAUGGAAAUGUGGUCUGGAAAACAUGCACAAGACUAUGAUUCCCACUCCUAUGGAAAUGUGGUUUGGAAAACAUGCACAAGACUAUGAUUCCCUUCGUAUAUUCGGGUGUCCAGCUUAUUAUCAUGUCAAAGAUGGUAAACUGGAUCCUCGUGCUAGAAAAGCUAUCUUUGUGGGAUUCUGUGUAGCAGAGAUGUCACAUUUGAUGAAGCUUCAAUGAUGAAAGCUUCAAGUUUUCAGCAGGUGGAAAACAAGACCAAAAAGGUAUUGCAUCGGGUGGAGUUUGAUGCAACUCCAUAUGUACCGGUUAGUUCUACAUCAAAGAAUGGUUCAACUAUGGAGGUGACAUCUAGAGUUGAAGAAGAUGUUGUUUCUUCUGAUGUCCCACAAAAUAAAGAAACAAUUGAUGAUGUAGAUAAUGAUGAUUUUAUAGCAACAAGGAGGCCAAGAAGAGAGAUAAAGAAACCCGGAUGGCUUACUAAAGAUAUGGUGGUAGCCUAUGCACUUCCAGUUAUUGAUGAUGACAUCCCCAACACUUUCGGUGAAGCAUUAUGCAGCAGUGAAAGUGAUUAGUGGAAGUUAGCCAUGGAGGAAGAGAUGAAAUCUCUCCAUCAAAACCAGACUUGGGAACUUGUAAAGUUACCAAAAGGGAAAAGGGCUAUUGGCAAUAAAUGGGUCUACACAAAAAAGUAAGGAUCUCCGAAUCAAUCAACUCCUCGAUAUAAGGCAAGGCUCGUGGCAAAAGGUUUUGCUCAAAAGGAAGGUAUUGACUAUAAUGAAAUUUUCUCUCCAGUUGUAAAACAUACUUCCAUUUAUAUAAUACUUGCCUUAGUUGCAGAAUAUGAGUUAGAGUUGGCUCAGUUGGAUGUUAAGACGGUGUUCUUACAUGGAGAUUUGGAGGAGGAAAUCUAUAUGAUUCAGCCUUGUGGUUUCAGAGUUGCUGAAAAGGAGAAUCAUGUGUGUAGGUUGAUUAAAUCUUUGUACGGAUUGAAGCAAUCGCCAAGGCAGUGGUACAAAAGAUUUGAUCAAUUUAUACAAGGGCAGAAAUUCACCAGAAGUGAACACGAUAAUUGUGUUUACUUUAGAAGACUACCAGAUGGAGCUUUCAUCUAUUUGUUACUCUAUGUCGACGAUAUGCUUAUAGCUUCGAAGAAUAGAGAUGAGAUCGAAAGAUUAAAGAAGCAGCUGACUUCUGAGUUCGAGAUGAAAGACUUGGGUGAUGCACAAAGAAUACUUGGGAUGGAGAUUCAUAAAGACAAGAAGAAUGAGAGCGUAUGGUUGACUCAAAAGUCUUAUUUGAAGAAAGUGCUAGAAAGAUUCGAUAUGGAUGACAAAACUAAACCGGUAUGUACACCUCUAGCUCCUCAUUUCAAAUUAAGAUCUUCUUCAUGUCCUAAAUCUCAAGAAGAGGGCGAUUACAUGGCUCGUGUUCUAUAUGCUAGUGUUGUGGGUAGUCUUAUGUAUGCUAUGGUAUGCACAAGGCCCGAUAUAUCUCAAGCAGUGAGCAUGGUUAGUAGAUACAUGCACAAUCCGGGUAAAAAUCAAUGGCUUGCGGUAAAGUGGAUUCUCCGAUAUCUGUAUGGGACAGUUGGUGCUGGGUUAUUGUUCAAGAAGGAUUGUGGUCAACAAUGUGUUGGGUAUUGUGAUUCUGAUUUCGCUGGAGACCUUGACAAGCGAAGAUCAACAACGGGCUACGUAUUCACAUUGGGUGGAGAUCCGGUUAGCUCGAUUCUACAAUCGACAAUUGCUUUGUCCACUACGAAAGCAGAGUAUAUGGCAGCAACUGAAGCUGUAAAAGAAGCAGUUGAAAGGCUUGUUAGGUGAUUUGGGAGUAAUCCAGGAGAACAUUGCGGUCUGUCUUUUGUGAUAAUCAAAUUGCAAAGAAUCAAACAUAUCACGCUCGGACGAAGCACAUAGAUGUGAAAUAUCAUUAUGUGAGGGAGAUUAUCGAAGGUGGUGGUGAUGUGUUGUUGAAGAAGAUCGAUACAAAAGAUAAUCCAUCAGAUAUAUUGACGAAGGUAGUUUCUAGAGUUAAGUUUCAACAUUGCUUGAAACUAAUUCAAACCCUUCGAUUGUGUUAAGUUAUGUCCUUCGGGAAUUAUAAACUACGGUUGGCUUGAUCCCAAAUUUUAGGUACGUAGGCAGUCAUAACGAUGCAGCCGCCUUGGAUCUUUUUUAGGAUCAUUUGGGGAUGAAGUAUUAUGGUCCGUUAAUGUCGGCUCAGAUUUGGAAACUUUUCACCGAGGUGGAGAAUUGUUGAAAAGUCAAAAAAUGGCUUGCAAAUUUCAAAAGACAAAGUUGGUGGGCUUGCCAAUUUCAAAAGGCAAGGUUGGUGGCACGAUUUUGUUGAAGUUGCAUGGAGGAAAAAUGUGAUGGUUUUCUAGAAGCCAAUUGAUGUUUUCAAAAUUGUUGAUUUUGUUGCCCACCAAAUUGAUUUUCCAUUCUAAAUUCAAUCUGUCAGUUCUGCAAGUUGUAGCAAAAUUGAAAGUGGUAGGUGAGCUACGGUUCCUAUAAAUAGAAGGACCAUUGUUCAUUUGUUAGCAUCCCAAAAUUGUUAAGCUUAUAAGUUUCUAAGUUUUUUAGAGAAGUAAGAGAAGUGUGUCUGGGGAAUUUAUCUUUCCUGCAGAGUGUGAGAGUACUGGGUAUAUUUGGGUUUCUGGGAAGUGAGAUUCGUUACUCAAAUAUUUGUACUCUAUUAAUUGUUAAAUAAACAAUUAUUCUUUCUUGCCUCCGUGGAUGUAGGUUUAAUUACCGAACCACGUAAUUCUUGUGUCCUUUAUUUUUUUAUAAUUAUUUGGUGCGCUUGAUUCCGCAUUCCGUACACAACAAGGCUUCCAUUGAAAUCGUCGAGGAAGCGAAAGGCCACUGACUUAACGACAAAAGCAAACGAAUAAGAGCGUGCAAUGAUUCCGAGGGACAAUACAAAUUGAGCUAACUGCCCAUACGACGGCGUACGCAGCUUUUUUUUUACUUUUUUAUUAUUUUUAUUUUCAUUGACUGCUAAACGCAGCCCCCUAUUAAUUUGAAGUUACUGCUGCUAAUUUUAUGUAUUAGCUAGGCGUGAGUCGGAACUUAUAAAUGAAGUUGUUAAUCACAUUUUGAAGAGAUUGGAUGAAGUGUUUCGGCCGCGUGAUAACAAAAACCAACUGGUUGGAGUGGAAUCAACAGUUGAGGAAAUUGAAUCUUUAUUAGGUGUUGAGUCGAAAGGUGUUUACGCUUUAGGGAUUUGGGGUAUUGGUGGUAUAGGCAAAACAACAAUCGCUAGAGCUAUUUUCGACAAAAUCUCGGGUGAUUUUGAUGGUUCUUGCUUCCUCGAAAAUGUUAGAGAAGAGUCACAAAUACCAGGAGGAUUAGCUUGCUUACGACAAAAACUUCUUUCAAAUUUAUUGAAGGAUAAAAAUGUAAUGCCUUAUAUUGACCUCAAUUUUAGAAGGCUCGGUCACAUGAAGGUUUUGAUUGUUUUUGAUGAUGUGACUUGCUUCAGCCAAUUGGAAUCUUUAAUGGGAAGCCUUGAUUGGUUGACGCCAGUGAGUCGAAUCAUAUUAACCACUAGAAAUAAACAAGUGCUUAGAAAUUGGGGGGUGAGUAAAAUAUAUGAGAUGGAGGCAUUAGAAUAUCAUCAUGCUCUUGAGCUUUUUAGUUGAGAUGCCUUCAAACGAAACCAUCCUGAUGUUGGUUACGAGAAACUUUCAAGCAACGUAAUGAAAUAUGCUCAAGGAGUUCCUUUGGCUCUUAAAGUUUUAGGUUGCUUUCUAUAUAAAAGGGAAAAAGAAGUCUGGGAAAGUGCAAUAAGUAAAUUGCAAAGAAUCCUCGAUCCAAGUAUCCUAGAGGUAUUAAAAAUAAGUUACGAUAGUUUGGAGCAUAAGGAGAAAAAUAUUUUCCUUGAUGUUGCUUGUUUCUUUCAAGGUGAGCAUGUAGAUCCAGUAAUGAAAUUCUUUAAUGCAAGUGGCUUCUACCCAGAAAUAGGAAUAAGUGUUCUUGUUGAUAAACCUCUCAUUGCUAUUUGUUCAUUCAAGAAGAUAAGAAUGCGUGAUUUACUACAAGAGUUGGGUGGGGAAAUUGUUCGAAAAGAAUCAAUUAAUCCUGGAAAUCGUAAGCAGUUUGUGGUGGAUUAUAAUUUUGAAUUAUUCUAGCAUUUAAAAUUUGAUAUGAAUAUAUUAAUAUAUGCUCAAACUGAUGAGUCUUAGAAUUAAUUGAAGUGCCAAUGAUUAGAAAAAACAAUAGUGGUUAGAUGGUGUAGCAAUAAAUUAUAAAUGCGAUGACAACUUGCAUAAUCGUUUGCAAGCAUAAUUGAUAUGUCAAUUUGUAUCGUAAACAUACAUAAUUUUUAUGUUAAAUAUUACGUUAAUUGUUUUGUUUCUUUGUGCAUUUGCAAUUAAGUGUUUAACUACCUAGCAAUAACUAUAAACAUGAAUUAUUGAAAUUUGAUAUGUGUAAUGACAGAGAGCCCCACUCCAAUCCCACAUAAAUUACAUACAAGAGUAAAUAAAAAUUGAAUUAAUAACUAAGCUACCUUUAAUUGUGAAUUUGUGACAAAAUUGCCCUAAAAAUUUGUCUUGGUGGGGUUGAAGUGCGACUCAUUAGUGGAAUAUACAUAUCUUUCAUUUGAUUUUAACUUUAUUAUUUUAUUUAUUUUUAGGGGACAAAAAAUUGAGGACAUCUGUUUGGAUAUGUCAAAAGUAAUAGAGAUCUGUUUAAAUACCAGUACUUUCACAAAGAUGCCUAAAUUGAGAUUUUUAAAGUUCUAUAGUUCAUCAUUCAAUGGAGAGAACAAAUGUAAGAUAUCUUAUUUGCAAGAUCCCGGAUUUGCUGGAGUGAAAUUGAACAACUUUGGGAUAGUGUGAAGGUAUGCAUAGCUUAUUAUAUAUGUGCAAUGUGAAGGUAUGCAUAUCUUAUUAUAUAUGUGCAAUCUUUCAAUAACAACAUUAAAUUAUUAUACGUGGUAACGAUUUUGUCUUGGCCUCUUUUCUGACACAGUUAUUUCAUAGCAGAGUUAAUUAUGUAGAAUCAUAUCACUUACAUUUGGGGUACUAUCUGUUCUGUGAAGAGGAUUUUAAUGGUUUUUGGAAAUGCAAUUGCAUUCCUGAGGCAGUCCACUUUAAUGUUUUUCCACCUUUGGAGUGCCAGUGCUGCGGGGUGAAAAAAUGUGGGAUCCAUUUACUUCACACCCAGAUUCUACGAAUUCAUGAAUAGAAGAUCCAAGCACGUGUUUCGUGAAUGUAUUUUCACUAUUUUCCUUUUUCUAAUGACAAUUAAUAAUAGGAGAAAAUGCCAAAAUCAGUUCUUAGAACAAAACAUCCAUGUAAUAACUUUCGAGGAUCUGGUGCAGGUAACACAAAUUCACACUAAAGAACUUUACCUUUGUUGAUGCCAAAAUUUGGAUAAGUUGGUCAGAUCUCAGAUCCCUGCAUCAUCAUUAAAUUUGUUUGGUGGGAAGCUGAUGAUUAGUUAGCACCAUGAGCAGAUUUUCUAUGGGCAGAUGUUUUGUGAGCAGACAACCCAUGAGCAGAUAAUCCAUGAGCAGACGAUCCAUGAGCAGAGAACCCAUGAGCAAACAAUCCAUGAGCAGACAACCCAUGAGCAGACAAUCCAUGAGCAGAGAACCCAUGAACAGACAAUCCAUGAGCAGAUAACCCAUGAGCAGACAAUCCAUGAGUAGACAACCCAUGAGCAGACGAUCUAUGAGCAGAUAACCUGUGAGCUUGUGAACACAACCAAUAGUCAGGAGGUGCCGGAAGUUUUUCCGGCGAGAACCCUCCGACGCUCAAGUCAGCGAUUCGGGUCUUACUUGGAAAAACCCAUACCACAAUUCAUGUGGCUUAAUUAUGAUUGCUUUAAACAAAAAGCUUUUAAGUAAAUUUAAAGGAAAAGAAUUUAAAAUAAUCAAUCUUAAAGAAAUCACAGGCGAAAGAGAAAUUUCUCAGUGGUAGAGAGAGAAAAAGGUCCAAUGGGUUCAGUUGCUUAGAGAAAGAGAGAGAGAGAGAGAGAGCUAGAAGAAUCCCCCCCUUUCCUUCCCCUUCCUAGGGUUUUUAUAGGAAACUAUAGCGGUUUUUAUCCACUCUCCUAGAAUUAUCAAGAAAACUACUAAAUUUCAGCCCACUAAUAAUAUGGUCCCUAAUAUUUCGGAGAAACUGUUUUGACUGAAUCUUGCUUCCUGGUAACUUCCUGGUCGAGGUGACCAAUAACAUCCUGGUCGAGGAAAUGUGCUCGAAGUCACCACAUAUUAUUCUGGUCGAGGUGACCAAUAAUAUCCUGGUCGAGACGAUAUGCUCGAGGUGACCAAUAACCUCUUGGUCGAGGUGAUGUGCUCGAGGUCACCACAUAUUACUCUAGUCGAGGUGACCAAUAACAUCCUGGUCGAGGAAAUGUGCUCGAGGUCACCACAUAUUAUUCUGGUCGAGGUGACCAAUAACAUCCUGGUCGAGAUGAUCUGCUCGAGGUGACCAAUAACAUCUUGGUCGAGGAAAUGUGCUCGAGGUCACCACAUAUUAUUCUGGUCGAGGUGACCAAUAGCAUCCUGGUCUAGAUGAUCUGCUCGAGGUGACCGAUAACCUCCUGGUCGAGGUGAUGUGCUCGAGGUCACCACAUAUUACUCUAGUCUAGGUGACCAACAACAUCCUAAUCGAGGUGAUGUGCUCGAGGUCACCAAACAACAUCCUGGUCGAGGUGAUCUGCUCAACCAUUUGCUCGCUUUUACUUUGGAGGAGAGCACGAUAAUGUAUAAGCAAACACCUUUAUCUUGGUCACCCUAUUUCAUUCCCUAAACAACCUUAUUAAGCGAAGAGUAUAAUGUAUGAAAAGCACAUGAUGUAUGUUGUAAAAUUAAAAUUAUCGGCUUUCUUUUUCUUACUUUGUGCACAAAACAAUUCUUAUUCAAAACAAUCCACGUAGUAAAACUCACAAGCUAGGCGAUGUCGGAUAUUAUAGGAUGCACAACAAUUCUUAUUGGCGGAGCUAUGUUGUGGGCCCAUCUCUCUAUCAAUGAAAACUUGCCACUCACCCCAUUGCGCACCAUAUCAACUCUCAUCUAUAUAAUGCAAUCACAUUUGAAAAUUUUCUACUUUCUUAAAUCUAAAUUGUUGUAUAUGGGAAAGUUUCAUCAUGUGGAAACAAAAGCCAUAAAGAGGGAACAGUUAAAACACCAUCAAAUCUUAUACAUUUUAAAAAAUAUAUUUGAAUACUGAUUAAAAAAAAAAAGGAUAGGUGUCGUUUUCACUCUACUUGUUUGUGUUGUGAAUCCAUUCGCUUAAACAAUUAUGCACUUUUUCAAGUAUAUGUACCAAUUCCAUAUUUGGAAUGGUGGAUUUGAUUCCACAGUUGACGUGGUAUCGUCUAUGGCUGGAAUUUAUAUUUAUAAAACUAACUUGUAAGGAAAGGAUUGAAGAUGCCAGUGAACUUAUAUUUCGAUUUAGAUUAUUGUAUCUUUUCCAUGUAUAAAAUUGGAUCCUAUCAUUCACAUAUCGUUAACAUGAGCAAUUUAGAUUACUAAAUAAUUGUUCUUUAUUAUUGUGCUGAAUUUGACUUUUUAUUGAAUAAUUUGAUAUAUGCCUUGAAUCAAUUUGGAGCUUCUACAACUUGUCAGGGAUCAAUUUCUCCUACAUUCUUUUCGGCGCCAAAAGAUAUUCAAGUGGUUGAAUAAGAUUUGAUAUAUACAAUAUAAAUACAAGAGCUGUUUGUCUUUUUACAAUAGGAAUAAUAUAUAAUGCUCAUCAAAACUUGCUGAUGAGAAAGUAAAUUCCUUAGAAAUUAAAUGUUUCAGCCAACCAAGGAAGCAGCUUUUCGUGGACCAACUCGGGUCUGUCGUCAUGGGGACAAUGUCCUACUCCUUCCAACACAAUUAACUUCACAUAUGAAAGUUGAGAAGGCAGAGAUUAGAAGUAUCUACCAACAGGUCCAUCGAGGGGGGUGAAUGGAUCCUCAUCACCCUAUAAAACUAGUACAGGUAUAGAGAUUGAUGGCAUCAAUUGCACGGGGUUCGGCCCUGGUGGGCCUGUCACAAUCGAAACAAAUGCAUCAAGUGCCCCUUCAUCAUUGGCGGGUUCUCGAAUGAUCAGCAAUUUUUAGGUCAAUUUAUGAAUUCUGAGUAGCCAUUUUUGUAAGAGGUUAAAAUGGCACGUAAGUGGAGAAUAUUAAUACCUCUACCAGUGUUUCAUCCACAGAUUUCUUAUUUGCAUAGAUGGACAGUAAAAUGUUCCUCAGUGUUUCCCUACAGCACCAAUAUAUACACAUCAUAGAAUUUUUUUAAUUUUUGACUCUAGUGUUUUAGGAUAACGAAAAAUGGACUGAAUAGAGAGAAGAGAAAAUACCUUCGUUUCACAUCUUCAAAGAUUGCAUCUGCAAUUGGCCUUUGCUUCAACAAGAAAUCAAUGAACCAAAGCAAUGGCAACCGUGGCUUGAUUCUCCAAUCAUCAACAAUUGCCUUGUUGUUCAUGCUGCCACCAGCACAAUUCAACAAAACAAGCCCUCGAACAAGUGUUUGACUGGAUUUUUAUGGUAGAAAAUAUAGCAGGUUUUCGCAAACCAUAUUAACCGAAAAGGCUAAUCAGGUGCAAGUGUUUCUUUGCAAGCAUGAUGACGAAUAUUUGAUGCCCAAGAGGACUAUUGGCUUCUGAGCAGCUUCAUCCAAGAAAUCCAAUAUUAGCUGUAUCGGUGAGUCUCACUCAAGUUAGCAAGGAAAAUAACUAAAGGUCAAGCAAUUGAUGAUAUAAGUACAGGAGUUGUGAAAUAACUUAUAUGAAAUAAUUGCUUUUCCUUAACAUUUGUGGAUGCCUACAAUUAUAUGUUCACAGAAGUAAAUAGAAUAAAAAAAAUAGUACAUUAUCAACAAGAAAAGUUCACUACAAGAUGAAAAUUAUUUUUUGUCAUUUGUGCCUUGUGUACUAAAUUUUGUGUUAUUUUAUUACAUAUAAUAUUAUUCUACGGAAUGCGGGAAGAAAAAAUGUGGGGUCGAUUUAUUGUAAGCCCCAAAUUCAACCGAAGAUCCAAACGCAAGUUUCAAACUAAACCAACCCAAAGUUUGGGCAACAGUCCAACGCAACCCAACUAAAAUCAUUUUAAUUUGAUUUUAGUUUGGGUUGACUUAGGCUUUGAUAAAUUCACAUGUUGUAUACCAUAAUUAAAAUAAAGUAUUAUUUGUCAUACAUUUUAUACAUUUUAUACAUUAAACACAUAAACGUCCUCUCUGGAAUCUUUGUGGGCAACGUAUACGUGGUAUCUGUUGGAGAAUUAAUAAAUAAAACACACAAAAAACACACUAUUUUAUUUCUUCAACAAUACUCCUCACCAAUUACAACUCUUAUUUUUCACUCUCUACACCUUAGAGAUUUUGCUACUUCACUUCAUGUUUAAACCAAAGGGGAGAGGGGAUAUUUAUACAUAAAACAAACUAAUCACAACCAUUUAUUUAUUCAACUAAUAAACAAAUCAUCACCAUCCAUUAAAACAUACCACUCACUUACUUCACCAAUCAUACCUAACACACCUAACACAAAUAAUUCAAACCUCACCAACCAUAUCUACUCAUGGAACCUUCCAUGAGUUGGGCUUGAUUUAUUCAUCUUGGAUCAAGUUUAUGAUCCAACACCUCCCCUUAAACUUGAUCCUGUGACACCAAGCAAACUUCUGAAUCUUACAAAGUCUUCUUGCUUGAGUGGCUUAGUGAAGAUAUCAGCUGCUUGAUCUUGUGAUUUUACAUACUUGAUUUGCACUUCUUUUCUUGCAAUAUACUCUCUUAUGAAAUGAUAGCGAGUGUCUAUGUGUUUACUUCGAUCAUGAAAGACUGGAUUCUUGGAUAGGGCAAUUGCUGAUUUGUUAUCAACACAAAUCUCGAUUGGCUCUUCUUGUGCCAAACUCAACUUCUUCAGCAAAUUUUUGAGCCAAAUUACAUGACAAACACUUGAUGUGGCAACUACAUAUUCAGCUUCACAGGUGGAUAGCGUGACAAUUGGUUGCUUCUUUGACAUCCAUGUGAAAGCAGUAUCUCCCAUAAAGAACACAAAUCCUGUGGUGCUCUUUCGAUCAUCUACAUCUCCACCUCAAUCGCUAUCGCUAUAUCCAACAAGCUUGUAGUCAUUAGAAAAUGAGUAUAGCAAGCCGAAAUUAGUUGUACCUUUGAUGUAGCGAAGGAUUCUUUUUGCAGCUUUAAAAUGGGUGGUCUUUGGAUUCUCCAUGUAUCAGCUCACAAGUCCAACAACAUAAAGGAUAUCUGGUCUUGUGCAUGUCAAAUAACGUAGGCUUCCAACCAAAAUUUUAAAGAAUGUUGGAUCUAUAUCUUCGCCUUCAUCGUGUUUAGAUAACUUGACUCCGCAUUCCACUGGCGUGCUUAUAGGCUUACAAUCAUUCAUCUUGAACUUCUUGAGAAUCUCAUUUGCAUAGCUUUCUUGGGAGAUAACUAUGCCUUCUUCAUUUUGCUUGACUUCAAUGCCGAGGUAACAUGCCAUCAGUCCGAUGUCAGUCAUCUCGAACUCUUUGAUCAUCACUCUCUUGAACUCUUCAAACAAGCUUGGAUUACUUCCAGUGAAGAUGAUAUCAUCCACAUACAGGCACACAAUCAAAAUAUCUCCAUCUUUUUCUUUGACGUAGAGAGCAUGUUCAUAUUGGCAUUUGGUGAAGCCUUUCUCUUGAAAAUACUUGUCAAUUCUGUUAUUCCAUGCCCUUGGUGCUUGCUUUAACCCGUAAAGAGCUUUCUUCAAUCUCAAAACUUUUUCUUCGUGUCCUUUCACCACAUAGCCUAAUUGUUGUUCAAUGUAAACUUCUUCUUCAAGGAAUCCAUUCAAGAAAGCAGACUUCACAUCCAUUUGAAAAAUCUUCCAUUUGUUUUGAGCAGCCAAAGAAAUAAUAAGUCUAAUGGUUUCAAGUCGAGCUACAUGAGCAAAUACCUCAUCAUAGUCUAUGCCAGCCUUUUGACUAUAGCCUUUUGCAACUAGUCUCGCCUUGUGCCUUUCAAUUUCUCCCUUCGCAUUUCUUUUUGUUUUAUACACCCAUUUGACACCGAUCGCCUUGUGACCUUUUGGAAGAGUAGUAAGCUCCCAAGUAUCAUUCUUCACAAUGGCUUUGAUUUCUUCAUCCAUUGCAAUUCUCCACUUCUCAUCUAGUGCAGCUUCUUAAAAGUUGACUAGCUCACAAUCAGCAAAGAGACAAAAGAGAGUGAGAUUAUCAUGUCUCUCAAUUACCUCAUAGAGAUCUUGAAGACUCCUUGUAUGUUCUUCGAUUCUUUCAUUUAAGAAAGACGGCGGUGAAUCUCUGCAUGUGGUUGGUGCUAGUGAGAUAGGUGGAGUGGCAGGCUCUUGUUGUUCGUCUACUUGUUUUAUCUGUGUAUGAUCAUCUUCUUCAAUGGGAAAGAAGUUGAAGUCAUCCACACUAGAGCCAAAAUCUCAUUCUCCUUCUUCAUAAAAAAUUACAUUUCGACUGAUCACGAUCUUCCCGUUGUUUGGAUUGUAAAGUUUGUAUCCUUUGGAGUUGUUGUCGUAGCCGAUGAAGAUGAACUUCUCACUUUUGUCAUCCAGCUUGGCUCUACUUUCGUUUGGUACAUAUACAUGAGCAAUGCUUCCGAAAACUCUUAGAUGGGUGAUGCCGGGUUUUCUUCCACUCCAAGCUUCUUGUGGCGUCUUGCCCUACACGCUUCUUGUUGGAGAUCGAUUGGAUAAGUAGACUGAAAUUCUUUAAGUAGCCUCUUACUCUUAAGCAUGCUUCUUGCCAUGUCGAGGAUGGUUCUGUUAUUCCUUUCUGCAACACCAUUUUGUUGGGGGGAUCUUGGAACUGUCAAAGGGCGUCGAAUUCCAUUUGCUUCACAAAACUCUAAAAAUUCUUUGGAAGUGAACUCUCCACCUCGAUCAGAUCUCAUGGCUUUAAUCUGGUAUCCACUUUCUUUUUCAACUGCAGCUUUAAACUUCUUGAAAGCUUCGAAGACUUCUGAUUUUUGCUUCAAAAAAUACACCCAAGUUUUUCUUGAAAAAUCAUCUAUGAAGAGAAGGAAGUAGUUACUUUUACCAAGGGAGUUUAGCUUGAAUGGACCGCACACAUCAGUAUGAAUGAGCUCGAGUGGCUUCUGAGCUCUUGAGUUUGACUCAUUUAGAAAGCUCUUUCUAAACUGCUUGCCAAGGAAAUAUCCUUCACAAAGUUGAUCAGGGUGAUUGAUGUAUGGUAAGCCUUUCAUCAUGUUCUUCUUAGAUAGCAGCUCCAGUCCUCCAAAGUUGAGAUGCCCAUAUCGAAGAUGCCAAGUCCAUGAUUGAUCUUUGUGACAGGCUUUGAGACAUUUUGCAACAUCAUUUUGAAUAUUUAAAGGAAACAUUCUAUUCUUUGACAUUCUCACCUUUGUAAUUAGAUUUCCUUUGUCAUCUCUUAGGAAAAGACUAUAAUCUUUUAAGUGAAUAUCAUAGCCUUUUUCUAAAAGUUGACCUAAACUAAGAAUGUUGCUUUUCAUAUUGGGCACAUUGUAAACAUUUGAAAUUAUUUGGUGGCUACCAUCUUUUGUACGAAAAAGAAUGUUACCUCUACCCUUCACUGGUACUUUUGAAUCAUCUCUAAAAGCGACACUGACAUUCACAGAUUCACUUAGUUGCACGAACAUGCUUUUAUUUCCACUCAUAUGAUUGCUAGCACCUGUGUCAAGAUACCAUGUAUUUUCUUGACCUCCACUUGUGUCAUUGCGUGCUAGUAAAAGUGUGCCAUCUUCACUAUUUUUUUCUUCAGCAUAGUUCACUCUCUCUUCAAUUCUGGUGCUUGGAGCUCUGCAUUCUGAAGUAUAAUGCCCAAACUUUUGACAAUUAUAGCACUGUACUUGGGAUUUGUCAUACCUCGAUCUUGGAUUGCCUCUGCCUCGUCCUCUGGUUGAGCUUUCUCCUUUGGCAUAAUUGGAGUUGUUGUUGUUGAAAUUCCAACCUCGUCCAUGACCACGACCUCUACCUCGGACAUAGUGCCUUCUCUCGUUGUCGGAGCUUUCUUCUCUUUUCUUUGGAUUGACUUCCAUCUUGAGAAGUUUUUCUUCGAUUCCUUGCUUCUUUUUUUGUUUUUCUUCAUAGGCUUGCAACCUUCCUUGAAGUUGCUCGAUCGUCAUAUCCUCCAGAUCUCUUGUUUCUUCAAUUGUCACAAUAAUAUGGUCAAACUUCGAGUCUACUGAUCGAAGUAUCUUUUCAAUGAUCCUUACCUCUUUUAACUCCUCGCCAUUUCUUUUUAAUUCAUUAGAAACGGUCACAACCCGAGUAAAGUAGUCAGAAAUUGACUCCGACGCCUUCAUGUGUAAGGACUUAAAUUCUCCUCGUAAUGUUUGGAGACGAACCUUCUUAACUUGCUCCGCUCCUUUGUAAGAGGUCUCUAGUUUCUCCCAUGCUUCUUUUGAGGAGGUUGUACCAGCAAUCUUUUCAAAAGCAUCUUCAUCUAAUGAUUGAAAGAUGAGAUACUUUGCUUUCUUCUCUUUCUUCUUCAAAUCUUUUAAAUUCUCCUUCUCCACCGCAGUUAAAGUGGCUUCAUUUUCUGGCACAAUAAAGUCUUUCUCCACGACAUCCCAUACGUCAUGUGCGCCCAAUAGAGCCUUCAUUUUAAUACUCCAAUUGUCAAACUUACUUCCCUUUAAUUGUGGAACUUAAAAUGACAUCAUACCACCGUUUGCCAUAACUCACAAAUUGAGUGAGGAUUUAGAGAUUCUGAAAGCACAGAUGGAUCCAGCACGUCGAAAAACCUUGGGAAGGACUCGAGUCAACAUUCGGUCACGGUCAAUGGUCAACGUGGUCAACGGUCAAUGUCGGUCAACGGUCAACACCGGCUUGGUAGUCUUGGUUCGGUCCGGAUUGGUUCAGCUCGAGUUGGCUCGGUUCGACUUGAUUUGGUUCAGCUCGGCUCGGCUUGGUUCAGUUCGGCUCAGCUUGGUUCAACUCAGUGAGUCGACUCAACUUCAGGACAGAAAACUUCCGGCGGCAAGUGUGUGGGUGUUCGGUCUCGGAUCGGGAUGAUUUUUGCGGCGUCACGUUCCUCUCGUCGAGAUCUUCGAUUUGAUAUGCUAUAUGACUAUAUAUAGCAUCAAACACUAGCUCUGAUACCACUUUGUUGGAGAAUUAAUAAAUAAAACACACUAUUUUAUUUCUUCAACAACACUCCUCACCAAUUACAACUCUUAUUUUUCACUCUCUACACCUUAGAGAUUUUGCUACUUCACUUCAUAUUUAAACCAAAGGGGAGAGGGGGUAUUUAUACAUAAAACAAACUAAUCACAACCAUUCAUUUAUUCAACUAAUAAACAAAUCCUCACCAUCCAUUAAGACCUACCACUCACCUACUUCACCAACCAUACCUAACACACCUAACACAAAUAAUUCAAACCUCACCAACCAUACCUACUCAUGGAACCUUCCAUGAGUUGGCUUGAUUUAUUCAUCUUGGAUCAAGUUUAUGAUCCAACAGUAUCUUCACUAAUAAGUGUUGAAUCUUUUGCUUCAAAGGAAAGAAACUAAAAAGGUUUGUAAAUUUACCCCACUUCUAGAAAAUAAUUAUAAUAAAUUCACAAUAUUUUUAAAAAAUACAAAUUAAUAAAAAUUUUGUAUAGUUAAUCAAUUAAAUCCCUCUAUUACUUUUUUUAUUAGAUUUCUUUGAGUAUAUUUGAUCAUAAACUUGAUAUAAAUUUUAUUUUACUAUUUUAGUAUUAUGAUAUAAAAUGGCCAAAUUGUACAAUAAACAUGGGUUAUUGUAUCUAAUAAUUUAGGUAUUUAAUCAUGUGAACUAAUAUUUUUAAAUGAAAUUUAACUNNNNNNNNNNNNNNNNNNNNNNNNNNNNNNNNNNNNNNNNNNNNNNNNNNNNNNNNNNNNNNNNNNNNNNNNNNNNNNNNNNNNNNNNNNNNNNNNNNNNUGAGUAUUGUGCCAUAAAACAUAUGUCUGUUUAAAUUAAUGUUUUAUAAUCAUACUAAUAAAGUAGUAUUAGAAAUAAUGAAUUUGAUAUAAAAUUAGAAAAUAUUGAAGUUAAAGAAUUAGUUUUACCUUAUAAGGAUAAAAUAAUCAAUUUAGACUUAUGUCAAAUCAAUCCUUAUGAUCAAAUAUAAUAAAAAAAUUAAGUCACAAAAAGUAAAUUAAAAUAGAUUUGUUAAUUUGUUCUCCCAAAGUUCAAAAUGAGUAAAAGGAAUUAGGCUUCGUAGUUUAGGAAAUGAAUUUACUGAAUAGAAAUAUUUUUAGUAUAUAUUAUUUAUUUUUCAUUCAAACAUUUUCUGAUUUCAGCAAAGGUCACAAAAAUUUACUUAUUUAAUUUAAAUGUAAAUGUCUAAAAAUUAGAUAUAAGUUUAAAAAAAAAAAAAUUUUAAGUUAGACUUCAUAUGUUUAACAAUCAACCCUAAGGAUAAUGAAAAAGAGCUAUUAAAAAAAAAAGAAUAAUUUUGAAACUAAAUACAAUUAAUUGAGAGAUGAGGACGGAUAAGAUAAAUUCAGAGGUAAAAAUUAAAAUAUCACCCUACUUAUUGCUAGCAGUUAUGAGCAUUAAAGCACAGAAGCACGUGUGUUGAAAAGUAUGGUGUUCGUGUGGAAUUUUCAGCUAAAAGUCUACAAGGCAGUUGAAUUAAUCAAUCAUCGUGGAGUGCACGGUGCUUGGACAAUGAGAUGAAAUUGAAAAACUAUCACGGAACUUGAAGGAAGGUUCAUGGCAUCGAUUUAUUCUACAGAGUCAUGCACAUUUGGUUUAAUAAUUGUUUUCAUUCGAAUCAAAAUCUCUUUCUAAUCAAUUCAACUGUUUCUGUUGAUUAUGGCUUCUUCUUAUCGAAACAACAAGAAGUAUGAUGUUUUUGUUAGUUUCAGAGGAGAGGACACUCGAGACAACUUUACUAGCCAUCUCUAUUCUGCUCUGUGUCGACAAAAUAUCCAAAAUUUCAUUGAUGACCAACUUAACAGAGGAGACGAAAUUUCGGAGUCACUGUUGAAUGCAAUUGAAGCAUCAGCCAUUUCAGUUAUCGUCUUCUCAGAAGGGUAUGCAUCUUCCAGAUGGUGUAAGUAAGUACAAGAGAUAAAAGCAAAAGGUCAAGCAUCUCAUUUGAGCCUGUCACUAACAAAUGGUCAAUGAGCAAUGUCUAGCUAUGACUGAGCAACAGAAUCAAUAAACAGAGACAAAAAAUAAUAAUCAAGUCAUCUGUCAAAUGCUAGUCCAUGAAAAUCAUAUAUAGAUAUAGAGAGAGAGAGAGAGAGAGAGAGAAAUAUUCCAGUUAAGAAUUUUAAAGUGCGAGAAAGUACGGGAAACCUUUAAAACCAUUAAAACCGCAUGGUUUUAAAGGCUUAAAACUAUAGGCUUUUAAAGUCGUGUGGUUUUAAAGUUUUCCCAAACUUUCCCGUACUUUAAAAUCCCUGACCAGAAAACUACUCUAUAUAUAUAUGUAUGGAUAUGUAUAUGUAUGAUCAUUCAUUUCUCAAUCAACCACCAAAUUGAUGUCAACAAAGCCAUGAGGAUUGUCUCACAAGUCUUUCAUUUUCCCUCUCUUUAGGCCAGAGACCAGUAAACCAUUUGAAAUAUGGAUGUGCAAACCAGUAAAUAAAUCAUGAAGUUACAUACUAGUCUGCUUUCGCACUCAUUCGGAACUAUCAAUGAUACUUACUGCAGGUGUGGUGUAUACAUUAUACUAAAGUGAAGGCUAGAUCAAUAAGAAAUUCAAAAUGUUUAAUCACAUUUGGGGCUUGAUGAUGCCAAAGAAAGACCAUACCAAUUAUCAUGAACAGUAAAAUGUGAACAAGAACAAGCAUACAUUUAAGAAAGCAGAGAAGCAUCAUUAAAAUAAAGUAUUCUUCUUACUAUUCUAUGUUGUUGGAAAAUGGACCAAAAUAAAAAAGGAACCAUAUAUGGUUAACGUCACAACAAGAGUAUUUGUGCAUUUGUACAUCAUAGGAUAUUGGGAAGACAUCAGCAGAGAAGUGCAAAUAUUUUUUUUUUUUUUUGAGGAAAGGAACAGAGAAGUGCAAGUCAAAAAGGAGAAAAAAUGAAAAGAGAGAGAUCAAAAGGAAUGCAAUCUAAUUAAUUGUCUAAGGAGACUACUAUGCUACAUUUAGCCAUUGGUUGAAUAGGCAGCUUGUUUUAUAGUACAACUUUAAAUUUUCCAAGAUUUAGAAUUUUCCUACUGAAGAAAACUAAUUUCUAAAGCAACUAUUACCAUCUUCAUCCCAACGGUAAGCAGCUCCAUACUAAGGAAAGAGUGAAAUAAGUGUGCUUUACUUAUAGAAGCCCAUUCCUGUCCAGAGUGAUUAGUAAGUUGUUUCACCAUGACCCCCAUUAUUGUGACUGAAAAAAGAAAAAUAAAAGAAGAAAAUAUUAGCCGAACACAAUAGUAGCACCUAAGAAGUCCAACUUAAGAGGCUUCAUACCCUGCACAAAUCGGAAAGUUUUUAAAAAUUUCAUGUUUCAAAUGAAGAUUGUCCAUUAAAAAAUUACACACAUAAUGUAUGUAAAGCAAUUAAAACAAAAAAAAAAAAAGCCAGAAACAAUCCAACCAUCAAUAACAUAAAACUUUUGUAAUGCUGGUAAAGUGAAUGAGAAGCAGAACAUACAUUUCACGUAACAAUUCUCGUACUUCCUUCCAAUAACAAUUCAUAAUGCAGGUAGGUAUCUUGAAAAAUUAUAUCAUACAUUUCUCUUAUCAAUGGGGCAGACACUCAACAACAAAACACAGACUUAUUGUAUUUGUUGCACAAAUAAGAAAGAAGAUAACAAUUUUAAAUUAACCAACAAGUUUUAUCGUAAUACACACUAUCAACUAUGAAUUAGCAUACCUUUAGAAGUCCUGAACUUAUUCACAGCCAUUCAAAGAGAAUCAUCCGAUAGAAUCAACCGUGACAAUGCUCUAGUGCUUAACCUGCGAAAAAUAGAUCAAGCAGAGCUUGCAUUCCCUGAAGUUAACCACAAAAAAAAAACAUUACGAUGACUUAAAUUUUAACAGAAAACAAAAAAACAAAGCAAGAGUGAAUAGAGUAAUACCAAAGCAAAUUUAAGAUUGUUAGGUCCAAUUUGUGGUCCAACUUCUGAACGUCUAAUAGUAGACUUAGGAGGAAGGAUUUGAAGAAGCUGUGGCAGCGGCGAAUACGCAUCAAGAUUCACAUUGCUCCUCACAUUGAGGGCUAAAAGAGUGCGGAGGCGCGACAAAGCUGACGCGCGAUUCUUGUGCUGCGACCGGUCUUCGGCGGCAUGCGCUAUGACGUCGGUCGGUACUAUUAAGUUUUAUACGAAACUGUGAUAUUGUUUGGUUACUAAGAAAAUAGGAAGAAAGAAAACUUCUGUAAGCUGAGAAUUCUAUUAUUAUUGAUCUGAAUGAAUCUGGAGGUUACAAGCCCUUUUAUAUGUGCANNNNNNNNNNNNNNNNNNNNNNNNNNNNNNNNNNNNNNNNNNNNNNNNNNNNNNNNNNNNNNNNNNNNNNNNNNNNNNNNNNNNNNNNNNNNNNNNNNNNNNNNNNNNNNNNNNNNNNNNNNNNNNNNNNNNNNNNNNNNNNNNNNNNNNNNNNNNNNNNNNNNNNNNNNNNNNNNNNNNNNNNNNNNNNNNNNNNNNNNNNNNNNNNNNNNNNNNNNNNNNNNNNNNNNNNNNNNNNNNNNNNNNNNNNNNNNNNNNNNNNNNNNNNNNNNNNNNNNNNNNNNNNNNNNNNNNNNNNNNNNNNNNNNNNNNNNNNNNNNNNNNNNNNNNNNNNNNNNNNNNNNNNNNNNNNNNNNNNNNNNNNNNNNNNNNNNNNNNNNNNNNNNNNNNNNNNNNNNNNNNNNNNNNNNNNNNNNNNNNNNNNNNNNNNNNNNNNNNNNNNNNNNNNNNNNNNNNNNNNNNNNNNNNNNNNNNNNNNNNNNNNNNNNNNNNNNNNNNNNNNNNNNNNNNNNNNNNNNNNNNNNNNNNNNNNNNNNNNNNNNNNNNNNNNNNNNNNNNNNNNNNNNNNNNNNNNNNNNNNNNNNNNNNNNNNNNNNNNNNNNNNNNNNNNNNNNNNNNNNNNNNNNNNNNNNNNNNNNNNNNNAAGUUGAGCCAAGCUUACUAAUUACCUCUUCACAAGCCUUGUAUUUGAUCCAGUGAUGAGUAUGUCAUCCACAUAAAUCAGAACAACCAAAAUAUCAGCCCCAGUAUGUUUAAUAAAGAGAGAAGUAUCAGACUUAGAAGUUUGAAAACCCCAUUGCACCAGUGAACCUUUUAGCUGAUCAUACCAGGCCCUUGGAGCUUGUUUGAGGCCAUAUAAUGCCUUGUUCAACUUGCAUAUAUGAGAAGGAAAUCUGGAAUCAAUGAAACCCUCUGGUUGGUGCAUAUAUACAUCUUCAGUAAGUACUCCAUUCAAGAAGGCGUUAUUGAUAUCUAGUUGCCUAAUAGUCCAGUGCUGCAUUACUGCUAAGCUGAGAAUAAUUCUGACUAUACAAGGCUUUACAACAGGGCUAAAGGUUUCAAAGAAAUCUACUCCAUGUGUUUGGUGAAAGCCGUUAGCCACCAAGCAUGCUUUGUACUUAGAAAUGCUGCCAUCUGGAUUGUAUUUGACUCUGAAAAUCCAUUUGUUACCUACAAUCUUGUUAGCUGAAUCAGAAGGAACCAUAGUCUAUGUCUGAUUUCUAUGUAAAGCAUCCACCUCUUCUUUCAUAGCCAUAUACCAUUUCUGACUAGACAGUGCUGCCUUGACACUUGUUAGUUCUAUGUCCUAAGUUGCUGCUAAAUAGGUUUUGGGUUUGAAUAUUCCAGAUUUUGCUCUAGUCAUUAUAGGAUGUAUAGAAAUGGAAGGUCUGGAAGAGAUAGAUGGGAUAUUUGUUGAUGCUGGUGAUUGGCUUAAAGGUGAACUUGGCUCAAGGGUAACAGCAGGGAGUUGAGUUCCACUUCUGAAGUUGCUAUAGGUGGUGCUACUACAUUACUGUCAUCAAGAUGAGGAUUUGACAAAGAAAAAUGAGUGAAAGACUGAUUUGCAGGAGUGACACAUUUUGUUGGAAUAGAGGAAGAGUUGUUGGAAGCAGAAAACAACUCUGGAUAUGAAAAUUCAGACUCAUUAAACACAACAUGUCUGGCAAUGUAAAUUCUACCUGAUUUUUCUAGACACUUAUAACCUUUAUGUACAAGAUUGUAGCAAAAAAAAAAAACGCAUUUUUGUGUAUAGAAGUCUAAUUUGUGUUGAUUAUAAGGUCUCAAUAAUGGAAAGCAUGAGCAACCAAAAACUUUAAGGAACUGAUAAUCAAGUAAACGAUUGUGUAGCUUCUGAUAGAGUGAUUUAUUGUUUAAAACUGGUGUAGGAAUCCUAUUUAUCAGAUAGGUUGCUGUGUGAAAAGCUUCCCACCAAAAGACAAGUGGAGGAUUUGCUAGAGCAAGAAGAGUAAGGCCAGUUUCAACAAUAUGUCUGUGUUUUCUCUUCACAACUCUAUUUUGAUGGUGUGUAUGGGGACAACUAAAUUUAAUAUGUAUCCCUUAUUGCUGAAGAAAUGAACCAAAGGCUCUAAAUUCACCCCCCAUGUCUAAUUGCAUGGUUUUAAUAGACUUGGAAAAUUGUUUUUCAACAAGGAGUUUAUACUGUUUGAAUGUGUCUAAUGCUUCUGAUUUUAAAGUGAGAGGAAAUAUCCAACUACAUCUAGUGAAAUCAUCUACAAAGGAUAUGUAAUAUUUGUAUCCAUCUUUGGAUGACAUUGAUGCUGGUCCCUAGGAUCAGUGUGUAUUAAUUCAAGUGGUGCUCUAGUUUUUAUGUUAGUGACAGGGAAGUGAAACUGAUGUAGUUUGCCAUAUUGACAAGCAUCACAGAAGCUAAGAUAAUGAUUGACAAUAUGUGAAGUUUGAGUCUUUAAAAUGAUUUGCAUAGCAUGUUUAUUGGGAUGACCAAGUCUAUUAUGUAACAGCUGCAUUGAGAUACAACUAGAAGUAUUGAAACUUGCAGGAGAAUUGUUGAAAGACACUGAAUUAACAGAAACUGACUUGAUAGACUUUGGACAAGAGUUUACAAUUUUAUUUGAAACAACUGACAACAUAGAAUUUGGCUUUAAAACUUGUACUUUAGAAUUGGAGAACAAAUCAUCUUCAGAUAGUAGUUUGUAGAGACCCCCUUCAGCAAUUCCUGUGCUAGUAAUGUCCCCUUCACCUUGUCCUUUACAAAACAAAAUUCAAAGGUGAAUUCUAUAAUCAUACUAUUAUUAGCAAGGAGUUUGGACACACUGAUGAGAUUCUUUGUUAUAUGAGGAACACGUCGCAUGUCAGUAAGAUGUAGUAAAGCUCCAAGGGAAGUGUAAAAAUAAGUGUAACCAAUAUGAGUAAUAGAAAGGCCUUUACCAUUACCAACUAGCAGCAUCUCAGAACCAGAGUAAGACUUACCAACAGUCAGAUUUUGCACAGCAUUUGUGAGGUGAUGUGUUGCUCCACUGCCUAAGUACCACCCUUGAUCAGUAACUCCUUCUAAUGUCACCAUGUAUGCAGCUCUUGGUCCUUGAUUUUGAUUUGGAAAGGAACUCUGAACUGGAGGAUUUGGCACAAAAUUUUGGUUAAACCUAUUUCUGCACUCAACAGCUGAAUGAUUUGGCUUGAAACAGAUCUGACAUAUGAUACCUCUGCCACUUCCUCUUCCAGAAUUAUUGAAACCAGCAGUAAAUCCAUUUCCAUUGAAUCCAACAAAGCUAUUUCCAUUAAAUCCAGUAAAUCCACCUCUGCCUUGAUUACCUCCUUGAUUUCCAUGCCAUUGUCCCCUUCCAGUACCAUAUCCUGCAUUACCUCCUCUCCUUGCUCCAGAAUUUCCUCUACCAUAAUUUCCAUUCCAAUUUCCACCUUCAGUUCUGUUUCCAAAGUUUCCAGUGUAGUUGCCUUGAUUAUUAUUAUUAUUCCAGCCAGCAUUAUAAUUGUUUUUCCUUUGAUUAUUUCCAAUUUGAACCAAAUUAGCAGCAUAGUUCAUUUUAGCUUCUUUACUGGCAUUAGAGUUAGCACUUUCCAAUCGAGCUUCAUGAGUCAGAAGCAUAGAGUAUGCUUCAUUAAUACUCAUCUUAAGUACAUUAGCUUCAAUAUAAACCACAACUGGAUAAUAAGGUUGUCCUAGACCAGAAAUUAAAUGAGUAAUAAAGUCUAGAUUACUAACUGGACUACCAGCAAUGGCUAACUCAUCAGUAAUAGAUCUCAACUUACUAAAGUAUUCAGUCAUAGUCAGAGAAGCUUUAUUGAGAUUAUUCAGCAGCAUUUUCAAGUGAACCUUUUUAGCAGCAGUUUCAUAUCCGAAUUGCUGUUCUAAAUUAGUCCAAAGCUCAAAAGAAGUUUUAGAUGUUACUACUAAUCUGAGAACUUCAAUACUGAUUGAGGAAAGAAGCCAGCUCAGGAGCAUCUGAUCUUAUUUCUUCCAAGUGAUGUAGGCUGGAUUCUCAUGCAAAUCUGCACUGGAGCUUCUAGGUUCAUCAUCAAGAAAUUGGCUAGGACAGAUCUUGGAGCCAUCAAGAAAUCCUUCUAUAUCAUUUGCUCGAACUGAAGAUAGGAUCUGAGAUUUCCAGAUCAUGUAAUUGGAACGAUCAAGUUUGAUUGGUGUUGUGAAGGUGAAUGAUGAGAUGGAAGAAGAACCAUUUGUAUUCAAGUUGACAGAAGCCAACAAAGAUUGAAUUAGAAUGGCUCUGAUACCAUAUUAAGUUUUAUAUGAAAAUGUGAUGUUGUUUGGUUACUAAGAAAAUAGGAAGAAAGAAAACUUCUGUAAGCUGAGAAUUCUAUUAUUAUUGAUUUGAAUGAAUCUGGAGGUUACAAGCCUUUUUAUAUGUGCAUAAAAGACUCUACACACAUUGCACACACGUACGGCGGAUUCGCGCUUAUUGCGGUGCUGACCGCCUGGUCCCGACGAUUUGUACGCGUCCAUUUCGCAUUCACAAAACAACUCAUCGUCGGUCAAUUCUAAGUAAUUCUUCGAAGAAGAAGAAGAAGAAGUUGAAGAACAAUUGUCAUUGGUGUUGUAAAUUGCAAGACAAGAACAAUGGCUGAUAAUUCCCGCGAUGCUUGUACGACGGAAAGUUUAUAUUUUUCCUUCCGAGUUAGGGAAUCCGAAGCACGAAUUGAGCGGCCAACGCCAUCAUCAAUUUCAGUUUCCCUCUCUGUGUAUGGGAUAAUCAAAGCAAAGCUUCGUACUGGUAACACAUUCUCAUAGCAAGCCCAGCCCAAUCCAGCCCAGUCAAGCAAGUGAGCAAUGUUAUUAUUUUAUUAUUUUUGAACUCGCGGUGGCUCUGUAUUAUUUGCAAAAUACUCAUGUAAGGCAGAGAAUAUAUUUUAUAUUGGAAUAUUUUCAAAAUAAAUGGUGCUUUAAACAGGCGUCCGAUUGUAAAGAUAUGUCAUAUGCCUAAUUAAACAGUGUCAGAUAUAAUAAAAAUAUAUCUUUUUAUUUAAAGAUGUAUUCAUUCACGGUUUUAUACUUUAAUUUGAAAUGGUGAUGAUUUAUUUUAGACCAGUGAUGAUCUAAUUCAAUUUUUAAUUUAAUAACCAUAAAUGAAAAAUUACAUUUGCAAUGUGUCUCGAAGCACCAUCAAUUCUUACCUAUAUUUCAAUUAAAAUAAGAGUGAAACUAUUGGCACCCAUUCAUUAUUCAUAUAAAACUUAUUUCAAAUAAAAUUACAGUUAAGGGCAAAGAAGAAAUAAACACAUGUAGGAUUUUUUUCCCAACAAAUUACUUACAUUAAUAAUCAAACCUUUUUUUUUUAAUUUCCUACCAUUAUUUCUUAUCUAACUAAGAUAAAUUGUAUAAAUCUGGCAUAAUCUAUUUUUCUUUUCCUAUUUCUUAUUGAUUAAAUAUUUUCGGACUCAAGAUUACUUUCAAACUACAAUCUAAAAUAUAUGUUAUUUAAGCUAAUGAUUAGCAUUCAAACUUUAUCACCUCGAAAGCUUUUUAAUUUGUAUGUAGGAUAACAAUAAGAUUGCAAAAGAAAUGAAAAAUAGCACAAUACUACUUUGAGUUUUAACAAUAAAAGACGUGUUGUUUGUGAAAGCAAAUCCAGAAAACCAAAACGGCAGCAGACUUUGCGUUUAGGAGCUGGAAACACUUAAGCUCAAACGGCACAGGAUCCUGCGUUUUGAAGAGUAGAAGAAAUACACUUCUGAACGACGUAUGGGUCUGUCGUUUAGAUUUAAGUGAUUCACGCGUAUAUCACGUGCCUGAGUUCAGCUUUGCAAAGUUCGUUAUAUGUCGUUAGAAGUAUGAGGAACUCACGUGAGGUGCUGGGGAUUUUCUGGGUUCGUUAACUAAAGCUGUUAUGGAACAGCUGAUGUGGAAGCAACGGAUUGGAGAGCUAGAGAGAGAGAAGGGAACUGGUUAUAUAAGCUAGUUGUGAUCCUUCUUUGAAAGCUAAGCAUUUUACUCUGUAAUUCAUCUGAAGUAAAUCAAUAAAGCUGUGUUCUUUCCCUCCCGUGGAUGUAAGCUAGAGAAAUCUAGCUGAACCACGUUAAAGAUUCUUUGUUCUUUCUUUACGUUACUUUCGCUUGAUUCUCUAUACCAUUUUGAUUGAUCAUCUAAGUUCCAUAGGUUCAUCUUAGUCUAAGCUUUUUCAGUUAAACAUCUUGCUGCAUCUUGUUCUGUUGGCUGGAGGUCUUGGGGCAGAGUCUUGGGUUGCUCUAUCAGUCAAUAGCACCUGAGAUUCUUCAAUUGGUAUCAGAGCUGGAUCUACAACCAAAGACAAGUAUGGUUUCAACCAAGAUCGAUCUUGAGAAGUUUACUGGCAAGAAUGAUUUCAACAUGUGGAAGGUGAAGAUGGAGGCCUUGCUGAUAACUCAGGGGUUAGGAGAUGCACUCGAACCUGUCACCAAGAAGGAAGGAAAAGAAGAAUCAUCCUCCAAGACACCUGAGAUGGCAGUCGAGAUGGACAAGAAGGCCAGAAGCACCAUCAUAUUGAGCCUUGGUGACUCAGUGAUAAGGGAGGUUGCCAAGGAGAAGACUGUUGCAGACCUAUGGGCCAAAUUAGAAAAGAUUUAUAUGACUAAAUCUUUGGCUAAUAGGUUGUAUAUCAAAAGGAGGAUGUUCACACUGAAGAUGGCUGAAGGGUCCUCUCUGGAUGAUCACAUUGAUGAAUUCAAUCAAGUGUGUGACACACUUGAAACCAUUGAUGAGGGGCUGGAUGAUGAAGGAAAGGCAUUGCUUCUGGUGAGCUCUCUACCUCAGUCUUAUUCAAAUCUUGUCGAUGCCCUUAUGUAUGGAAGAUCAACCUUAUCAUUAGAUGAGGUUAAGGCUGCCUUGAAUACUAGAGGGCUACAAGAAAAAUCUGGGAAUAUGAUGCAUGCUGAAGGAUUAUCAGUUAAGGGUAAGUUUAACAAGAAUGAUGGAAAGAAGAAGAAACAAAAGCAAGACAAGUCUAAAUCACAAAACAAGAAGUGCUUUCAUUGUAACAAAGAAGGUCACUUCAAGAGAGACUGUCAAGAACUAAAGAACAAAAGCAAGGAAAGAAAUGGUGAUGCAGCUACAGUGGAGGAAAAAGGUUAUGAAUCUGCUGGUGUGUGUGUGGCUACAGAGGAUCUCCAGAGAGGUAAAUGGAUACUAGAUUCUGGUUGCACAUUUCAUAUGUGCCCAUUUAAAACUUAUUUUUCUGAUUACCAUGAUUUAGAUGGGGGAAAAGUAAUGAUGGGUAACAAUGCUGUAUGUAAAGUCAUAGGCAUGGGAAAUGUGAGUCUUAGGCUUCAUGAUGGGACAACAUGGGAACUUAGAGAGGUCAGAUAUGUUCCUGACUUAAAGAGGAACUUAAUCUCACUAGGUUUGAUAGAUCAGAAUGGGUUUAGUAUUAAGCUUGAAUCUGGUAGAUUGUUGAUCAUGAAGGGCUCUAAGAUAGUGAUGAAAGGUUCAAAAAGAAAUGGAGUAUAUGUCCUAGAUGGUGAGGCAGUUACAGGUAUAACAGAUGUGAUUGUUGGCACUGGUGGGGUUAGCACCAGGUUGUGGCACCUAAGAUUGGGGCAUAUGAGUGUUAAGGGGUUAAAAGAGCUUGAGAAACAAGGAGUUCUGGGGAAGGAUAAGAUAGAGGAGUUAGAUUUUUGUGAAGAUUGUGUAUAUGGAAAGUCCACAAGGCACAGUUUCAAAAACUCAACCAGCAAAUCUAUUGGCAUCCUAGACUACAUACACUCUGAUCUCUGGGGACCUGCACAGACAAGAUCAUUAGGUGGAAAUAGCUAUUUUUUGUCAAUAAUAGAUGAUUAUUCAAGAAGGGUUUGGGUCUAUGUACUAAAGCACAAAGAUCAAGUCUUUAACAAAUUCAAAGAAUGGAAAACCUUAGUUGAGAAUCAGACAGGAAAGAAGGUUAAGAAAUUAAGAACAGAUAAUGGACUUGAGUUCUGCAAUCAGCAAUUUAACAGCUACUGUGCAAAUGAGGGGAUAGCAAGGCACAAAACAGUGAGGUUAACACCUCAGCAAAAUGGAUUGGCAGAGAGGAUGAACAGGACCCUGAUGGAUAAGGUGAGGUGCAUGCUGGUACAAGCAAAGCUUCCAAAAAGCCUCUGGGCAGAAACCUUAUUAACAGCAAGCUAUCUGGUGAAUUUGAGUCCCUCUGCUGCUCUAGACUUUAAGACUCCAUUUGAAAUGUGGCAUGGGCAACCAGCAAGCUAUGUAAAUCUUAAAGUGUUUGGAUGCCCUGCUUAUGCACAUAUCAGUCAAGGAAAGUUAGCACCCAGGGCUCUUAAAGGUCAGUUCCUAGGCUAUCCUGAUGGAGUUAAAGGAUACAAACUAUGGUGCACUGAUCUAGAACCUCCAAGGUGCAUAAUAAGCAGAGAUGUGACAUUUAAUGAGAAGGCUGUUUUGGAAGUCAGAAAGGAUGCUGAGCUGAAAACUCAGAAACCUCAAGUGCAAGAUGACAUGCAAUUUGAGGUGGAGCAUCCUGAAUCAAAGAAAUCUGAGAAGGGUGACAGUUCAGAUAAAGACAGUGAAGAUCAUGAUGAAUGCAGUGGCCCUCAACCACAAUCUCAGAGGCAGACUCAAGUACAGGGUUAUCAGCUGACAAAAGAUAGAGAAAAGAGACAAAUCAAACCACCACAGAGAUAUGGUUAUGCUGAUUUGAUAGCAUAUGCACUAGCUGCUUCACAUGAUAUUGAUGUAGAUGAGCCUAAGAGUUAUGCAGAAGCUGUUCAAAGCUCAAACAAAUCAGAAUGGCAGGAAGCUAUGAAUGAUGAGAUAGCUUCUCUUAAGAAGAAUCACACCUGGAUAUUGAUUGAGAAGCCUGGAAACAGAAGGACAGUGGGUUGCAAGUGGGUUUUCAGAGUCAAAGAAGGCCUCACAGCUAGUGAACCUAGCAGGUACAAAGCUAGGCUGGUAGCUAAGGGGUACACUCAAAGGGAAGGAGUUGACUUUAAAGAGGUAUUCUCCCCUGUGGUCAGACAUGCCUCUAUAAGGGUGCUGUUAGCAAUGACUGCAGUUCAUGACUUAGAGCUUGAUCAACUUGACGUCAAGACUGCAUUUUUACAUGGAAGACUACAGGAAGAAAUUCUUAUGACUCAACCUGAGGGUGAUGUGGAUUCUGAGAAACCAAAUCAUGUUUGCUUGCUGAAAAGAUCACUGUAUGGGCUCAAGCAAUCUCCAAGGCAGUGGUAUCUCAGGUUUGAUGAAUUCAUGCUGUCACAUGGAUACCUGAGAUGCAGUUUUGACUGCUGUGUAUAUUACAAGCUAAUAAACACAAAUCUCUACAUAUACCUGUUACUAUAUGUAGAUGAUAUGUUGGUAGCCUGUAAGUCAAGAGAAGAAAUUGAAGCUUUGAAGAAUUUGCUGAGCUCUGAAUUUGAGAUGAAAGAUUUGGGGUCAGCAAAGAAGAUACUAGGCAUGGAAAUCAAGAGGGAUAGAAGCAAAGGCAUCAUGUUUCUUUCUCAAGAGAAAUAUCUGAGGAGGGUAUUGGAAACUUUUGGGAUGACCUCAUGUAAACCUGUGAUGACUCCAAUAGCAACACAUUUUAAGCUCUCCAGUUUGCAGUGUCCUAAGACAGAAGAAGAAAAGUUAGAGAUGGCUAAGAUUCCCUAUGCUAAUGCAGUUGGCUGCAUGAUGUAUGCCAUGGUUCUAACUAGGCCUGAUAUCUCCUAUGCUCUAAGUGUAGUAAGCAGAUAUAUGGUGUCUCCUGGAAAAGAACAUUGGAGAGCUGUAAAGUGGGUGCUGAGAUACCUAAGUGGAACCUUGAGCCAUGGGCUGGUUUAUGGAAAGUCAGGGAUCAAGUCUGAGGGGAUCUAUGGAUUUGUUGAUUCUGACUUUGCAGGAGACUUAGACAGGAGAAGAUCCCUCACAGGGUAUUUGUACAUGCUGGAUGGCUGCUUGAUUAAUUGGAAAGCAAGUCUUCAACAUGUUGUUGCAUUAUCAACAACAGAAGCUGAGUAUACAGCAGCUGCUGAAGCAGUAAAGGAAGCCUUAUGGAUGAAAGGCUUGAUAGCUGAGCUUGGAAUGAGUCAGAAGACAGUUGAUGUAUUCUGUGAUAGCUCAAGUGCCAUUUACUUGAGUAAAAACCCAGCUCAUCAUGAGAAAACAAAGCACAUCGACAUCAAGCUGCAUUUCAUUAGAAAUGUAGUCUCCAUGGGUGUGGUCAGAAUGGUGAAGAUACAUACAGACAGAAAUCCUGCUGACAUGUUAACAAAAGUAGUCACUACAGCUAAGUUCAAGGUUUGCUUGGACAUAGCUGGUCUUGGCUGCUGGUAAUCCAUUCUGGAAAUGGAGGGGGAAAACCAGGGAUGAUUUGUUUCAAGGUGGAGAAUUGUUGUUUGUGAAAGCAAAUCCAGAAAACCAAAACGGCAGCAGACUUUGCGUUUAGGAGCUGGAAACACUUAAGCUCAAACGGCACAGGAUCCUGCGUUUUGAAGAGUAGAAGAAAUACACUUCUGAACGACGUAUGGGUCUGUCGUUUAGAUUUAAGUGAUUCACGCGUAUAUCACGUGCCUGAGUUCAGCUUUGCAAAGUUCGUUAUAUGUCGUUAGAAGUAUGAGGAACUCACGUGAGGUGCUGGGGAUUUUCUGGGUUCGUUAACUAAAGCUGUUAUGGAACAGCUGAUGUGGAAGCAACGGAUUGGAGAGCUAGAGAGAGAGAAGGGAACUGGUUAUAUAAGCUAGUUGUGAUCCUUCUUUGAAAGCUAAGCAUUUUACUCUGUAAUUCAUCUGAAGUAAAUCAAUAAAGCUGUGUUCUUUCCCUCCCGUGGAUGUAAGCUAGAGAAAUCUAGCUGAACCACGUUAAAGAUUCUUUGUUCUUUCUUUACGUUACUUUCGCUUGAUUCUCUAUACCAUUUUGAUUGAUCAUCUAAGUUCCAUAGGUUCAUCUUAGUCUAAGCUUUUUCAGUUAAACAUCUUGCUGCAUCUUGUUCUGUUGGCUGGAGGUCUUGGGGCAGAGUCUUGGGUUGCUCUAUCAGUCAAUAGCACCUGAGAUUCUUCAAGACGAUUAAAUGAAAAACUAAAAGAGUGUCUUUGAAAAUAAAAGGAAAUGUUUGGAAAUAAAAUAAAUAUAACGGAAAAAAGGAUUUGAUGAGGAGACUAGAGGGGUGCCAAUAGUCCAACUUUUAAAAUAAAGUUUUAUCAAUUAUUGUUCCCUUUUUCUGCAAUUAUUAUUCCCCACAGAUAUUUCUCCAACAUUUUAUUUCAUAUAUUUACUCCUACUACACUCUAACAAAGGACGCCUUUUGGACUACAUCAGUUUCUAGAUGCAUUUUAUUAAUAAAUUAAAUAAAGGCACCAUCCCUUGUUCAAUUUCUCUAAAUAACCACUUUCUGUCAGCUCUCUUAAAAUUUAUUAAGGAAUCUAUGUUGAAGACCAUUUCAUCCUUAGUAUUGUGUAAAUGUAUAAAAACACAUUUUACACUUUGAAAUUUAAAAUGACCUUCUUUUAGCACAAAAUUUUAAAACAAAUGCCUCUAACUAAGCGACAAAUUUUAAAAUACAUGAUAAAUACUAUAUCAGUGAUAUAAAAGGUGAAUCAUACUAUGAUAUAUGUGCAUUUAUUUUGAAAACCCAUCACGUAAAUAAUGCUUAUAUUGAAUCUAAGUAAGUGCAUAUCAUACAUGACACAACCCGGCCCAGCCUCUCUUACGGAUUCGAGGUGAAUCAUGUGAUCUUAUAUCUAAAGCUUAUGAAAUAAAUUUAAUUCAUGAAUGCAUAACACCGCCUUUGUUAUAAACAUAUAAUCACAUAUGUGACUCAUUCAAAAAUAUAUUCAAAACUUGCACAUUUUACACCGUACUAUACAUACAUACACUUUAGAUAUAUACAUAUAAAUAUAAACAUAAACAUGCUCAAAAUAUAAGUUAUGCAGUAAUGCGUGUCGUGGCCCAACCUCAAUUGAUUAGAAACUAAAUUGCACAAAAUCCUAUGAAAAUCUUAAAGAAAUGGGGGUAAAUAGGAAAAUAGUAUACUUGUGGGUAAAUGAAUGGAUAUAAUUAUAUAAAUUAGCGCUCUAGUGCCCGUACAUAAUUGUAUGACAUAACUUCGCACUGAACGCAUUACACAAGCAAACAUGAAAUCAUAUAUUUAUACAUGAUAAAAUUGCACUAAAUAAUAUCUAGGAGAAAUAACUCUCAAUACUCGCUGGAAUCAUCAUUGCACAAGUAAAGUAGGGGAAACACCUCUCAAUACGCAGCGGAAUUAACUACAUCACAAGGGCCUUGUAAUCUAACUCUCAAUACACAUACAUAGAGCCUAUGGUGAAGGGUACACAUAUGGUAUCUGGCAAUCACAUCUCAUUAUUCAAUCAAGCAUAUAAUAUGAGUACAUAUAAUCAUGACAUGAUACUAAAUCAUACUAUCAAGCAUAAAUACUUUGUAGAAUACAUAUAAGUAAUAAUAGUAAUCCACUCAUAAAACAUUUUUCACUCCAGGGCUUGUUGGAGCUCUUAUAGAUUCCUUAAUUCUUGGAUUUCUCCUAAAAUAUAGGGUUCAAAAAUUAACUGUUAGAACUGAUAUAAAAUUUUUUACAUAUGACAUAAACUAAAUCAUAAUUGUUCAAAUUUCUUAAAUACAUUACUUACUGAUUUACUGGAUAUAGAUAUAACUAUCCAACUCUCUUUCCUAUAAUUUUUCCUCUCAAUUCCACUUUUCAAAUUUAUUUUUCACUCUCGGUUUUUCUUUUCUUUAUUUUUCCUUCUUCAUCUUUUAUUCUUCUGUUCUUUUCCUCUUCUUUCUUCAUCUUUUCUUCUUUUGUUCUUUUCCUCUUCUCUUUUCCUUUUGUUUUCUUCCCUUCUCACCUUUUCCUUUCUUUUUCUUUUCUCUUUGAAUUGCUUUGUUUUAGUUUGAUUCUUGAAAAUGGUGACAAUUGCUUCAAUUCUUUACUUUAUAUAUAUCCAUUGCCUCCAAUCAUGCAUGACAAGCACAUAGCAUGCAUGUGCUUUGCUUUAAGCCGACAGUUUGCUAAUUAGCCACAUGUGCUCCCUUUUGGUUUGCAUGUGCGUCACAAUAUAUGCAUUAAUUAGUUGUAUUAUUUUUAAUGUAUUAUUAAAUUUCUUUUAAUGAAGGACGUAGUUAACAAUUUUAACCAGUUAAACAUGUUGUUUGACAUAUAAUACAGUUUAUGGUCAAACAACUCAUAAGUAGUUGAAAUUAAAUUAUUUUUUAAUCUCAAUUUUCCUUUUCUCUCAAUUUUAAAAUAUUUUAUAAGAUUUUCAAACAUAAGAUACAAUGGUAUAGAAUUGAAGCCUAAUCCAACAUAGAAAGAAUAAAUAAAAUUAAUUUUCACCACUACUCAAGAGACUUGAAAGGACAUUAAGGUAGCGUUUAUUUUUUUUAUUUAAAAUAUGAAUAGGUUAGAAUUUGAUUAAAAGCUGAAUGGCUUUGAAUAUAAAUGUUUCAAUAACAUGUUUUUUUUAAUAUCUAAAAAUUAAGUGACAUCUUGUUUGUUUUUAUAAUAAAAAAAAUAUUAAAUGUAGUUAUUUAACAUUUAUGUCCUUAUAAGUCAAAACAAAUAAAAGGGAUUAGGUUUCGUAGUUUAUGAAAUAACUAUAUUGAAUUGAAAUAUUUUUAGGAUAUAGUAUUUAUUUUCCAUUCAAACAUUUUUUCAUUUCGGCAAAGGUCACAAAAAUUUACUUUUUUAAUUCAAAUGUAAAUAUCUAAAAAUCAGACAUAUGUUACAAAAAAAAAUAAAAUAACUAAUUUUUUUUUUAAAAAAAGUUAAACUUUAUAUGUUUAAAAUAAACGCUAAGGAACAUGAAUAAGAGCUAUGAAAACAAAAAAAAAGAGAAUAAUUUUGAAACUAAAUACAAUUAAUUGAGAGAUGAGAAUCGAUAAGAUAAAUUCAUAGAUAAAAAUUAAAAUAUCAACCCUACUUAUUGCUGGCAGUUAUGAGCAUUAAAGAACAGAAGCCGUGUCUUGAUAAGUAUGGUGUUCGUGCGGAAUUCUCAAUUUUAAUAUAUAUAUAUAUAUAUAUAUAUAUUAAAAAAAAGCUAGACUUCGUAUGUUUAAAAUCAACGCUAAGGAACAUGAAUAAGAGCUCUUUAACAAAACAAAAAAGAAUAAUUUUGAAACUGAAUACAAUUAAUUGAGAGAUGAGGACCGAUAAGAUAAAUUCAGAGAUAAAAAGUAACAUAUCACCCUACUCUCACACUGAUUUGUAUUAUAUCUAUUACGCCUCUUUCAGUCUUGUACAUGAAUUUAUUAAUAUAUAAUUCGAGAUAGGUGAUAAAAGAUAUGAAAUCUUAAAAGAAAAAACUUGCAGGGGUCACAACUUAUGCCAACCACCACAUAUCCAUUCGAUGGAGCCGUACCCUAAUAAUUAAAAUUUGGAAGUACGAUGAAAAUUAGAAAUGGGUAUUUAAUAAGUUGGAGAUUAUGUUAAGAUUUAUGGAGCCAAGAGUGCCGGUUAAAUAAUCCUGUGAGAAUUGACAAAAUCUUAUAUUAGAUUAGAUGGAUGGGUGGAUGUACAAAUAACUUGAUUUGCAUAUCUCACCGAGAUUGUCUAUUUCAAUUUGAGAUUUAAAGAAAAAUAAACCUUAAAAAUUGUAACAAAAAAUGGGGAAAAUCGUACCACACAUGGAUUGCAUGGGUCUAAUGAUCAAGGGGGCAUCCAAUGAAUGGGAGCCUAGGUUUUGAGAUAAAUUGGUGGUGGUGGUGGUGGUGGUCCUUGCGCGUGAGAUGAGUUAAUUUAUUAAAUGGAUUAUUAUUUUCUUUUAUUUUUCGAAGGGAGAAAAAAAAAUAAUAAAAAGGACAUCUAGAGGUUGUGAGCCGUGGGUUGAAAAGUAUGGUGUUCAUGUGGAAUUUUCAGCUAGAAGUCUACAAAGCAGUUGAAUUAAUCAAUCAUCGUGGAGUGCACGGUGCUUGGACAGUGAGAUGAAAUUGAAAAAUUAUCACGGAACUUGAAGGAAGGUUCAUGGCAUCGAUUUAUUCUACAGAGUCGCUCACAUUUGGUUCAAUAAUUGUUUUCAUCCGAAUCAAAAUAUCUCUCUAAUCAAUUCAACUGUUUCUGUUGAUUAUGGCUUCUUCUUAUCGAAACAACAAGAAGUAUGAUGUUUUUGUUAGUUUCAGAGGAGAGGACACCCGGGACAACUUUACUAGCCAUCUCUAUUCUGCUCUGAGUCGACAAAAUAUCCAGACUUUCAUUGAUGACCAACUUAACAGAGGAGAUGAAAUUUCGGAGUCACUUGUGAAUGCAAUUGAAGCAUCAGCCAUUUCAGUUAUCGUCUUCUCUGAAUCAUACGCUUCUUCUAGAUGGUGUCUCGAUGAACUUGUAAAGAUCCUCGAGUGCAAGAAAUAUUAUGCACAAAUUGUGAUUCCGGUUUUCUAUCGGGUUGAUCCAUCAGACGUGAGAAACCAAACUGGGAGUUUUGGGGAUUCAUUUUCGAAGCUCGAAGAAAGAUCAAAGGAGAAUACUGAGAAGCUGCGGAGUUGGAGGACUGUUUUGAAGGAAGCAGCCAGUUUGUCUGGCUUUCAUUCUCUUAACAUCAGGUGAAAAGUUGCCUUUAAUUUCUCAUACUAAUAUUUAACAAUAAAUAAAAUUCACGCAGCACUCUUAGUUAAAUUUCCGGAUGCUAAACUACAAUUUUAAAAAUUUUUAAGCAUCAGAUUCUAGACUUCCACACUUUUGUGCUCCCAUAAUUAUAAAAUAAUUUUGACAGAGUUAAUAAUAAAAGCUCGAGAAUUUUACAAUAUACAUCUAACAAAAUUAGUGGUGGUCUGUCAUUUUUUUAAGCAAUUGCAACCUCACUCAUAUACCACCAUUAGGAAAAAAAAGGAAAUUAUCCUUGCACCACCUUCCUUUUAUCUAUUGUACAUCCAACCACUACAAAAUUCUAACAUAUUCUUUGCACCACCUUUUUUUUAAAAAAAAAUUUGAAUCAAUAAGCCACUUUUGCACUAACACCAUGAAAUAAUUUAAAUGAAAUGAUAAUUUUUCCCUUAAAUAAAUUAAAAGACCAUUUUUAUUUUAUAAAAACUAUGAAAAUAAAAAUUAUAAUUAUAAAAAUACCCCUAAAUUUAAUUAAAAAUAAAUCCCAAAAUUACAAUUUUUAUUUUUUAAUAAAAAAUAUUUUAGUAAAAAAUUAUAAUUAUAAAAAUAAUUACAAAAUUUUGGGAUUUAAUAAAAUCCCCUAAAUUAUUAAAAUUUGAGGAUUUAUUUUUAAUAAAUAAAUUCAGUUAUUUUAAUUAAUUUUUACAAAAUUAUAAUUUAUAAUAAUAAAUUCAGUUAUUUUUAUUAAAAUAUUGUAAAAUUAUAAUUUUUUAAAAAAUUAGUAUUAAAAUUUUGUAAAAUCUAAAUUUAAUAAAAAUUAGCUGAGCACCUCUAUUUGAGAUUUAUGUCUUAUUAAAUUUAGGGGUAUUUUUUUAAUUAUAAUUUUUUUAUUUUCCAAGCUUUUAUAAAAUAAAAUGAUCUUUUAGUUUAUUUAGAGGUAAAUUUAUCAUUUUCUUUAAAUUAUUUAACGGUGUUAGUGCAAAAGUGGUUAAUAGAUACAAAUUUAAAAAAAAAAGGUGAAAAAAAUAUGUUAGAAUUUUAUGGUGGUUAGAUGAACAUAAGACAAAAGAGAAGUAGUACAGUGAUAAUUUUCCCAAAAACAAAAAUACUCACACAUAUUCCUGUAAUUUAAGAGUUAUUAAUUUAUUGGAUAUUGUAGACUAGUGGUGGUAUUUAUUAAUUUCAAUAAGAAAACUGACAAUCUCCCUUACUUCAUACUUAAUGCAAAUUCCUCGUAUUAAUUUGAAGUUACUUUGGCUAAUUUUAUGUAUUUGCUAGGUGUGAGUCGGAACUUACAAAUGAAGUUGUUAAUCACAUUUUGAAGAGAUUGGAUGAAGUGUUUCAGCCCCGUGAUAACAAAAACCAGCUGGUUGGAGUGGAAUCAACAGUUGAGGAAAUUGAAUCCCUAUUAGGUGUUGAGUCGAAAGAUGUUUACGCUUUAGGGAUUUGGGGCAUUGGUGGUAUAGGCAAAACAGCAAUUACUAGAGCUAUUUUCGACAAAAUCUCGGGUGAUUUUGAAGGUUCUUGCUUCCUCGAAAAUGUUAGAGAUGAGUCACAAAGACUAGGAGGAUUAGCUUGCUUACGACAAAAACUUCUUUCAAAUUUAUUGAAGGAUAAAAAUGCGAUGCCUUAUAUUGACCUCAAUUUUAGAAGGCUCAGCCGCAUGAAGGUUUUGAUUGUUUUUGAUGAUGUGAUUUGCUUCAGCCAAUUAGAAUCUUUAAUUGGAAGUCUUGAUUGGUUGACGCCUGUGAGUCGAAUCAUAAUAAUCACCAGAAAUAAACAAGUGCUUAGAAAUUGGGGGGUGAGGAAAAUCUAUGAGAUGAAGGCAUUAGAAUAUCAUCACGCUAUUGAGCUUUUUAGUCGACAUGCCUUCAAACAAAACCAUCCUGAUGUUGGUUAUGAGAAACUUUCAAGCAAAGUAAUGAAAUAUGCUCAAGGUGUUCCUUUAGCUCUUAAAGUUUUGGGUUGCUUUCUGCAUAAAAGGGAAAAAGAAGUCUGGGAAAGUGCAAUAGAUAAAUUGCAAAGAAUCCUCCAUCCAAGUAUUCUUGAGGUAUUAAAAAUAAGUUAUGAUAGUUUGGACGAUAAGGAGAAAAAUAUUUUCCUUGAUGUUGCUUGUUUCUUUCAAGGUGAGGAUGUAGAUCUAGUAAUGAAAUUUUUUAAUGCAAGUGGCUUCUACCCAGAAAUAGGAAUGAGUGUUCUUGUUGAUAAAUCUCUCAUUGCUAUUGAUUCAUACAACAAGAUAACAGUGCAUGAUUUACUACAAGAAUUGGGUCGGGAAAUUGUUCGACAAGAAUCAACUAAUCCUGAAAACCGCAGUAGGCUCUGGCAUCAUGAAGAUAUCUAUGAAGUUCUUACGUAUAAUACGGUAAGUAGUUUGUUGUGUAUUAUUAUUUUGGAACAAUGUAGUGUUUAAAAACUUCAUGUGAAUAUAUUUACAUACGCUCGCACUCGUGAGUCUUAGAAUUAAUGGAAGAGUGGCAAUGAUUAGAAAAAACAAUAGUGGUUAGAUGACGUAGCAAUAAAUUAUAAAUGCGACGACAAUUUGCAUAACCGUUUGCAAGCAUAAUUGAUAUGUAAAUUUGUCUAUUACACAUGCAGAAUUUUUAUGUUAAUUAUUACUUGUGUUAUUAUGUUUCUUAACUGCGUAGCAAUAACUAUAAACAUGAAUUAUUGAAAUUUGACUCGAGUAAUGACAGAGAGCCCCACUCCAAUCCCACAUAAACUCCAUGCAAGAAUAAAUAAAAAUUGAAUUAAUAACUAAGCUACCUCUAAUUGUAAAUUUGUGACAAAAUUGCCCCAAAUUGUUUUUCUUGGUGGGGUUGAAGUGCAAUUCAUUAGUGGAAUAUACAUAUCAUCUUCCAUUUGAUUUUAACUUUAUUUUUUUAUUUAUUUUUAGGGGACAGAAAAAAUUGAGGGCAUCUGUUUGGAUAUGUCAAAAGUAAAAGAGAUCCGUCUAAAUCCUAAUACUUUCACAAAGAUGCCUAAAUUGAGAUUUUUAAAGUUCUAUGGUUCAUCAGUCAAUGGAGAGAACAAAUGUAAGAUAUCUUAUUUGCAAGAUCCUAGAUUUGCUGAAGUGAAAUAUCUUCACUGGUAUGGAUAUCCGUUGAAGUCAUUGCCUUCAAACCUUAGUGCAGAGAAACUUGUGUUACUUGAAGUGCCUGAUAGUGACAUUGAACGACUUUGGGAUUGUGUGAAGGUAUGGAUAUCUUAUUAUACAUGUGCAAUCUUUCAAAUUACAACAUUAAAUUAUUAUACGCGGUAACGAUUUUGUCUUGGCCUCUUUUUUGACCGAGCAGCAUUAUAGUAAGCUAAACCAGAUAAUCCAUGCUGCCUGCAAUAAGCUAAUUGCCAAAACUCCAAAUCCCACGUUGAUGCCAAGUCUGAACAAGCUAGUUAUCUUGAAUCUAAGAGGUAGCAAAAGCCUGAAAAGUCUUCCAGCUAGAAUAUUUAAUUUGGAAUUUCUUAUCAAACUUGAUCUUUCGGGCUGCUCAAAACUGAAGAGGCUUCCGCAGAUCUUAUCAGGUAAUAUAAGCUGGUUACUUUUAAGGGGGACUGCAAUUAAAGAACUGCCCUCAUCAAUUGAGCUUCUACAUAGGCUCGGGUACUUGGACCUUUCAGAUUGUAAAAGUCUUAAGUGUCUCCCAAGCAGCCUAUGUAAGGUGAAAUCUCUUGGAGUUCUUGAUCUCAGUGGUUGCUCAAAUCUUGAGAGAUUGCACGAAUGUCUUGGCCAGUUAUCCUCGCCAAUGUUAUUGAAUCUAGCGAAAACCAAUAUUGAGAGAAUACCAGAAAGCAUUAUCCAACUUUUUGUGUUGCGAUACCUCCUCUUAAAUUAUAGUGAGAGGCUUCAAUCCUUACCAAAGCCUCCAUUCCUUGCACGAGGGUUAGAUGCCGAUCAUUGCCCACUGCAAUCAUUAUUAGGUUUAUUCUCUAAGUUCUGAAUCUUAUAGCAGUGUCUUUUGAGCAGAGCAAUAAUUUUAAAUUGAAAGGUCAUUGUACUGCAGGAAUUGUUGAAGAUGCCCUGAGAAUUCAGCAUAUGGGCCAUGUGCUAGCUGUCCGUUGGAAAGAAAUACGGGAAAAGGUGUCUUUAACUCUGUUUCCUUACAGUUUAUACAAUUUUUUUUUUUGGGUUUAAAGUUAUGAUUUUUUGGUACAGGGAGAUUUUUCCAUGGACAAAGGUCAUAUCGUACUACCUGGGAAUGAAAUUCCAAAGUGGUUUAAGUUUCAAAGUGUGGGAUCUUUUAUAACCUGGGAGAUGCCGCCAGAUUUCUUCAAUAAUAGCAGAGUACAGGGCAUUGUAUUUAGUGCUAUUUUAGCAUUUUCAGACCGUCAUGUAGAUUGUGGCAGAUGGUUUUCAUUUUCUUUUGAGCUCAAAGUGAAAACCACCAAAGAUUGUGGUCCGCAUGACACACGAUUAUUUCAGAGCAGAGUUAAUUAUGUAGAAUCAGAUCACUUACAUUUGGGGUACUAUCUGUUCUGUGAAGAGGAUUUUAAUGGUUUUUGGAAAUGCAAUUGCAUUCCUGAGGCUGUCCAAUUUAAUGUUUGUCCACCUUUGGAGUGCCAGUGCUGCGGGGUGAAAAAAUGUGGGAUCCAUUUACUUCACGCCCGAGAUUCUAUGAAUUCAAUGUAAGAUCCAAGCAGAUGUUUCAACUGUAACGUAGAAGACUGAUAUUUUCAUGAAUCUAUUUUUAUUGUUUUCCUUUUUCUAAUGAUUAUUAAUAAUAGGAGAAAAUGCUAAAAUCAAUUCUUGGAACAAAACAUUCAUGUAAUAACUUUGGAGGGAUCAGGUGCAUGCAAUUACCUUCGAGGGAUUUGGUGCAAGCAACACAAAUUCACACUAGAGCAUAGAACGUUACUUAUAAAUAAAAGUAAAAAGACAACCUAAAUGAAGGAGCACAUGAUUAUCUAUAAAUAAAAGUCGCAACAUUUUCUAUAAAUAGAAGUUACGCCAUUUUGUGAUCCAUAUAUCUUCUUGCACCACUCCUUUUUUUCUUUUUUUAUUUUAACCCCUCUUUCCUAAAACGAAUUUCUGCAUAAUACAUCUAUAUUUUAUGCAUCAAAUCCUUAAUAUAUUAUUUUUUGCAGGAACAAUAUAUUAAUUUUUCGUAAGUUUACAACAUACAAGGACAUUUAGGUUUGCUUUUGUUUGUGCAUAAUACAGGCAAAUAAACACAAGCACUUCAUUAUAUCAUGAAGGCAUAUUUACUUAACUUAUGUAUAUCACUCAAUUGGAAGAGGGAGUAAAUAACGUCUUGAGGAAAACAAUAUUGUGUCUCGCAGCACUGUUAAUUCAUACAGUUUACUAUUUUGAUUAUUAUUCUUUGUACCUAUAAAGUUUCAUCAAUUAUUUCUCCAAUUUUCCACAAUUAUUAUUCCCCACGAGUAUAUUUCCAAUAUUUUAUUUCACAUAUUUACUUCUGCUACUAGUGUGAUAAUAAAAGAUGCCUUUUUGAACUACAUCAGUUUCUAGAUCUAUUUUAUUGAGAAACUAACCGAACGCACCAUCCAUUAUUUAAUUUAUGGAUCAAAUAAGCCAUAAGUAGUUGAAAUAAAAUGUUUGUUUGGUAGAUAAUAUCGAUUUUUAAAAUAGUUUAAAAGAUUUUCAAACAUAAGAUACAAUAAUAUACAAUUGAAGCCUAGUCCAACAUAGAAAAUAAAAUAAAAUUAAUUUUCAUCACUACUCGAGAGACUCAAAGAGUACUAAGGUAGCAUUUUUUUUAAUUUAAAAUUUGAAUAGGCUUGAAUUUGGGUGAAGUCUUAACAUAAAUGUCUAAAUAAUAUGUUUAUUUUUUUUAAUAUCUGAAAAUAAAGUGACAUCUUAUUUUUUUUAUAAUUUUUUAAAAAAUAAACAUGGUUAUUUGACAUUUUUGUCCUUAUAAGUCAAAAUGAAUAAAUGGAUUAAACUUUAUAGUUUAAGAAAUAACUAUAUUUAAUAGAAAUAUCUUUAAGAUAUAGUAUUUACUUUCCAUUCAAUAUAUGUUUUCAUUUUGAUAAAAGUCAUAAAAUUCACUUUUUGUAUUCAAAUGUAAAUAUCUAAAACUUAGACAUAAGUUCCCAAAAAACAAAUAAAUAAAUAAACAAGCAACAUUAAGGGAAAAAAAAAGGUUACGUAGCUUUUGUUUUAAACAUAUAUGAUAAAUAAGACAAUUUUCAAAAUUAAAUACAAUUAACUGAGAGACGAGGACUGAUACGAUAAAUUGAGCGAUAAAAAUUAAAAUAUCUCCUUGGUCGUUGCUGAUAGUUUUGACUUGUGAGUGUGAAAGCACAGAAGCCGUGUGUUGAAAGUAUGGUGUUCAUGUGGAAAUUUCAGCAAAAAGUCCACAAAGUAAAUUCAGUCAUCGUACAGUCCACGGUGCUUGGACAAUGAGAUGUUGAAAAAUUAUCACGGAACUUCAAGGGAGGUUCAUAGCAUCGAUUUAUUCUACAGAGUCACGCACAUUGGAUUCAAUAAUUGUUUUCCUCCCAUCAAAAUCGAUUUAUUCUAUGAGUAUGAAAGCACAGAAGCCGUAUGUUGAAAAGUCUGGUGUUCAUGUGGAAUUAAUCAAUCAUCGUGGAGUGCACGGUGGUUGGACAAUGAGAUGAAAUUCAAAAAUUAUCACGGUACUUGAAGGAAGGUUCAUGGCAUCGAUUUAUUCUACAGAGUCGUUCACAUUUAGUUCAAUAAUUGUUUUCAUCCGAAUCAAAAUAUCUCUCUAAUCAAUUCAACUGUUUCUGUUGAUUAUGGCUUCUUCUUCUCGAAACAACAAGAAGUAUGAUGUUUUUGUUAGUUUCAGAGGAGAGGACACCCGGGACAACUUUACUAGCCAUCUCUAUUCUGCUGUGUGUCGACAAAAUAUCCAAACUUUCAUUGAUGACCAACUUAACAGAGGAGAUGAAAUUUCGGAGUCACUUGUGAAUGCAAUUGAAGCAUCAGCCAUUUCAGUUAUCGUCUUCUCAGAGGGGUAUGCAUCUUCCAGAUGGUGUCUCGAUGAACUUGUCAAGAUCCUCGAGUGCAAGAAAGAGUAUGCACAGAUUGUGAUUCCGGUUUUCUAUCGGGUUGAUCCAUCACACGUGAGAAACCAAACUGGGAGUUUUGGGGAUUCAUUUUCGAAGCUCGAAGAAAGAUUAAAGGAGAAUACUGAGAAGCUGCGGAGUUGGAGGAAAGCGUUGAAGGAAGCAGCCAGUUUGUCUGGCUUUCAUUCUCUUAACAUCAGGUGAAAUUGAAAAGUUACCUUUAAUUUCUCAUACUAAUAUUUAACAAUAAAUAAAAUUCACGCAGCACUCUUAGUUAAAUUUCCAGAUGCUAAACUACAAUUUUAAAUAUUUUUAAGCAUCAAAUUCUUGACUUCCUCACUUUUGUGCUCUAUAAUUAUAAAAUAAUUUUGAUAGAAUUAAUAAUAAAAGCAAGAGAAUUUUACAAUAUAUAUCUAACAAAAUUAGUGGUGCUCUAUAGUUUUUUAAGCAAUUUCAACCUCUCACUCAUAUACCACGAUUAAAAAAAAAAAAAAAAAACUCACGCAUAUUCCUGCAACUUAAAAGUUAUCAAUUUAUUGUGAGAUUGUAGACUUAUAGUGGUAUAUAUUAAUUUCAAUAGGAAAAUUGACAAUCUACCUUAUUUCAUAUUUAAUGCAAAUUCCUCCUAUUAAUUAAUUUGAAGUUACCGCGGCUAAUUUUAUGUAUUUGCUAGGCGUGAGUCGGAACUUAUAAAUGAAGUUGUUAAUCACAUUUUGAAGAGAUUGGAUGAAGUGUUUCGGCCGCGUGAUAACAAAAACCAGCUGGUUGGAGUGGAAUCAAAAGUUGAGGAAAUUGAAUCUCUAUUGGGUGUUGAGUCUAAAGGUGUUUACGCUUUAGGGAUUUGGGGCAUUGGUGGUAUAGGCAAAACAGCAAUCGCUAGAGCUAUUUUCGACAAAAUCUCGGGUGAUUUUGAAGGUUCUUGCUUCCUCGAAAAUGUUAGAGAAGAGUCACAAAGACCAGGAGGAUUAGCUUGCUUACGACAAAAACUUCUUUCAAAUUUAUUGAAGGAUAAAAAUGCGAUUCCUGGUAUUGACCUCAAUUUUAGAAGGCUCAUCCACAUGAAGGUUCUGAUUGUUUUUGAUGAUGUGACUUGCUUCAGCCAAUUAGAAUCUUUAAUUGGAAGUCUUGAUUGGUUGACGCCUGUGAGUCGAAUCAUAAUAACCACCAGAAAUAAACAAGUGCUUAGAAAUUGGGGGGUGAGGAAAAUCUAUGAGAUGAAGGCAUUAGAAUAUCAUCACGCUAUUGAGCUUUUUAGUCGACAUGCCUUCAAACAAAACCAUCCUGAUGUUGGUUAUGAGGAACUUUCAAGCAAAGUAAUGAAAUAUGCUCAAGGUGUUCCUUUAGCUCUUAAAGUUUUGGGUUGCUUUCUACAUAAAAGGGAAAAAGAAGUCUGGGAAAGCGCAAUAGACAAAUUGCAAAGAAUCCUCCAUCCAAGUAUUCUAGAGGUAUUAAAAAUAAGUUAUGAUGAUUUGGACGAUAAAGAGAAAAGUAUUUUCCUUGAUGUUGCUUGUUUCUUUCAAGGUGAGCAUGUAAAUCCCAUAAUGAAAUUCUUUAAUGCAAGCGGCUUCUACCCAGAAAUAGGAAUAAUUGUUCUUGUUGAUAAGUCUCUCAUUGCUAUUGAUUCACACAAAAGGAUAACAAUGCAUGAUUUAUUACAAGAAUUGGGUAGGGAAAUUGUUCGACAAGAAUCAAUUAAUCUGAAAAACCGCAGUAGAUUGUGGCAUCAUGAGGAUAUCUACGAAGUUCUUACAUAUAAUAUGGUAAGCAGUCUGUUGUGGAUUAUUUUUUUGGAAUAUUGUAGUGUUUCAAAACUUGAUGUGAAUAUAUUUAUAUACGCUCGAGCAAAUGAGUCUUAGAAUUAACAGAAGAGUGACAAUGAUUAGAAACACAAUAGUGGUUAGAUGAUGUAGUAAUAAAUUAUAAAUGCGAUUGACAACUUGCAUAACCGUUUGCAAGCAUAAUUGAUAUAUAAAUUUGUAUAGUACACAUACAGAAUUUUUAUGUUAAGUAUUACUUGUGCUAUUAUAUUUCUUUGUGCAUUUGCAAUUAAGAGUUUAACUGCCUAGCAAUAACAAUAAACAUGAAUUAUUGAAAUUUAAUUUGAGUAAUGAUGGAGAACCCCACUCCAAUCUGACAUAAACGCCACACAAGGACAAAUUAAAGUUGAAUUAAUAACCAAGCUACCUUUAAUUGUGAAUGAGUGACAAACUUGCCCCAAAAAUUUGUCUUGGUGGAGCUGAAGUGUUAAUCAUUAGUGGAAUAUCAAUAUCAUUUUUCAUUUGAUGUUAACUUUAUUGAUUUUUUUAUUUAUUUUUAGGGGACAGAAAAAAUUGAGGGUAUCUGUUUGGAUAUGUCAAAAGUAAAAGAGAUCCAUCUAAAUCCCAAUAUUUUCACAAAGAUGCGUAAAUUGAGAUUUUUAAAAUUCUAUAGUUCAUCAUUCAAUGGGAAGAACAAAUGCAAGGUGUCUUAUUUGCAAGAACUCGGAUUUGCUGAAGUGAAAUAUCUUCACUGGCAUGGAUAUCCGUUGAAGUCAUUACCUUCAAACCUUAGUGCAGAGAAACUUGUGUUUCUUGAAGUGCCUAAUAGCGACAUUGAACAACUUUGGAAUGGUGUGAAGGUAUGUUUACCUUAAUAUAUAUGUGCAAUCUUUCAAUAAGAACGUUAAAUUAUCAUACAUAGUAAUGAUUUUAUCUUUGCCUCUUUUUUGACCGAGCAGCAUUAUAGUAAGUUAAACCAGCUAAUCCAUGGUGCCUGCAAGAAGCUAAUUGCCAAAACUCCAAACCCCACGUUGAUUCCACAUCUGAACAAGCUAGUUAUGUUGAAUCUAAGAGGUAGCAAAAGCCUGAAAAGUCUUCCAGCUGGAAUAUUUAAUUUGGAAUUUCUUACUGAACUUGAUCUUUCGGGUUGUUCAAAGCUGAAGAGGCUUCCAGAGAUCUCAUCUGGUAACGUAGGCAAGCUAUUUUUAAGUGGAACUGCAAUUGAAGAACUACCCUCAUCAUUUGAGCUUCUACUUAGGCUUUGGUUGUUAGACCUUUCAGAUUGUAAAAGGCUUAAGAGUCUCCCAAGCAGCCUCUGUAAGUUGAAGUCUCUUGGACUUCUUAGUCUCCGUGGUUGCUCAAAUCUUCAGAGAUUGCCCGAAUGUCUUGGCCAAUUAUCCUCGCCAAUAAUAUUGAAUGUAGCGAAAACCAAUAUUGAGAGAAUACCACAAAGCAUUAUCCAACUUUUCGUGUCGGGAUACCUCCUCUUAAGUUAUGGUGAGAGGUUCCAAUCCGUACAAAAGCCUUCAUUCCUUGAACGAGGUUGCUUGGCACUGCAACCAUUUUUAGGUUUGUUCUCUAAGUUAUGAAUCUUACAGGCAAUUUUUUUUUACCGGAGCAAUAAUUUUAAAUUGGAAGGUAAUUCUACUGCAGGAAUUGUUGCAGAUACCCUGAGAAUUCAGCAUACGAACUAUAUGCCAGCCAUACAUUGGCUAGGAAUAUGGCAAGAAGUAUGGCUAAAUGUGUGUCUUUAACUCUCUCUAUUUACAAUUUCUACAAUCUUUGUUUUUUUUUUGGGUUUAAAAUUAUGUUUUUUUGGUACAGAGAGGUUUUUCCAUGGGCAAAGGUCAUAUAGUACUACCUGGGAAUGAAAUUCCAAAGUGGUUUGAGUUUCAAAGUGUGGGAUCUUUUAUAACCUUGGAGAUGCCGCCAGAUUCCUUCAAUAAUAGCAGGGUGCAGGGCAUUGCAUUUAGUGCUAUUUUAGCAUUUUCAGACCGUCAUGUAGAUUGUAGCAGAUGGUUUUCAUUUUCUUUUGAGCUCAAAGUGAAAACCACCAAAGAUUGUGGUACGCAUGACACACGAUUAUUUCAUAGCAGAGUUAAUUAUGUAGAAUCAGAUCACUUACAUUUGGGGCACUAUCUGUUCUGUGAAGAGGAUUUUAAUGGUUUUUGGAAAUGCAAUUGCAUUCUUGAGGCUGUCCACUUUAAUGUUUUUCCACCUUUGGAGUGCCAGUGCUGCGGGGUGAAAAAAUGUGGGAUCCAUUUACUUCACACCCCAGAUCCUACGUCAAUGGAAGACCCAAGCACAUGUUUCAACUGUAACGAAGAAGACUGAGAUAGGUGUCAUUUUCACUCAACUCACCUGAGUUGUGAAUCCAUUUGCUUAAACAUGUAUGCACUUUUUCAAGUAUCUCUACCAAUUCCAUAUUUGGAAUGGUGCAUUUGAUUCCAUAGUUGAUGUGAUAUCGUCUAUGGUUAGAAUUUAUAUUUACAAAAUGACUUGUAAGGAAAGGAUUGAAGAUGCCUGUGAACUUAUAUUUCGAUUUAGAUUAUUGUAUCUUUUUCAUGUAUAAAAUUGGAUCCUAUCAUUCACAUAUCAUUGACAUGAGCAAUAUGGAUUACUAAAUCAUUAUUCUUUAUUAUUGUGCUGAAUUUGAUUUUUUAUUGAAUAAUUUGAUAUAUUUCUUUAAUCAAUUUGGAGCUUCUACAACUUGUCAGAGAUCAGUUUCUCCAACAUUCCUUUCGGUGCCAAAAGAUAACCAAGCGGUUGAAUAAGAAUUGAUAUAUACAACAUAAAUAGAAGAGUUGUUUUGUCUUUUUACAAUAGGAAUAAUAUUUAAUGCUCGUUAAAACUUGCUGAUGAGAAAGUAAAUUUCUCAGAAAUUAAAUGUUUCAGCCAACCAAGGAAGCAUCUUUUCAUGGACCAACUCAGGCCUGUCGUCAUGGGGGCAAUGUCCUACUCCUUCCAAUACAAUUAACUUCACAUUUGAGAGUUUAGAAGGCAGAUAUGAGAAGUAUUUACCAACAGGUCCAUCGAGGGGUGUGAAUGGAUCCUCAUCACCCCAUAAAACUAGUACAUGUAUAGAGAUUGAUGGCAUCAAUUGAACUGGGUUCGGCCCUGGUGGGCCUGUUACAAUCGAAACAAAUGCAUCAAGUGCCCCUUCCUCAUUGGCAGGCUCUCGUAUGAUCUGCAGUUUUGAGGUUGAUACCUCAACCAGUGUUUCAUCCACAGAUUCCUUAUUUGCAUAGAUCGACAGUAAAAUAUUCCUCAGUGAUUCCCUGAAGCACCAAUGUAUACACAUCAUAGAUUUUUUUAAUUUUGACUCUAGUGUUUUAGGAUAAUGAACAAUGGACUGAAUAAAGAGAAGAGAAAAUACCUUUGUUUCACACGCUCAAAUAUAGCAGAAGCAAUUGGCCUUUGCUUCAACAAAAAAUCAAUGAACCAAAGCAAUGGUAACAAUAGCUUGAUUCUCCAAUCAUCAACAAUUGCCUUGUUGUUCAUGCCACCAGCACAAUUCAACAGAACAAGCCCUCGAACAAGGGGUUGACUAGAUUCUUAUGGUAGAAAAUAUAGCAGGUUUAUCGUAAACCAUAGAUACCAAAAAGAUAAUUAGGGACAGUGUUUCUUUUGCAACAGUUGAAGAAUAUCUGAUGUCCAAGGGGANNNNNNNNNNNNNNNNNNNNNNNNNNNNNNNNNNNNNNNNNNNNNNNNNNNNNNNNNNNNNNNNNNNNNNNNNNNNNNNNNNNNNNNNNNNNNNNNNNNNAGGCAGCAAUAACACAAGCUAGGCUUCCAACAGAGUUACCUAUAAGCACAGUUGGCUUCUUAACAACUUCAUCCAAUAAAUCCAAUAUUAUCUGUAUCAGUGAAUCUCACUCAAGUUAGCAAGGAAAAUAACUAAAGGUUAAGUGAUUGAUGACGUAAGUACAUAGAAAGAUCCAACUUCUGGGUAGGGAACAUUGCACACCUGAACCCAUGCCUCCCUGGUAUAUGAAUAACCAGCUGGCUUAUCUGAAGCACCAAAUCCAAGAAGGUCAAUUGCAUAAACCGUGUAGCUCUUCGCCAGGGUGCCGAUAUUCCUGAAAUUACCUCAGAGAUGACAAGAAAAAUAUCAAUUCCUCACAUUAUUUAAUAGGAUAAAGGAGUAGUGAACACACAAAUUGUCAUUCCCCUCUUCUACGAAGCGGUAAAAUGAAUACUUUUUCACUAGAUUAAGAAUUGGAAAAUGGAAGAAGCCUAUACCCAUAAAAGGGUAAUAUGAAAUGGAACCCUGAAAUUCAGAUCACUGGUUUGUCAUCAUCUAGGUGCAAGGAAUAGAACUAAGUGUUAAUGCCAAUGCACCAUGAAAUAAUGAAUAGACUUUACUUUCAUUAUUCUUUUGCUUCAUUGAUCUUAAUUAAUUAUUAGAAGUAUAACACAUAUAAAUCCAUCCCUGGAGUUCAUAAUACAUAACAGAGUCAGAGAUAUUACAUACAUAAGUGUUUGAGGGAAAUACUUCGGUGAGACCAGACGUGAUGAACAGAUGUUUGGUGGCAGAAUUCUGCGAGCAGGUGUCUCCUGUAAGAGCCAGGUAGCAAGGGAACAGGAGCAGGAAUAUUCUGCUCGUCCACGAAUAUGCCAUUCGCGAGGCCGAACCCUUGCUAGAGGCAUAGGGUCACUCCCGCUAGGGUUCGAGGAGAGGAGACCCGGUCAACGGCAGUUGGCGAGACGUGCCUUCCUAUCCGAGAAUCAAGGCACGAGGUCCAUCUCCAUUCGCCCAUCAUGACGAUAAUGGGACAUCCACAUCCGAGCAUGGGGAGAACAACGGGCGUAAGCUGCGGAAGACCGGGACUCAGAGGAAGCCUAUAAAAAGGUAGCCAACGAAGGUAAAAGGGUUAGCAAUUUUGAGAUUAGAAGAGAAAUAAAAGCAAUUCUAAAGAAGAGAAAACUACCCAAAAGCCAUAAAAUCUGUGGCAAGCAUUCCCCGAACCUUCAUAUCUGACUUGAGCGUCGGAGGGUUUGUGCCGGGAAAACAACCGGCGUACUCUGACCUGUCUGUGUGCGCAGGAACCUCUGGAGAAGAAUCUUUACGAGGAGAGAUCCUGGUCGUGGUGAAGUUGAUCGAGCAGAGACCCUGGUCGUAGAACGAGGACAACCAGAAUCUCGCAUCAACAUUUUGGCGCCGUCUGUGGGGAGCUGAGCAAAAAGCUUCUGUUGAUAGCAAGAAGAGAAGGGAAGCAGCUGAAAAGCAAUGGAGACAGGAGGAAGUAGUACACAAGGGGGUGAUAUGAGGCUUAACGAUUCCGUAACGCUGAGGGAGAUAGCCAGUGAAGCACGGGAAAAAGCCAUGUUCGACCGAAUGGAACGGAUGGAAAAGCAGAUGGAGACCUUGACAACCAUCCUGCAUGAGCUGCGAAGCGAACGAAGGGUAACCCAGGAAGAAAGGGUGAGAGGUGAUAGAGUGGCACCAGGUCCGGAUAAUACGAGGAGAAGUCAGACCAUCGGGAGAUUUGGUGAGGAAAGAGGUAACAUACCCCAGCGAGGAGAAUUCCAUAGAGAGGGAGAGCAGUCCCCGGCAAGACAGAUUUUUGACGAGGACGAUGGGGUGGCGAACGCAGAGGAAACAGUGCUGAGGCAACAUUUACAUAAUGUAGAGCAAGAGCGGGAUCAAGUUGCAGCACGUGACCCUAGUCGUGCAGUGCAGCUGGAGGAGGAAGUGCGCAGACUAGCGCAGAUAAUUGACGACAUGCAAGGGAGGAGCAGAGCUCCUGGUUGGAGGAUAAUGCUGGACGGAGAAUCACUGCUCGCAGCAGAGAUCAUGAGGGCAGUUAUUCCGAGAGAUUUCCGCCUCCCAGACCUAAAAUAUUCGGGAAGAACUGAUCCGCUGGUACACAUAGAGCGCUUCAACGACAUAACUGGGGUACAAGAAUUAUCUCAAUCCCAAAGGUGCAGAGUGUUCCCACUAUCCCUUGAGGGACGUGCACGAGAGUGGUACAGGAAACUUCCUCGGGGCAACAUUAAAACCUUCGAGCAAAUGUGCCAGGAAUUUGCGGAGCAGUUUAGUGGGGCAAUGGCACCAGAAGAUGACAUGAUGGAGCUGAAAAGCAUGAAACGGGGAGAGCAAGAAACCCUUCGGGAAUUCAUCAAGAGGUUUCAUCGUGCUGUCCUCGACUUGGGAGCCUUCAACCACCCUCAGUCGUUAAGGGGGUUGAAAGAAGGGGUGAAGAUAGGAAGGCUGUGGUACAACUUAAGAAGCCCAAUUAUUCAGACGUAUGCGGCCGCAUACGAGCAGGCUAAGAGAGACAUUGAGAUUGAAGAGGAGAAGGCCGCACAGAUUAAAACAGACCAGUUAGAAGGGUUGGGGAGGAAAUAGAAGAGAGCAUUACCAGGGAAUGGGCCGAUCAGGAGGAGGGACCACCAGACCUCGGGUAGUGGAGCAGGAGGUCGGGUAACUGCUUACCAACCCCAUCAGAGGCCACCACAGUAUCAGCGCAGCAGGGCGCAACCUCCUCGUUCCCCAGCUAGGGAGCCUUGGAGAAGACAUGAUUCGGCAUAUGGUGGUCUUCAUCAACAUUCCCACGGUAGCAGAGGGAGCAGACCAGAAUUACUGCCAACGCCCUCAACUCAGAACGGAGCAAACAGAGAAAGAGCAGUGCACCUGAUCGACCAGAACCAGGACUAUGGGCGGUAUACUUCCUUGAAGAUGUCCCUGGAUGAGGUGUAUGAAGCCAUAAAGGAUCGAGGGCUGCUGUACCUCCCUGCCCCAAUAACAAAGCCAUCCAGCAGGAGGGAUAGGGGACGCUAUUGUAAGUUCCAUGGCACUCAUGGCCACACCACAGCAGAUUGCAAGGAUCUCAGGACCCAGGUUGAAGAUUUGGUGAGAAAUCGGUAUCUGGACGAGUUUAUAGAUGGGACAUUCCCAAUGGUAGCAUCAACAAAUGAAGGGGAGCAGAGUGACAGGAAUUUGAGGCGCGAGCAGCCUACAGUAAGGGUGAUAGCUGGGGGGCCCAACAUUGGCUGGAGAUUCCAACAGGUCGAGGAAGAAUUAUGCUAGAUACGCCAUGAUCGGCAAAGAGGUAUUCUUCAACACCCCAGCAGCCAAACGUGCAAGAGUUAGGCAAGUGCCAAUCAUGUGGACAGAUGAGGAUGAGGAAGGGAUUUUAUACCCUCACGAGGAUGCUUUGGUCAUCAAGGCCACUGUUGCUAGCAAGAAGUUUGACAGGAUACUGGUUGACACAGGGAGCUCAGUUGACGUAUUGUUUAAGUCAACCCUGGAGGAGAUGGGAAUAGCAGACCGGAAGUUGGAAUAUACCAACACCUCCUUGAAAGGGUUUGAAGGAGGAAAGCUGAUCCCUCUGGGCCUGGUCGAGCUGCCUAUCACAAUUGGGAGCUCCCCGACAGAAAGGACAAUGAUGCUGGACUUUGUGGUGGUAGACGAAGAAGGCCCUUACCAGAUGAUCCUAGGCCGGCCAUUUCUGAGGAUGAGCAAAGCGGUGCUGUCCAACCAUUAUCUGGCUCUGAAGUACCGGGUGAAUGGGGUAGUUGGAGUGGUACGAGGAGACCAGAGGAUCACAAGAAGCUGCUACUCCUCGGCAGCAAGGGAAGCAAUGCAGAUAACAUCCCUCGAUACCCGAGUAGAAAACAAGAAGGGCCAUAUAGAGUCAAGCAGAUGGUGGGACCCGGAGCUUACAAGUUGGUUCGCACGGACGGCCACGAGGUGAAACGCCCAUGGAACGCAGCACACCUCCGAAAAUACUUCCAGUAAGACUUGUUCACAUUUUAAAGCAAUUUCUGCUCGUGCUCUUUAUCUUUUAUUUUUAUGUUUUACGUCAAAGCAAGUUCAUGUAAAAUCAAAACCUGCAAUUAAUGGAACGUCGAGGAAUGUCAUUCACUUGAAACUGUGAUAAAUUUUCUAAGGCAUGCAAAGGCUCGUGAAGUCUCAAGGCCUGUUUUAUGGCGAGACAGAAGCCAAGCAUGCCAGGAUCUGCUCGACCACGUGAAGGCGAGCAGAAUCCCCAAGCAUCGAAGAAGUCACUAAGGCAUGCAAAGGCUCACCAAGUCUCAAAGCCUGUUUUAUGGCGAGACAGAAGCCAAGCAUGCCAGGAUCUGCUCGGCCACGAGAAGGCUAGCAGAAUCCCAAGCUUUGAAGAAAUCAUCUAAGGCAUGCAAAGGCUCACCAAGUCUCAAAGCCUGUUUUAUGGCGAGACAAAAGCCAAGCAUGCCAGGAUCUGCUCGGCCACGAGAAGGCUAGCAGAAUCCCAAGCUUUGAAGAAAUCAUCUAAGGCAUGCAAAGGCUCGUCAAGUCUCAAAGCCUGUUUAUGGCGAGACAGAAGCCAAGCAUGCCAGGAUCUGCUCGGCCACGAGAAGGCUAGCAGAAUCCCAAGCUUUGAAGAAAUCAUCUAAGGCAUGCAAAGGCUCGACAAGUCUCAAAGCCUGUUUAUGGCGAGACAGAAGCCAAGCAUGCCAGGAUCUGCUCGGCCACGAGAAGGCUAGCAGAAUCCCAAGCUUUGAAGAAAUCAUCUAAGGCAUGCAAAGGCUCACCAAGUCUCAAAGCCUGUUUUAUGGCGAGACAGAAGCCAAGCAUGCCAGGAUCUGCUCGACCACGUGAAGGCGAGCAGAAUCCCCAAGCAUCGAAGAAGUCACUAAGGCAUGCAAAGGCUCAUCAAGUCUCAAAGCCUGUUUCAUGGCGAGACAGAAGCCAAGCAUGCCAGGAUCUGCUCGACCACGUGAAAGCGAGCAGAAUCCCCAAGCAUCGAAGAAGUCACUAAGGCAUGCAAAGGCUCACCAAGUCUCAAAGCCUGUUUUAUGGCGAGACGGAAUCCAAGUAUGCCAGGAUCUGCUCAACCACGUGAAGGCGAGCAGAAUCCCCAAGCAUCGAAGAAGUCACUAAGGCAUGCAAUGGUUCACCAAGUCUCAAAGCCUGUUUUAUGGCGAGACAGAAGCCAAGCAUGCCAGGAUCUGCUCGACCACGCAAAGGCGAGCAGACUCCAAAGCAUUCGAAAAAUUUUCAAAGGCAUGUAAAGACUCGCCAAUUCUCAAAGCCUGUUUUAUGGCGAGACAGAAGCCAAGCGUGCCAGGAUCUGCUCGACCACACGAAGGCGAGCAGAAUCUCAAGCAUUGAAGAAUUUUCCAAGGCAUGUGGCGAAACCAUAUGCCAAGCCAGAACUUGCUCAAUCAGACGAAGACGAGCAGAUUCUCAAACGAAAAAUAACUCAUGAUUACAACACAAGAAAGUAAUCAAAAAACAUUUUUUAAUUUGUUAAUAAUUAACAGAGGAGAGAAUCUUCACUAACAUGGUUCAUUACAAGACAAGAAAUAUAUCAAGAAGAUGGUGGAUCAGUAAGCCGAGCAGUGUCGGCGGGCUGGGCCUCCUCAGGUGCGGGGGGGGUAUCACCAGUUGCGUCUGGGGGGUGCUCGCCUCGCCAACAUCAACAGGGAUUGCACGAGGAGGAGAGCUUUCCUCCUCAAUCACGAUUGGCUCCACCCCUUGGGCAUUUUCCUUGGCAGCCUUUUCCAGUCCCACGCGACCAAGAACCACUGAGUUUCUACUGCUGGUCCAUUACAUUACCCAACACCAGAAACUGGGGGACCGGUGUUUGAGGGAAAUACUUCGGUGAGACCAGACGUGAUGAACAGAUGUUUGGUGGCAGAAUUCUGCGAGCAGGUGUCUCCUGUAAGAGCCAGGUAGCAAGGGAACAGGAGCAGGAAUAUUCUGCUCGUCCACGAAUAUGCCAUUCGCGAGGCCGAACCCUUGCUAGAGGCAUAGGGUCACUCCCGCUAGGGUUCGAGAAGAGGAGACCCGGUCAACGGCAAUUGGCGAGACGUGCCUUCCUAUCCGAGAAUCAAGGCACGAGGUCCAUCUCCAUUCGCCCAUCAUGACGAUAAUGGGACAUCCACAUCCGAGCGUGGGGAGAACAACGGGCGUAAGCUGCGGAAGACCGGGACUCAGAGGAAGCCUAUAAAAAGGUAGCCAACGAAGGUAAAAGGGUUAGCAAUUUUGAGAUUAGAAGAGAAAUAAAAGCAAUUCUAAAGAAGAAAAAACUACCCAAAAGCCAUAAAAUCUGUGGCAAGCGUUCCCCGAACCUUCAUAUCUGACUUGAGCGUCGGAGGGUUUGUGCCGGGAAAACAACCGGCGUACUCUGACCUGUCUGUGUGCGCAGGAACCUCUGGAGAAGAAUCUUUACGAGGAGAGAUCCUGGUCGUGGUGAAGUUGAUCGAGCAGAGACCCUGGUCGUAGAACGAGGACAACCAGAAUCUCGCAUCAACAAUAAGGUAAAGACAUGCUCCAUACAAAAAAAAAUUAUUACAGUCGAAAGUACCCAGAACAUAAUUUGAAUUGAAUUCACAAUAAAGGAGCUACAUUUUUUUGCACUCAAUAAUCAACCCACUAGACAAUUCACAACAAGAAAGAGCAAUCUUAUCUCGCUAACCUGUGCCAGUGAGGAAUGGGGGUACCAAAGCCAUGGACAAGGAGUAGAGGAGGAGAAUCGGGAUGUGAAUUUGGAGUUGAAGAAACCAAGUAAUUGAUGGAGUACUGACCCUUCCAUUUCCACAUUUUGCAACUCUCCCUUAUCUCAUUAACCUCCAGUUCUAGUGCAGCAGAAGCAGAAUCCCCUCCACUGCUACUGUUAGUAUAACUGAUGGUAACAUUUUGUCUCUUCUUCUUCUCCUUAUUCCUCUGCUGCAACUCCAACUGCAACUGAAACUGCCAACUCUUAUUGCUCAAUAGGGGCAAGCGCAGGCCUUUUACAUCUCCAUUUCCAUUUCCAAUCCUGAGUGUUGUUAUUGAAAUAAUGAAAGAGGGAGCCCGAGCCCUUACCAUCCACACGCUCAUUCUUUUCUUGCUUUUUCAAUUGAAUAUUUUCUGUGGCCUGGCUUGGUCUGCUCCUCCCCUGCUUCCACCUCUAUGAGACUGUGGCUAUGACAAAAACUUUUUAUGUCCUUAUUUAUUUAUUGGGCUUGUUCCACUAUUAUAUGAAAAUUUUACUGAUAUUCCUCAAAAAUCAAAAUGACAAUACUUCGUCUAAAAAAUAAUUAUAAAACAUACAUGCUAUGUUUUAAAAUUUUCAAACAAAGAAGAACUUAGUAGAGUUAAUUAACUAGAUUUAUUUUAGUUUACUUUCUUGUGAUUUAGAUUAUUUUAUUAUAUUUAGCUACAAAGAUUAUUUUGUCAUGAGUUUAAAUUGAUUGUUUUACCCUUAUAAGGUAAAACUAUUAAGAAUUUACUUAAUUUCAAUAUUUUUCUAAUUUUAUUCCAAACUCAUUGUUUCUAAUACUACUUUACUAGUAUGAGUUUUAAUCUUUAAUUAAACUAAAAUAGUAUCUUUAGGGCACGAUACUCAUGUAAAUUAUUGGGAUGUCAAUUUUAUGUUAUUUACACACUAAAGUAGAGAAAAUCACAAUUAAAUUUUAUUUUAAAAUAUUAUAUUAUAAGCCACAAAAUUAGAUACAUAAAUUAUUAGAUAAAAUAACUCGUGUUUAUUAUGGUAAUUUAGUCGCUAUAUAUCAUAAUUAUAAAAUACUAAAAUAAAACUUGUAUUAAAGUUUAUGAUUAAAGAUGGUCAAAGAACCCAAGAAGAAAAUCGAUAGAAGGAUCUAAUUUAUUAACUAUACGAAAUUUUUAUUAAUUUGUAUUUUUUAAAAAAUAUUGUGAAUUCAUUGCAAUUAAUAUCUAGAAAUAGGGUGGAUUUAUAAAAAUAGUGGGGUGUAAAUAACCUUAUCCAAAUACUCCAUAAAAAGUGAAAAUUAUUACCCUUUUCGAUGUACUUCUCUUAAAUUUUUUAUUCCUAAGGAUAAACUUCAAUUCAUUCCCAAAUAAAAUGAUAAUCUCUAAUUUGCUCUCAAUGAAACCUCAAUUUAUUCUUUAUUUUCGUCCAAAAGAUGAGGGGCAAAUAAGAAAUGUAUUGAUGGAUUUCUUUUUUUUAAUCUUCUUAACAAUAAAUGGGGUAAAUUAAUAUUUUUCUACUUUUAGGUGAUAAAUUAAAGAUUUUCAUUCUGAAUUGGGGGCAAAUUAAAAUCUAUCUUAUUUCUAAAGGCACCAUGUGACUAUUUUGCCUAACCAAGAGAACCAUUAUUCAAACACCAAUCGCAUUUUUUUUUUAACAAACACACUUUCAUUUAUUCUUUAAGCUUUUUUUUUUCCCAAAAAAUGAUGAAUAGAUAUUGAAAAUUUUGUUUUCAUUUUUUUAUUGAAAAAAUGAAAAACAACAAAGAUUACUGCUUCCUUGUCCAUACUUUUUCGUCCUAUAUUACCUUAAUUUUAAUCGUUUUCUCUAUUUUUAUUUUUAUAGUCCAAUUCUGAAAAUACACUAUUAGACACAUUUUUAAAUUUAAAAACACAAAACAUAGUGCAUCAUUUUCAUUAUAGGCAUUAACACCUGACGUACACAUUCUCCAAAUGGGAUUAAUGGAAAAAAAAUAAAUAAAUAAAGGUGAGUCCUUCGGCCAAUCUUAUAGGUUCUAACGUUUUGAAGGUAAGUUUUAUCUUGUAACAUUCCCACAAAAUUUAAAAUCAACUGGGACGAAAAUUUUGAAAAUACUAUGAUUAGCACAAGCAUUUCAACAAUAGAGGAUGUAAUAAAAGCUCAUUGAGUUGAAACUUGAAAGCAAAAUUAGGGCAAGGUCAUUUCUUUAAAAGAAUAAGGCAAGAUGCACGACAUGAAAUACCUGUGCCAAGCCUCAAAAGAUUCACCAAGCCCAGUAUUUUGCUUGCCCACGGCAUAAUUACACUUGGCUUCCCAAACAAAUAAUUGCUGGAGCUCGGACAAUGCUAGUAUUCAAUUUAACUUCAUAAAUAUCAGCCGGAGCAUAAUUACACUUGGCUCCCUAACAAAUAAUGCUGGAGCUCGGACAAUACGAGUAUUCAAUUUAACUGUACAUAGAUGCGCGGGGUUUUGGGGGUAAGUAAAAAGACGUGCCACUAUCAGUUGAGGAGUGCAUAAGAGAGUUACAUCUAUCAAAUACUAUCCGGCCCCCUCGGCCAAUUCUUCCAUGAAAUUUGUGAGUUCGUGCUAUAGUGCCAUUCCUCGUAGAAGAAUCUGACGGCGGAACAAUACCUGCAGCGUCCAAUUUUUCUGGCACAAGGGGUUUUGUGAACAACAAAACUGGCUCGAGAGGAUCCUGAAACCCCACAGUUACAUUUUCAAAAUGAUGCACUGCUGAUAUUCAGAAAUAAAACAAGGAUAAAACAUUUUCUAAAGUUUACUUAAAUCAUUUUUCUUUCCAACCACAGAUAGGUCAAUAAGUCAAAUAUGUGAGGAAAAAUACUAAAGAAACUGAAGCUGACAGAGGGCAGGCAGAAUUAACUACAAAACCACCAGAUUUAUCGUGUUCUUGUCCUGUUAAUUAAUUGUUUUCAAUUAACACGGUAACCCGGCUCGGGUGUUAACUCUGUUUCUGUCAGUGCUCUGUUGAAUAUUUCUGUUUAAAAAUCAGCACUCCCAUGUAAGUAGUAUGGCAGCAGCAAAAUAUCAUGUGUAAUAAUUAGGCUACUGGUUCUGGGUCCAGGAAUCGAGAUAAUCAGAUUAGGUGCAAAAGCUAUAUGUACCGAUUUAUGUAGCCAUGCAUAAUAUAUUCAUUUUUUACUUGCAAAUUCUUCCUUUUCACAACUUUAGGUACAACUUUUCCUUUCCUUUUGAAGGCCCACUCCACUGGCAUAGAGAGUAAAAAGAGUUUCUUAUUAAUAAUUUUAGGAGGAUGCUUCUGCCACGACAAGUAAAACCAUAAACAAAUGAUUUCACCACAUUUCAAGAAAGCAUUUAACUUAUGCCUCAUUUUCAUUCUAGCAAUUUGCUUGCCAUUGGCUGAUUGGAAAAAGUGCAUUUAAGUUAUAGAUUACUGUCAACCUAUAGCACGAAUAGGGGUUAAACAAAGUAAAUCCCUACCUUUACAUGUCAAAUAAAAGACUUUCAUAAUCAACUAUCAAAACUCAUGUCUAGUAAAGGAUUCCCCAAUGCUGGCUCUCAAAAUUGCUUUUGUUUCAUGGAUGAGAUGAUCGAUUUUGUGGAUAUUCUGCUCAACUUGGAUUAUGACUUGGGUCAGAUCCCAACUUGCUGCAAAGCUCACCUGACUAAAUCUUAGUUGAUUUGCUUUUCCAAACUAAAUCCAAGCAAGUAAGUACAAGAGAUAAAAGCAAAAGUUCAAGCAUCUCAUUUGAGCCUGUCACUAACAAAUGGUCAACAAGCAAUGUCUAGCUAUGACUGAGCAACAGAA